RNAcentral lists this long non-coding RNA (147296 nucleotides) under Zea mays. Its description in RNAcentral is "long non-coding RNA (ZMAY_LNC001464)". Lineage: Eukaryota; Viridiplantae; Streptophyta; Magnoliopsida; Poales; Poaceae. The record is from RNAcentral.
UGAAGUCGUCCUCGAUGUCACCGACAGUGAGGUCGGCAUGAGCGACCACAAAGAGCGCGCCCUCGCCGGUGCAGGUGAUCUCUGCCCUGCCAUCGUCGUUGUUGACGCCGAGGCGACCAGCGAGGGGGUAGAAGGCCACCAAGGUCUUGGCCAUAGCCUCCUUGAGCCUGGCCACGUCGAAGAAACCAUCGGCGGCGGCAACAGCAUUGCUGCUGGAGCUGUACAGGUAGACUGUUGGGGUGUGGCCUCUGUUGGCCAGAAUGAGGUCCAGCGGAGAGAGCCAGAGCCCCUCCGACGGUGUCGGCUCGCUCGACACUACAAACGACGACUCUACCACCUGCACUGCCUCAGAAUCCAUGACAUUCGCCAUUCUAAUUUCUGCUCGAUCACGCACAGAGUUCAAACUUUCUACUGCACCUGAAACUGAAAGGGACAGAGAGUUUAGACUGGAUUUAUAUAUCACACCCCGAACAGAUAUUGUUGUUCUGUAACAACAAUAAUAUUCUUUUUUGGAUUUAUAUAUGGACGGAUUGCGUCGUAACAACACAGAUAAUUUGGAGAUGGAAAAUCAAAAGGCACGCAUGCGUUGGUCUGCCAGAAUCCUUACCUCACCUAUGCGGUGGCAACAGGAGACAGGAAAUGGAAGAAUGGAAAUGGAUUGAGGACGGAGGGGGUGGCUCGCGUUGAGGCCUUGAGGGAACAAAUAUCAUGGGUUUCAAACGUUGAAGCGCCGACAAGGAACUUAUUCUUACUUGGAUGGGUGGGGGCAUGCAGCUGCGACUGGCACUACCGUGGCAGCCUUUGGGCCAAGUAAUCAGCACCAUUGCCUCAAUGGAGGUGGCGGUGCACAGCUAAUGAUGGUGGUUACGACAUUCAAUUUUAGCCAUGUGAUAUGACUGGCACGACACUAGCACUAGCACUAGCACUAACACGGUCAAACACGACACUAUAUUAGACAUGGCACGGUCAAACACGACAGCUAAUCCAUGCCUGCUUGAUAGUGCCGUCGUGCUGGUACAUUGACCCAGCCAUGAUAUAAGUGGCAAGACGUGUCGUGCCACCAGGCAUGCUGGCACGAUGGUGUUAGUGUGUUAUCAUGGGACACUAUAAGUGUCUCACGCAUCAAACAGCUCAGAAUAAGUUGAAAUUGGUCUGAACUCAGAAUUAUAGAUUCAUUUAAGACUCAAACAACUCGUAAUUACAAGUUCAAAUUGCUAAGAUGACAAAUUUAUUAAGAGCUUUAGUGCAAUGGCUGUCUCAUUAAAAACUUUUCUAGGUAAAAUUGAGAAACACUAGACAGGAAAAACGAGUAUAGCCCAACUCCAUAAAAGUUCAAUAUCCUUACAUCAAAGUCCAAGUCUAUAAUAUUACAACCCCAUUACAUAAAUGCUCUCAAAGAAACUAAUUAAGAUAAAGAUUUUUCAAAUGAUUCUUCAAGCUCCUUGUCAUCCACCACGUGUUGCACCCUUACUUUAGCAUCCUCCCAAUCUUUAAUGCAAGUCAACAUCUCUACCACGUAAGACUUCAACCUCCUCCGCCACUCGUCGAUGAACCUACCAGUCAGACUAAAAGUGGAUUCUAAAGUGAUGGUAGAGACAUAAACGGUUAAAAUAUCUUUAGCCAUAAUUGAUAGUACUGGAUAAGUAAGUUUGUGCUGAUGCCACCAAUGCAACAUGUUGAAAUCAUCAUUUAACUGGUUCACAGUGCAACAGUCCAAGUAUGAAAUGAGUUCAGAAGCAUUAGAAACUAAAGAGUUUGCAGCGUGCAGCAGGGAAGUUGCAGAGGAAUCUCUAGCCAUGUUUAGAGUAGAAACAAAAGAAUAAAUACCACCAGAAUCACCCACAUCAUCAGUAUCAUCAUAAAUUUCAUUCUAAGCAGACCUUUUCUUACCAGAUAUGUUAGGAGGGACAACCCUUCUCAACCUAACAGAUCCAUAUUUCUCUUCAUACUUAUUAUAAACAUCAGCAAGCCUAGCUCUAGUAGUAACCCGAUAAGCAGCAUGAUCUAUAGUCGUUAGGUUCAUCAAUAUCCUAAGCACUCUAUUGAAACCUUCCAUUUUAGCUCUAGGGUCCAAGAUGAAUGCAAAAGAGUAAACCAAAGAUAUGUUCCUCCAACAUUUAUUAUAUUUGUCUAUCAUAGGUUGAAUCACAUGUCUGAUGUGAGUGUCAUUAGCAUAGUUCUUUAGGUGCAUAGCAAUCUUAAUAAGAUAAUGAAACAUAAGGGAAGAUGUAGGAUAGUCAACACCAGACAAUGAAAUGCAACUUUAGAAUCAUAAAAGAGUUCAAAAAAUUUAAGUACUUUUUCUACAAUAACCCAAUGGUCAUCAGUUAAAAUAAAUGGAUCACCUUUAGCCCUAGGAUAGUUUGCAUGCAUGAUAGUAGUGAAAAGGACUAUGAGGAAACAAAUGCUUAAGCGUCAGAUAUGUGGAGCUCCACCUAACCUCCAUGUAUAACUGAAAUUUUCUAGGCCUAUAAUUAGUGGCGGUGAAAUAACUUUUAUAUGCAACAAUUCUCUAGUUAGAAGAGUUUAAAAAAGAUAUUGCAGUUCUAAAUGUUUCAAUCAAAGACUUAAGAGAAUCAAGGGCCUCUUUAACUAUCAGAUUGAUAAUACGAUAUGCAUAACUGAAAGUAGCCUAGAGGGGGGGUGAAUAGGUGAAAACUGAAAUUUACAAUUUUAAACACAACUACAAGCCGGGGUUAGCGUUAGAAAUAAAUGCGAGUCUGAAAGAGAGGGAAAAAACAAAUCACAAGGAAAUGAAGCGGAUGACAUGAUGAUUUGUUUUACCGAGGUUCGAUUCUUGAGAACCUACUCCCCGUUGAGGUGGUCACAAAGACCUGGUCUCUUUCAACCCUUUCCCUCUCUCAAACGGUCACCUAGACCGAGUGAGCUUCCUUCCUUGAUUUUUGGGUCACCUAGACCCCACAAGGACGACCACACAAUUGGUGUCUCUUGCUUCGCUUACAAGGCUUUGAGAGUAAGAAUAAGAGAAAGAAGAAAGCCAACCAAGCAACAAGAGCAACAAAAGAACACAAGUCAAUCUUCUCACAAGUCCUAAAAACUAGAGUUGAAUUGUGGACUUUGAUUUGAUCGGAGGCUUUGAUUUGUGUCUUGGAGUGUUGUGUAUUGCUCUUGUAUUGAAUGAGGAGUAGUGAAUGCUUGGAUGGGUGGGGCCAUGCAGCUGCGACUGGCACUACCCUGGCAGCCUUUGGGCCGAGUAAUCAGCACCAUUGCCUCAAUGGAGGUGGUGGUGCACAACUAAUGAUGGUGGUUACGACAUUCAAUUUUAGCCAUGUGGCAUGACUGGCACGACACUAGCCCUAGCACUAGCAUUAGCAUUAGCACAGUCAAACACGACACGAUCAGGCACGACACGAUCAAACACAAUAGCUAAUCCGUGCCUGCCUGAUAGUGUCGUCGUACCGGUACAUUGACCCAGACAUGAUACAAGUGGGCAGACAUAUCGUGCCACCAGACACGCUAGCACAAUAUUGUGUCGUCAUGGGGCACUAUAAAUGCCUCACACAUCAAACAGUUUAGAAUAAGUUGAAACUGGUCAGAACUUAGAAUUACAGAUUCAUUUAAGACUCAAACAACUCAGAAUUACAAGUUCAAAUUGCUAAGAAGACAAAUUUAUUAAGAGCUUUAGUGCAAUGGCUGCCUCGUUAAAAACUUGUCUAGGUAAAAUUCACCCUUGUGAGAAACCCUAGACAGGAAAAAGGGUAUAGCCCAACUCCAUAAAAGUUCAUUAUCCUUACAUCAAAGUCCAAGUCUAUAAUAUUGCAGCCCCAUUACAUAAAUGCUCUCAGAGAAACUAAUUAAUAUAAAUAUUUUCGAAUUAUUCUUCAAGCUCCUUAUCAUCCACCAAGUGUUGCAUCCUUACUUUAGCAUCCUCCCAAUCUUUAAUGUAGGUCAACAUCUCUACCACAUAAGACUUCAACCUCCUCCGCCACUCAUCGAUGAUCCUGCCAGUCAGACUAAAAGUGGAUUCUGAACUACUCGUCGAUGAUCCUACCAGUCAGAUUAAAAGUGGAUUAUGAAGAGAUGGUAGAGACAUGAACAGUUAGAAUAUCUUUAGCCAUAAUUGACAGUACUGGAUAAGUGAGUUUGUGCUGAUGCCACCAAUGCAACGUGUUGAAAUCAUCAUUUAACUGGUUCACAGUGCAACGGUCCAAGUACAAAAUGAGUUCAGAAGCAUUAGAAGCUAAAGAGUUUGCAGCCUGCAGCAGGGAAGUUGCAGAGGAAUCUCAAGCCAUGUUUAGAGUAGAAGCAAACGAAUAAAUACCACUAGAAUCACCCACAUCAUCAGUAUCAUCAUAAAUUUCAUUCUAAGGAGACCUUUUCUUACCAGAUAGGUUAGGAGGGACAACCCUUCUCAACCUUAACAAGAUAAUGAAGCAUAAGUGGAGAUGUAGGAUAGUCAACACUAGACAAUGCAACUGAAGAAUCAUAAAAGAGUUCAAGAAAUUUAAGUACUUUUUCUGCAAUAACCCAAUGGUCAUCAAUUGAAAUAAAUGGAUCACCUUCAGCCCUAGGAUAGUUUGCAUGCAUGAAAGUAGUGAAAGGGACCCUAUGAGGAAACAAAUGCUUAAGCGUCAGAUAUGUGGAGUUCCACUUAACCUCCAUGUACAACUGAAAAUUUCUAGGCCUAUAAUUAGUGGCAAUGCAAUAACUUUUAUAUGCAACAAUUCUCUAGUGAGAAGAGUUUAAAAAGAUAUUUCAGUUCUAAAUGUUUCAAUCAAAUACUUAAGAGCAUCAAGGGUCUCUUUAACUAUCAGAUUGAUAAUACGACAUGCAUAACGCUGAUUCAAGAACAUAGAUAUGGUAGUUUGGGAUUCAUCGCCAUCAUCAACAUUCUCAAUACCAAGAUUUGGUGACAAUAUAGGUCUAAGCAACCUCAUGGCAGAAACAUUAGAUGAUGCAUUAUCUAAGGUAAUAGCAAACACCUUAUUAGUCAAGCCAUAAUCAGCAAGCACACCAGCAACACGAUCAACAAUGUUUUGUCCAUUGUGUGACACAUCAAUAAGCACAAGACUAAGCACCCUUUUCUCUAGUUGCCAAUCAAGGUUUAUGUAAUGAGCAACAACACUAAGGUAGUCCACUUUGGCAUUACCAGACCAAAUGAGGUCAAACACACACAAUUAACAAUAGAAGAACUAAGAGUCUCAACAAGCUUAGCCUUUUUAUCAUUGAAGUAUUUAACCAUGUCUCUAGAGGUGGUUUGUCUAGAGAUAGGUACAAAUUGAGGAUUACGAGCAGUUCUAAUGUAGUAUUCAAAUGCAGCACUUUCAACCAUAUAAAUAGGAACUUCGAGCCUAGCAAGCAAUUGAACUAGUUCAUUAUGUGCCAUAGGACAAGACUCCCAAUUACGCAUACUACCAUCAGGAUUAAAAGAGAUAUGAGAUUGAGACAUGCGAGUUUUUUCAUGCCUCCUGGGACAUUUAUCCCUAUGUCGGGUAAGGUGGCUAGUGCCGCCACUAGAGAAAGCAGAGUAUUGCUUAGAGCAAUGGAUGCACUUAGCUAUGUACUUGACCUUCUUACCAUUGACAUUUUUGAAGAGUUUUUGGAAAUCUAACCACACCGCUGAGGUAGAAUGAUGAGAACUCUUGGCGCUUUGUUCAUCAUCUGCACCAGAGCAACUGAUGUCCUAUGAGCUUGAUAGAGACGACGACAAAGAUGACAAGACAAGGAUGAUGUCAUGCCAUGUGCCAGUGCCGUCCAUAGGUGGAUCAAGAUGACACAGGAGAGGGAGAAUAAGAGAUGAGUGAAAAUGAAUUAGGGUUAGGGUUCAACAACUCAUAGCGAUGCCCUCAACGUGCAAAUCCAAGAGACAAAUGGAGAAGGGGAGGGUUGAUCAAUAGAUCUAAGGGGAGGAACUGUGUUGUAGCCACGCUGGCCAUUGGAUUGGGAGAAGAAGAGGGCAAUGGAGAGUGUGGCAGUGGAGUGAAAGGUGCGAACUUGGAGGGCAGAGACUGAGAGAGUGAGAGACGAGUGGUUGAGUGGAGCACGAGACAUGAUUUGGGGUUAGGUUUGGUCGGAGUGGACAACUUGGAGUAACUAGUCAGGGGAGGGGCACUAGCUUUUGGGCCAUGUCGAGGUUGUGUCCCAAUAAGCCAUGCUGACCCAAUAAUCUAUGUCGUGCCUGGGCCAACCCUAAAGGCCAAGAUGGCGGCUGAGGCACGACACUAAGGUGGGUUGGGCCAGGCACAUGCAAUAGGUUAGUCAGGUCGGGCCGUACCUAGGUCAUGCUUUUUCAUGUCGUGCCUAGGCUGGCCCAUCGUGUUAGUGCCAAAUGGCCAUUUAUAGAUAUGUCCAACCGACAGUCUCGAAAUCUCCUGCCUCCUACCUACUGUUCUCGUGGAAAUAUAUUAUAUUUGUCUAAAUCUUAAGAAUGCUUCUUCCACUACAAGCAAUGUACUUAAUCUAAUAGACUGACAUAUUUAGAUUUGGUAUGUUGGUUGGCACACCUUGACAUACUUACCAUUAAGUAUGCCAUUGAAGGGACAAUCCUUUAUGCGAGCAAGUGUGAGAGGAGCAUAGUUAUUGAGAGCAUGGCCCUCACAAGCUCUUCUAUCCUUACCGACAUUUGUUCCUGAAAGGGAAAUGUGCCUUGAUCCAUUUCUAUAAAUGUUUUUGUGAUUAAUGACCAACGCAACGCUAUGGACUAACAUGUUUGCUAAGUAUGUGUAUGUAGAAAUCAACUUUAGAUAAACAGAGAAACUAAGUUGGAGGAUUUAAAUAAAUGAAGUUACAUAACUUAGAUUGGUUGGAUUAUCACUAGAAAUAUUUGUCUAAGUCAUGGGUACACUCAAGAAGCGAGUCAAAUUUAUUUGGAGAAGAAAAGUAAGAAAUAAUACAUGGUUCAGCUAUCUGAGGCGCACUAGACCUAAAUUCUAGAGAGGACUUGAAUGGGACUUUGGUGGCUUGGCACACUGGACUAGCCUAGUGGCACACCGGAUCGAAGUUCCAAAGAGCCCUAAAGAAUCAACUUCGAUGACCUAUCACACCGACCUAGUCCAGUGGUGCACCACACCUUGGGUCCAACUAUUUCUUCGGCCUUCAAUGGUCAUCUCAAUGACUAGCUGACAGGUGGCUGGUUCAGUGGGGCACCAGAUCAGACCAGCGCUCCGUAAGAAGGCAUGUCUGAGGCAGACCCCGUUGAUGGCGGGCGACCGUCGGAGGUUCGGCGGUGCACCGGACUGGUCCAGUGCAUUCGGCGUAAAGCAAACUUUCUGCAAUCUACACAACACCUUUUUGUGGCAUUUUGGGCUAUAAAUACCCCUCCUAUCAGCCUAGACAAGUACUCAAUUCACUCAAGAGAAACACAUUCAUUCCUAAACAUUCAUUGUGUAUGGCUAGCAAGAGUCUCUAAUUAUGUGCUUAGAGAAACACAUUCAUUCAUAAACAACCUUUGGAGAGAUCCAAGCACCCAGAAUUGCAAGCAUAGCCUAGAGAGAGUUGUGCUGCAAAUUAUGUGCUUGUGGUCUUAGUUCUUUGGUGUUGUUGUGCUCUUGUGUGCGUUCUUUCUCCCUCUUGUUUUAUUGGAGUUCUAAGUCACAUUCAUUGUGUAUGGCUAGCAAGAGUCUCUAAUCUUUACGGAGUACCUUGUGAGAAGAAACAUCAGUCAAAGGAACCGAGGGCUCAAGUUGAUCGGUGGAUCACAUGAAAACGUUGAAAGAGACCUAGUCCGAUGGGACACCUCAACGGGGGCGUAGGUUCUUUAGAGCCAAACCGUGGUAAACAAAUUGUUAUGUCUUGUGUUCUUCACUUUCUACAAUUUUUUCUUAAUCUCUCUCGCUCUAAGUUAUUGUUAUAUAUUCAAUUGUGAUAUUGCCCUUGUAUUAAUUCUGCAACCAAGACGUGCAUCAAGUGCAAGAACUUCCCUCUUCGCUUACUCUAUUUGAUCUAGAUCUUGACCUAACAUCUAAUAUGAAAUUCAAAAUAAAGGUGUUGCCUAUUCACCCCCUCUAUGCUGCUUUGAGGAGCGUAAUACCCUACUUUUUGGGAUGGAUUUGUAUGUGAGUGGUGUUACAGGUGGUGUCUACCGAGUUGUGAGAUGCUAAUGAGAUGAAAAUGGAGGGGAUCCGCCUUGGCCUUAUAUACACGACCGUAGGGUGCUUCCCGUGUACAUGCUGAUCAUACUAUUCUUGCUUAUCUCCUAAUUAAUAGCAAACAACCUUCACUAUCCCGAGGAAAACCCAGCGCCUCCGCUCCGAGCUAUCUCCGGCGUUUGAGGAUGUUGGGCGUGGGAAAAACGAACGACCCCAACAUGAUCAUGCCCAAACCGCGACUAGUCCAGGUGUGGGCCUCGGCCCGCUUCCACCGUUUCCCUUUGCCCGGCCCACAGUGGGAUGUCGCAGAGGGGCGACUGUCAUGUGGCCCCAGGCGAAGUUUUUGCCCCCGAGUGGACCCAGGGGAUAUCUGUCCCCCACAAGCCCCCAAUCUUUGAGUUGAUUUUGAAAUAAUCGAUUCAAAGGUUCCUGGUUCUUGCUUAUGAGUUCAUCGUCUGACUUGAGAUAUUUACAAUUUCGUUGGGUGCACCGAAGGUGCACCCAUUGGGUGUAGCCCUCGAGCUUUGAGUUGAUUUUGAAAUAAUCAACACAAAGGUCUUCAUCUUAUGCUUUAGAAUUUAGCACUCAUGUUUAAAGUUUUGUGAAUUCGUUGGGUGCUCCGAAGGUGCGCCCAAUGUGUGUAGCCCCCGAGCUUUGAGUUGAUUUUUAUGUAAUCAAUUCAAAGGUCUUCAUCUUAUGCUUUAGAAUUUAGCACUCGGCUUCAAAGUUUUGAGAAUCCGUUGGGUGCACCGAAGGUGCAUCCAAUGUGUGUAGUCCCAGAGCUUUGAAUUGAUUUUGAAAUAAUCAAUUCAAAGGUCUUCAUCUUAUGCUUUAGAAUUCAGCACUCGGCUUCAAAGUUUUGUGAAUCUGUUGGGUGCACCGAAGGUGCACUAAAUGGGUGUAGCCCCCGAGCUUUGAGUUGAUUUUGAAGUAAUCAAUUCAAAGGUCUUCAUCUUAUGCUUUAGAAUUCAACACUCGGCUUCAAAGUUUUGUGAAUCCGUUGGGUGCACCGAAGGUGCACCCAAUGGGUGUAGCCCCCGAGCUUUGAGUUGAUUUUAAAAUAAUCAAUUCAAAGGCCUUCAUCUUAUGUCUUUUCUCAAAAUGAUCUUUUGGAAUAGCCUGGUGACAACAUCUGUCCAUAUCUUGUUUGGUCUAGAAUCAAUUUGAUCGGCCACGAGUUGGAGUCUGGCCACUCGAAGCAGAGAGGUCCUGGCGGGACACCACUCGGCCAUGAACUUCAAUGCCUCUGCAGAUUAGACUUGUGCUUGGUGACCGCAUCUGGACUUCCUCCCAUUUCAACUGAUCUUCCCCUUUGUCAUGGUAUAUUCAUUGCGUAUAUGUUGCAGGUCUCACUGCUUCAGAAAAUCUCGGAAAAUUCGGGCGGUACACCCAAUGGGUGUGCCCAACGGGUGUCUGCCCAGUAAAAUAUGGCCAUCGUGUAGUCCUGAAAUAGUAACUGUUGGAACUUGCUCUCAGUUGCAAGGGGAUCCAACAAGGGUGAACAAUGACGUUAAUAGGGUUCUCGCGCGUGUUGGCAAUAGCUCUGUUAAUCUGGCCUCUCACGGGCACUGUGCGGGGGUAUUUAUAGGUAUCUGAGUGCCCAGCGCCUUGUGUUAAGGACGCAUGUGCCCUCAGCCACCUAGGUUAUCCCCAGAAUAUUCCCAUAAAGCAGGGUUACAAACUGUAAUUACAGGAAUGCCUUUACAAAUUAGGCACGUAACACGCGGCGGCCACGCAGGGCCCGUUACAAUGGGCCGGAUCACACGUGGGCCUCUGAGCUAGACGAGGCCGCACGGUGGGAUGACGACGUCGCGGGCCUUCGUCUGGUGCCGAAUAAAGCGAAGGGUGUCCCUGCCCGUUUUGUCUCCGUCGGACCGGCGACUGCAGCGAAGGCCUCGAGCGAAGGGUGGCGUCUUUGCCUUCGCCCCAACAUUUGCCCUCCGAGGGACCAGUUCGACAAAGUCACCUGGAGCCGAAGACGUCGCUAGAUGGCGGAGACGCUGCCCUCGCUCGAAGUGGUUCCGCGGGGGUUUUUGACAUGACCGUUGAUUGACACCGUACUGUUGGAUUGCGGGUUUCCCGAAGCGCCGCGCCCUGUCUAUAAAAGGGGGCGGGGGUCGGCGCUUUUUGAACUUCACUUUCCACGCUCCGUGAAAACCCUAGCCGCCUUUUCCACCGUCUUGCUGCUCGUCUGCCCGCCGUGCUCUUGUUCGCCGGAGAUCUGGCUCGAGUGAAGCAGACCGCCCGCCGCCGCCGACGGUACGUAGCGAUGCCGACCUCCUCUUCUUCCGCUGCCGCUACGCCGCCGGCCGACGCCUCGCCGCCAGCCGACGCCUCGUCUGAGGAGACGCUGAGUAGUUUGGUGGCGGAGGAGUUGCGCGCCGGCGAUUCUGUGGAUUUUGGCGUGUCGCGGAUGUCGUCGGUCCGCGUGCAAGAUAUGCAGCGGCUGGGUUACUUUGGCGGCGGAGUUGCUCGUGUCCCGGGGACGGAGGAAGUCCCCGAGCCGGAGGGCGAGUUGGUUGUGUUCGAGGCGUUCUUUGCCGCCGGUCUCCGCCUGCCUGCGCACCGAUUUGUUGGCGAAGUCGUGCGCAGGUUUAACGUUCAGAUACAUCAGCUGACACCGAAUGCCAUGGUGGCUCUGUCGAAGUAUGUCUGGGCGACGACUUCGUACGGUGGACAACCAUCAGUCGAAGUCUUUGCGAAGUACUAUUGCCUGCACUGGAAGAAGAGGAUGAUUGGAGAUGAAGUUGCCCAGUUUGGGUCCUGCACGUUUACGCCGAAGACCGGCAAGACCACGAUGCAGGUAGUGGAGUUGGUUCCUUGCGCCCGCAACAAGUGGGGCAACUGGAAUGAGUUUUGGUUUUACGUCGCUGAGGGUACCGUCGAAGACCAUGAGGGGCUCCCCGUGUCCGAGAUGUGUUCUCAUUUUUACUCAGCAUACCCGCCCUUUGAGGUGGCGGAGGAGGAUGCGGACGAAGUGGCCCUUCGGUGCGCCGCCGGCCUGAGCAGUGGGCGCAAUUUGGUUGAAGAAUUUGUGGCAUACGGGGUAUGGCCCUUGGCGCAUGGCUGGGCGUUGGGCGAAGUGUGCCCUCGCCAGAUGCCUUCCCAUGGUGGGAAGAUGGUGCGAAGUCCUGCCUUCGCGCUGAAUCUGCAAAGCCGCGAUCCGGCCGCCUUUGUGCGUGGGGCGGAGGAUGGGGCGGUGCGGCUCGUUGGUCGGUACGUGCCGAGGAUAGAGGGCCAGCGUAACUGGGAUAUCCGCUGGUCGAAUGACCGUUUGAACAGGGUUUUUGAAUUGAAUCAACUGCCGUAUGACGGCUACCCCAGCCAAGACGAUGUGGACCGCCGUGGGAAGAAGCCGGUGGUGGAGACUGGAGACGACCCUGCGCCGGCGGCCGCCCCAUCCUCUAAAAAGAGGAAAUUAGGUACUGCUAUGGGAGGACUUGGGGUUUCUGAUGGUUUUGCUAGAGAGUUGAUGAGGACUUGCGCGGCCCCGGGGGGAAGGAUGUCUUCGCCCGAGCUCCGGGAGUCUUCGGCGGAUGCUGAGGGUUAUCGGGGGUUGGUGGCCUAGGAAUGUUCCUAUCCCCCGCGCCGCCGGCGAAGACUUUUUUACAUCUCGCAUGGUUCGUGAAUGGAAAGUGUUUCCUUACGGGUGGAAUAUUGCUGUUGUUGUGUCGGCAGUGAUGGACAAGGAUCGCCAGGGAGCUGCACAAAAGCGCCAGGCGGUUGUCAGGCUUCAUGAAGCCAGGCCAAAGAGGCAGCGGGGGGCUGCGAAGGCUGCGGCCCCUGGCGGAGGCAAGCCGCCGCUGGCGGCAAAGUCGGGCGUCCCUGCAUCUAGCAAGGCACCGGAGGCAGCGGCAGGCGCCGGUGGUUCCAAAUCGACGAAGGCUGUGCCGCCGUCCAGCAGGGUGCCGGAGGUCGCGAAGGCGGCCCGAGUGUUGCCGUCGUCGGGCAAGCGCGUCGCCGACUUCGCCACCGAUAUUAGUGUGGACGACUAUCUUGGUGGUAAGCCGUUGGCUCGUUCGUUUUUUUAAUUCGUUGAUAUGUCGCAGGGUCGGACGAAGGCCAGCUUGCUAUUGUUGCGCCUGCCGCGGCGACCAUGGCGGCUGCCGUAGUGCCGAAGGCGAAGGGCGGUGCUCUUAGUGCCGGAGGCGAGAUGUCGGCACUCGCGGCUGUCAGGGAUGAGGCGGGCGCUAUGUCCCGCCGGCUGAAGGAGCUGACGGAGGCACUAAGUCAGGUCCGUUGAGCUAGACUUCGGUUUUUUUUGUCGGCUUUGUUGGGGCCGCGGUCUUACGUGUGUUCUGCAGGUGGCUGACUUCGCCGACCGCAUAGCGUCGGGGGCCCUCACGGCAGUUGUGUCUGCCGAAGUCGAGAGACUUCGGACGCAACAUGCUGACGCCGUCCGUGAAAAAUCGGCCGCCGACAGUAAGUGCCGCAAGCUGGCGGACAAGGUGGCCGCGCUGGAGGGGGAGAAGACUGACCUCCGGCGCCAAUUGGCGGGGGAGAGGAGGGAGACCAACGAGGCCCUCGCCAAGGCGCAGGCUGCGCAGGCGGAGGCCAAUCUGGCGCGGGCGGAGGGCAAUCUUGCCAGGGAGCGCGCCGAGCAGCUGCAGGAGCGGCUCAUCGCCCUGGAGAGCCGCGUGGAGAGGUCCGAGGCCGCGACGCGCGCGGAGGCUGAGCGGACGCGCAAAUAGCUUAUGGAUUCGUACCAUGAGCUGGGCGCGCGGACCGGUGACUUCGAAGUGCCGGACCGAGAGCCCGGACUUCGCUGCCUGGAGUGGGUACAGGAGGAGUUGCAGGCACUCCCCACUAUCAUGGAGGGGUUUAUGUCGUAUGCCUCCCUGGUCACCUGCGAGGGGGUGAUGAACGCGCUCUCCCGCGAAGGGUGCCAGCACUUCGAGGUCUUCGACCAAGCUGAUGAAGACUUUGAGCGAGAUAUCUACAAGGUUGAGGACCCCAUAGUGAAGGAAUCCGCUGGAGCCAUCUACGACCGGAUGUGGGGUCCGCACGAUCGCGAGGUGGUCAGGGAGCGGGCCGAGACGGCGAGGGCUCAGGUAACGUUUGGAUUUUGUUUGGCGUUUGCUGGAUGUGGGCUACGUGUGGUUUUGCUGAAUUUGUGUGCUGUGUCCUAGGCGGCGCGUGGCGAGAGGGUGGAUUACUUCGGGGUGUUGAACAGCGCGCUGCCUGACCCGGAGCCGAUCCCGGCGGAGGCCGUGUCCGGGGCCGCCCUAGAGCCGCCCCUGGAGACUGCGGAAGGCGCUCCGGAUGCCCCCGCAUCUGCUGCGGCCGGCGGAGACCUGCCCCCAGAGACCGCCGAAGGCGCGCCUGAUGCCCCCGCAGCCGCUGCGCCGAGGGCUGAAGAUCCUGCGACGGUGGAGGCGGAGGCGACAGCGGAGGCAACGGCGGAGGCUCCCGCAACGGCUGAGUCUUCGCAGGUGGCGUAGUGGGUGUGGAUAGUUAGGGAAUUUUGGAUAUGUUGCUGAAUUUUGGUUGCUGCGCAGGUUCAAGAUUUUGGGCCUGCGCACGCAACCGCCACUACUAAUUUUUUGGCGGCUUCGACCGUGGAUGGUGGUAAUAAAUGUGAUGGGUCUGCAUCUGAGUUUUCUGAUUUUGCUGACUCUGGGAGCUCGGUUGAGUGGACUGAGGAGUCGUCGGAGGACUUGGACUACUUUGCGGCCUUGGAUGUGGCAGCGGCGGAGGCUUCACCGCACGCUGUGGACACAGAAGAUGUGCCUGGUCCGAGCAUCGGGCGCCAACGGCGAAGGGCGGUUGCGAAGCGUAGAGUGAGUGGGGCGAAGGGAGGUCGGCUUCGUGUGAGUAGGGCUGGCUGGCAGGAACUGUUAUCUUUGCCAGCCGCCGUGAGUACAGGUGAAGGGGAAUUGCGAAGUCUUUUUGCGGGUGAGGAGCUUAGGAUAAUGUUAUUUAAUUAUAGGGAGAUGGGAAUUAUUCCUAAGGUUGAGCCGAUGUAGAGUGUGGUGCCCUCGCUUGUACAUGUGUAAAGGCUUGUAUGAUGAGGUUGUGUGCCCCCGCACACUUGGCUAUGCUUGCGAAGGCGUUAUGUACUUGGUCUGGUGUGUUUUGUUAUGCUGUGUUGGUCCGGCUGCACCCUUAGGUGACUUCUGCACGGAUAGUCUUCGCGGUAGACUUCGGUUUUUCGCACUUGUUGUGCUAGUCCGGCUGCACCCUUAGGCGACUUCUGCAUGGAUUUGUCGCACGCUAGGGUGGCUAGCGCUGAGCCUCGCGGUGACCUCGUAUUGGUCGAAUGUCGAAGACCGUCGUCGCGGCCUUUUUUCGACGCAUGUUUUUGCGGGGGAUUUUUUGUUAGAAAUAUGCCCUAGAGAUAAUCAUAGAGAUGAGCAUAUUUCUUUGUAUCCAUGAUAUAUAUAUUGCUUAAUUGAAUAUCCAUGGAAGGCACCUUGUAUUGAUUAGCAAUUAUGUGAAUUGUUUGUGAGAUUCUUUACUUAUAUGGUUAUUCUAAAUGAUGUCCCUAGUCAGAGUCGAUGACUAGCACAUGUAUUAGUUGAUGACUACAUUUCACAAGUCAUGAACAUGGAGAUGUUAAACUAAUAAUGUGGGCGCAUGUAUGACAUGAGGCUGGACCGACCCAACGUGAGAUAUUGUAAUAUAGUUCUCUUCUUGCAACAUGAAUACUGUAUCCUUAGACCUGAGAUUGUCGCAUGUUCUCAAGAUGUGAAUUGACUUACUUAGGGACUAUCAAAUGCUAUCCCGUAACUGGGUAGUUAUAAAGGUAGUUUUGGGUUUGUCAGGAAGCAUGCUAUGAGGCAUGGUCAGUCAAGAUGGAAUUUGUCCCUCUCUUUGUGAGAGAGAUAUCUCUGGGCCCCUCGAGUGAUUGGAUCAAGAAAUGCAUGGCCGUGCUAGGGUUAAGAGUUAACCAUUGAAAGGAUUCCAAUUCACAGUAUCGAGAAAGAGAGGUCAGCUUAGAGCCAGACCAAAUAUCGUGAGACAAAGGGAACAGCAUGUACGUAAUGUCGCAAUGGUUCGUCUGAUAUGAUCUUUACGUACACAUAGGAGUUGACAUGUCUUGCUAGAGGCCGCUGUCAAUUAUUGGGCCAAGUAAGAGUACUCGGCCUAUGUCUAUUUGUACGUGAACCUAUAGGGUCACACACUUAAGGGGAAGGAAGCCUAAUUCGGAUUAGAUCCGAAAUUAGACUGGGCUUUAGGGUUAAUGAUGGACCUCGGCGUCAGAAGCCCACCAUAACGCCUAUAUAAUGAGGGGCGGGGGCGCGGUUAAGAUAUAACCUAAUUCGCCACCAGCGAACUAACAGCCGCCGCCCACCUCUCGCCCUCGCCAAGCCGCCGUCGCGAACCUAGCAGUUCGGUACGCGGCGCUUCCUCCCUGUACGUGUGGAUACCUCGGAGGUGCUACAUCUGGAGCACUUGGACGAACCGUGCGAGGACGUGAAGGACGCCGGCGACUGCACGGCACUGCUCGACGCGUUCGUCUACAUCGAGACGUCUUCCGCUGCUCUGCGCGUCUAGUGGUAAUUCCAUGACCUAUAACCGCAGUAGUUCUUGGUAUUAUGGGGAUGAACAUUUUUGUUUUGCGCUAGCGUAGCCUCCCCGUAAUCCUACAGUGGUAUCAGAACCAGGUUCUGCGUAAGUUUUAGGUCUGGAUCUAGGUUCAUGUGAUGGAUCUACUUGAUGCACGGUUUGAUUAGAUCAAUUGGUAAUAAAGGGUUGAAGUAGAUUACAUCGGAUAUGACUAGUGAGAUCAGUUCGUCCUUCUCUGUUGUAUGCGCGACUUGCCCCUACCGGCUGGAAUCACCAUCGGGGCUAACUGCGUACACAACCAGCAGAUUGACGCAACAGAUCGACGUCAUGAGUGUAAUCUUCUUCGGGUCGAAAGUCUCGGAUUUGGGUUGAUUUGAUCAACCGCAUGAGAUUUCCAGUGGAAUUUCCAUACAUACGAUGCAUGGAAUCCUGUGAGGUUUCCAGUGAAAGUCAGCGGGACCGCCGUGGCUAUCUGCUGUAGUGGCGAACGUAUAGAAACAUGUUUGUCUAACCUGUUUUUGCAGGACAUGUGAUCGGUAUGGCUAUUAUGUGUAUGUGAUGCAUGUUAACAAAUUAUUCAGGACCUGCGUGUCGUGACCAGGGCAAUACGGCUGGAGCCACAUGUAUUGUCCAAAUUUAAUGUAAUGACCUGCGUGUCAACAUGUGAUGAUCCAAAGCGUAUAUGUAAUUUGUUUACCAGCAUACGUUAGAUAGGUCUUGAAGGACUCAUCACCUGGAGGAUGGCAUACCUAUAUCAUGGAGAUGGAGAUCAUCGUGAUGGACAGAUUAUUGGAGAUGGAGAUCACCAUGUGAAAACAAGCCAUACCGAAUCACAAUUGUUGUGUGAAUGCCAUUCUUAUUGUUCUACUUGUUUAUAUUGCAUAUAUGUCCUUGCGUGCGAUGUUAUAAGUAGGACGAUCCCUCAUAAAUGUUUAAGCUUUAAUGCCUCUCCAAACCUUGCACUAUCAUAAGUCUUGUACAAUUGGUGGUGGGUCUAUGAAAUUAGGGUGCCACCAGUUUUCCUUGACUAGAUAGGUUUGUAUCGGAUACGAACUGCAGAAAGGGUUGGUUAACUUAAACAAAGUCAGCUUAAUGGUUAAGGACUUUGAGGCAUAAGGUUGGGAGCCGAGACAUAGAGAUGUCACCCAACAACAGGAGUCAUAUAUAUGAUAUGAUUAGCAAGGAGUUGCUUACCGAUCUACCUUGUCUUCUAGCGGUGAUGCUAAAGCUCACUAGUAGACUUGUUAGUUGUGGAUUCUGAAUCACUAAGUAUCAAUAGAGGGAUAUUGAUUUUAGUGGGAGUAGACUAUUAAAUGUUUAAUAUGAUUUACUCUGUCAUGGAUAUUUUUGUCUUAGUAUUUUGCAUUAUUUUGUUGUAGAUAAAUGGCACCUAGCACACCAACAUUUACUUUGCGAUCGAUUCUUGAAAAGGAUAAGUUAAAUGGAACAAACUAUACGGAUUGGAUCCGUAACCUGAGAAUUGUUCUCAGGGCUGAAAAAAAAGGAAGACGUUCUAGACUCCCCACUGCCAGAGGAUCCUGGUGAAAAUGCAACUGCCGCAGCUAAAACCGCUUACAAGAAAGCAAUGGAUGCUAAUCUUGAAGUAAGUUGCCUAAUGCUUGCUUGCAUGGAGCCUGAGCUCCAGAUGCAGUUUGAGACAAACCAUGAGGUGUACGAUAUGAUCGUGGCGCUCAAGGAUAUGUUCCAGACUCAGGCUAGGACUGAAAGGUUCAAUGUGUCCAAAGCCUUUCUGGAAUGCAAGCUAGCAGAAGGCGCAGCAGUUGGGCCACACGUAAUCAAAAUGGUUGGUUACAGUCAGAGGUUGGAGAAGCUAGGCUUCCCAAUAAGCCAAGAGUUGGCCACUGACUUCAUUUUGGCAUCUCUUCCGCCCAGCUAUGGAAACUUCAUCACGAACUACCAUAUGCAUGGGGCGGAGAGGGGCCUCAAUGAACUAUGUGGCAUGCUGAAAACUGCAGAGGGGGACAUAAAGAAAAGUGCUGGCAGCAGCGGCCAUGUGAUGGCGGUCCAAAACAAACCCAACUUUAAGAAGAAGGGUAAGUCUCAAAAGAAGAAGGGCAAGGGAAAGGAUACAGUAUCCAAGCCCAAUCAAAAGCCCAAGGCUGGACCAGCUGCAGAUGCAGAGUGCUUUUAUUGCAAAGAACUUGGUCACUGGAAAAGGAAUUGCAAGCAGUACUUGGCCUCUAUUAAGGAUCGCGGCGGUAAGGGUACAGCCGCAGCAGGUACACUUGCUAUUCACAUUACAGAAAUUUUUCUUGCUGAUUCUUAUAUUAAUUCUUGGGUAUUUGAUACCGGAUCGGUUGCCCAUAUUUGCAAUUCGAUGCAGGGAAUGAUAAGAAGUAGAAGCGUGAAAAGAGGAGAAGUUGAUUUCCGGGUAGGCAAUAAUGCAAGAGUUGCUGCGUUGACCGUCGGGACGAUGCAACUCCACCUCCCAUCAGGAUUUAUUUUGGAGUUAAAUAAUUGUUAUCUAGUUCCUAGUAUGAGUCGAAACAUUAUGUCUCCUUCAUGUUUGAUGAAGGAUGGUUAUUCAUUUGCGAGUGAAAACAAUGGUUGUGUGAUCUCUAAGAAUGGCAUGUUUGUGGCUUUUGCAUCCAUUAUGAAUGGGUUAUUCAUUUUAAAUCUUGAUGAUGCACCUAUCUGUAAUAUUAGUGCUAAAAGGCCUCGGCCUAAUGAUUUAAGUCCUACCUACAUGUGGCACUGUCGUUUGGGUCAUAUAAGUGAGAAUCGCAUGAAGAAGCUUCAUUCUGAUGGGCUUUUAACUUCGUUUGAUUUUGAAUCAUACGAGACAUGUGAAGCUUGCUUACUUGGUAAGAUGACCAAGGCGCCCUUCACGGGUUUACCGGAGAGGACGUUAGAUUUAUUGGAACUCAUACAUACUGAUGUGUGCGGACCAAUGAGUACGACAGCUAGGGGAGGAUUCCAAUACUUCAUAACCUUCACUGAUGAUUUUAGUAGAUAUGGGUAUGUCUACUUAAUGAAACACAAGUCUGAAUCCUUAGAAAAGUUCAAAGAGUUUCAGAAUGAAGUAGAAAAUCAGCGUGGCAAGAAAAUUAAAGCACUACGAUCAGAUCGUGGUGGUGAAUAUUUGAGUCAUGAGUUUAGCAAUCAUCUAAAGAGUUGUGGAAUUGUUCCACAGCUUACGCCGCCUGGAACGCCUCAGAGGAAUGGCGUGUCUGAGCGACGUAAUCGGACUUUAUUGGAUAUGGUUCGAUCAAUGAUGAGCCAGUCGGACCUACCUUUGUCGUUUUGGGGAUACGCUCUAGAAACAGCAGCUUUCACACUAAAUAGGGUACCGUCUAAGUCCGUAGUUAAGACACCAUAUGAGAUGUGGACUGGGAAGACUCCCAGCUUGUCUUUUCUGAAGAUUUGGGGUUGUGAGGUUUACGUCAAGCGACUACAGUCGGAUAAACUCACUCCAAAAUCGGACAAGUGCAUGUUCGUGGGAUAUCCAAAGGAAACUUUAGGAUAUUACUUUUACCACCGGUCAGAGGGCAAAGUGUUUGUCGCCCGGAACGGUGUGUUCUUAGAGAAAGAGUUUCUCAAAAGAGAGAAAAGUAAACAAAAGGUGUAUCUUGAAGAAGUUCAGGAUGAGCCAGUGGGACAAGAUUCAACAAGUGAUGCUAAUGUAGCAGAACAAGUUGAGACGUCUAUGGCAAGAGAAUCACCACCACAACCACGAAGGUCAGCAAGGCUUCGCGAGGCACGAGGAGAAGUGCUAUUGUUGGGCAAUGGGGAAGUGUUGUUGUUAGACAACGACGAACCUGCAACAUAUUCAGAAGCGAUGAUGGACCCAGAUUCCGAGAAAUGGCAUGUCGCCAUGAGAUCCGAGAUAGAUUCCAUGGGAGAAAAUCAAGUUUGGAACUUGGUUGACCCGCCUGAUGGUGUUAGACCUAUAGAAUGCAAAUGGAUCUAUAAGAAGAAGAAAGACAUGGAUGGAAAUGUUCACAUCUAUAAGGCUCGACUUGUUGCAAAGGGUUUUCGACAAGUUCAAGGAGUUGACUAUGACGAGACAUUCUCGCCAGUAGCGAUGCUUAAAUCUAUUCGGAUCAUUCUAGCUAUUGCCGCAUAUUUCGAUUAUGAGAUUUGGCAGAUGGAUGUCAAAACAGCUUUCCUUAAUGGAAACCUAGAUGAGGACGUGUAUAUGAUACAGCCCGAGGGUUUUGUCAAUCCGAUCAAUGCUGGAAAGAUAUGCAAACUUCAGAAAUCCAUUUAUGGGUUGAAGCAAGCAUCUCGGAGUUGGAACAUUCGUUUUGAUGAAGUGAUCAAAGGGCUUGGUUUUCAUCAGAAUGAAGAAGAAGCUUGUGUUUACAAGAAGGAAAGUGGGAGCGCUGUUGUAUUUCUGAUCUUGUAUGUGGAUGACAUAUUAUUGAUUGGGAAUGACAUUCCUAUGCUGGAGUCCGUCAAGGCUUCACUGAAAAAGAGUUUUUCUAUGAAGGACUUAGGGGAAGCAGCAUAUAUUUUGGGCAUAAGGAUCUAUAGAGAUAGGUCGAAGAGGCUUAUAGGAUUAAGUCAAGAUACGUACAUUGAUAAGGUUUUGAAACGGUUCAACAUGGAACAGUCCAAGAAAGGGUUCAUACCUAUGUCACAUGGUAAACACCUUAGCCAGAUGCAAUGUCCUGCAACGGCUAAUGAGCGGGAGCGCAUGAGUAAGGUACCAUACGCCUCAGCAAUUGGUUCAAUCAUGUAUGCCAUGAUAAGUACACGCCCAGAUGUUUCAUACGCUAUAAGUGCUACGAGUAGAUACCAGGCUGAUCCAGGUGAGGAUCACUGGACAGCGGUAAAAGGCAUUCUUAAGUACUUAAGAAGGACUAAAGAUAUGUUCCUGGUAUAUGGGGGUAAGGAGGAGCUCGUUGUAACUGGUUACACCGAUGCUAGCUUCCAAACUGACCCAGACGAGUUAAAAUCGCAAUCAGGUUUUGUGUUCAUAAUAAAUGGUGGUGCUGUUAGUUGGAAGAGUUCCAAACAGGAGACUGUGACUGAUUCUACAACAGAAGCCGAGUACAUUGCAGCUUCUGAAUCUGCGAAGGUAGGUGUUUGGAUAAGGAAGUUCCUCAUCGAGCUUGGUGUGUUUCCUAAUGCAUCUAGCCCAUUGAACCUCUACUGUGACAACAAUGGGGCUAUUGCGCAAGCUAAGGAGCCAAGGAACCACCAGAAAAACAAACACGUACUACGGAAGUUUCACCUCAUACGGGAAUUCAUUAGGCGGGGUGAGAUAAAGAUAUGCAAAAUACAUACGGAUUUGAAUGUUGCUGAUCCUUUGACAAAACCUCUUCCACAACCUAAGCAUGAGGCACACGUGAGAUCUAUGGGUAUUAGAUAUCUUCUAGAUUAACUCUAGUGCAAGUGGGAGACUGUUAGAAAUAUGCCCUAGAGAUAAUCAUAGAGAUGAGCAUAUUUCUUUGUAUCCAUGAUAUAUAUAUUGCUUAAUUGAAUAUCCAUGGAAGGCACCUUGUAUUGAUUAGCAAUUAUGUGAAUUGUUUGUGAGAUUCUUUACUUAUAUGGUUAUUCUAAAUGAUGUCCCUAGUCAGAGUCGAUGACUAGCACAUGUAUUAGUUGAUGACUACAUUUCACAAGUCAUGAACAUGGAGAUGUUAAACUAAUAAUGUGGGCGCAUGUAUGACAUGAGGCUGGACCGACCCAACGUGAGAUAUUGUAAUAUAGUUCUCUUCUUGCAACAUGAAUACUGUAUCCUUAGACCUGAGAUUGUCGCAUGUUCUCAAGAUGUGAAUUGACUUACUUAGGGACUAUCAAACGCUAUCCCGUAACUGGGUAGUUAUAAAGGUAGUUUUGGGUUUGUCAGGAAGCAUGCUAUGAGGCAUGGUCAGUCAAGAUGGAAUUUGUCCCUCUCUUUGUGAGAGAGAUAUCUCUGGGCCCCUCGAGUGAUUGGAUCAAGAAAUGCAUGGCCGUGCUAGGGUUAAGAGUUAACCAUUGAAAGGAUUCCAAUUCACAGUAUCGAGAAAGAGAGGUCAGCUUAGAGCCAGACCAAAUAUCGUGAGACAAAGGGAACAGCAUGUACGUAAUGUCGCAAUGGUUCGUCUGAUAUGAUCUUUACGUACACAUAGGAGUUGACAUGUCUUGCUAGAGGCCGCUGUCAAUUAUUGGGCCAAGUAAGAGUACUCGGCCUAUGUCUAUUUGUACGUGAACCUAUAGGGUCACACACUUAAGGGGAAGGAAGCCUAAUUCGGAUUAGAUCCGAAAUUAGACUGGGCUUUAGGGUUAAUGAUGGGCCUCGGCGUCAGAAGCCCACCAUAACGCCUAUAUAAUGAGGGGCGGGGGCGCGGUUAAGAUAUAACCUAAUUCGCCACCAGCGAACUAACAGCCGCCGCCCACCUCUCGCCCUCGCCAAGCCGCCGUCGCGAACCUAGCAGUUCGGUACGCGGCGCUUCCUCCCUGUACGUGUGGAUACCUCGGAGGUGCUACAUCUGGAGCACUUGGACGAACCGUGCGAGGACGUGAAGGACGCCGGCGACUGCACGGCACUGCUCGACGCGUUCGUCUACAUCGAGACGUCUUCCGCUGCUCUGCGCGUCUAGUGGUAAUUCCAUGACCUAUAACCGCAGUAGUUCUUGGUAUUAUGGGGAUGAAAAUUUUUGUUUUGCGCUAGCGUAGCCUCCCCGUAAUCCUACAUUUUUCACACAUAUAUUACAUGGCUCCGCCUCGUUAAAAACCUCACCCCCCGGGAGGAAAAGAGUGCGGACCAGAAUAAGAUUGUUUUUGCGAAUUACAAGGGCGAAUCAGCCCUGAUGAGUCAAACAAAAAAUUUGCGGAGGUUGUCGAUGUUCCAGGAGUGCUCCAGGUCUUCGCCGUUUGGCGUUGUGAGCCUGUAAGCGCUGGGGGAAGCUUUCGUCUUGACUAUAAAGGGGCCCUCCCACUUGGGCUCUAGCUUGCCCCUAGACUCUGUCCGAGCUGUUCGGACGAGUACGAGGUCCCCUUCGCUGAAUUCCCUCGGGAUGACUGCAUGGUCGCGCCAUGCUUUUGUCUGGGCUUGGUAUUUGUUUAGGGCCUGUAGAGCGAAGACUCGGUCUCCGUCAAUGAGAUCCUUUGAAGUUGGCUCGUCCACGUUGGGGACGGCUGACGGAACUGUUCGCGGGGACCCAUGUUUUAUUUCUUGUGGGUCAUGGCCUCCGAUCCGUAUAGAAGGCGGAAAGGAGUAAACCCGGUCGCCCUGCACUCAGUCGUGUUUAGUGCCCAGACCGCCUCGGGUAACAAAUCGGUCCAUCUGCCCUUUUUUCAUCGAGGAGCAUCUUUUUGACAGCUGUGAAGAUUUUUCCAUUGGCGCGUUCCACAACUCCGUUGGACUGCGGAUGAUAGACUGAGGCGAAGGCAAGCUUGGUGCCAAUGGAGAAGCAAAAAUCCUUGAAGUCUUGGUUGUCAAACUGCUUGCCGUUGUCAACUGAUAGUUCGGACGGUACUCCGAAGUGGCAAACAAUGUUUUGCCAAAAGAAUCUUUGGGCGGUUUUUGAUGUUAUUGUGGAAACAGCCCUUGCCUCGAUCCAUUUGGUGAAGUACUCGACAGCGACGAAGGCAAACUUAAGGUUCCCCUGAGCGGUGGGCAGGGGCCUGACAAUGUCCAGGCCCCAGCGCUGGAGAGGCCAUGUGUGGGCGAUCAGCUUUGUAUACUGCGAGGGGCUGCCUGACCGAGGAGAGAACUUCUGGCAGGCUUCGCAGGACCUUGUGACCCGAUUUGCGGCGCAGAUCAUUGCGGGCCAGUAAAAGCCUUGGCGGAUCACCUUAGCAGCUAGGGCCCUUGGCCCUGCGUGUGAGCCGCACGUGCCACUGUGGACUUCGUGUAGGAUCUGGAUGCCUUCGGUUUCGGUGACGCACUUAAGCAUUGGCUGACUGACCCCUUUCUUGUAGAGUUGGCCUUCAAUCAGUGCGAAGUCUCGGCUUCGAUGUCUGAGGCGCUUGGCCUCACUGAUGUCGGUUGGAUGAUAGUACCCCUGUAGGAACAGGGUUAUUGGUGCCCGCCAGUCUUCGGUCAUGAUAAGGUUGACUAUGCGGUGGCCCUCGCUGUCAUUAGUUAUUUGGAGCCCUUCGGGGCUCCGGACGGCUGGCGUGCCGAUGACAUGAAAGAACACGUCGGAGGGCAAGGACUCGCCCCUGGCGGCGGCCUUGGCCAAUGCGUUGGCCUCUUCAUUCUUGGCCCGAUCCACAUGCUGCAAGGUGAAUCCCUUGAAUUGUCUCUCGAGGCUUCGGAUGGCCGCGAGGUAUUGCAUAAGCGCGGGGUCCUUUGCUGCAUAGUCUUUCUCGACUUGGCCGGCAACUACCUUGGAGUCUGUUUUGAUGAUGCAGGUGGUGACUCCGAGGGCCCUUAGCUUGCGGAGGCCGAGGAUGACUGCUUCGUAUUCUGCUAUAUUAUUUGUGCAUCUGUCGGAUUCUAGAGCGAAGCUGAGGCGUGCUGCAUAUCUGUGCUUGACCCCGACUGGUGAGGUGAUGACUGCAGCGGCGCCCGCCCCCGCAUGGCACCAUGCGUCGUCGCAAUGGAUCGUCCAAACCUUCUCUGCGGACGGGUCUGGCUGUGUUGUUGGCCCAGUCCAGUCGACGACGAAGUCUGCCAGGACUUGUGACUUGAUGGCUGUCCUGGGCUCGAAGCUGAUGUGGUAGCCGGAGAGUUCGGCCGCCCACUUGGCAAUCCUCACCGAUGCCUCCGGGUUUCUGAACAGUUCGCCGAGUCCCCUGUCUGAGGUGACUCGGACCUUGAAUGCUUCGAAGUAAUGGCGCAAUUUGCGCGAAGACAUGACGACUGCAUAGGCAAUCUUCUCCAGCUCUGUCAUGUUGCACUUGGACGGUGUCAGUACUUCGGAGACAUAGUAAACGGGGCACUGCCUGACCACGCCCUCAACUGUCUGCUCCUGCACUAGUGCCGCACUGACCGCAUGCGGCGAAGCCGCGACGUAGAGCAACAGGGGGAGCGAGGAGUCGGGGCUUGUAAGGACGGCCAACUCUGUCAGGUACUGUUUUAAUGAGGCGAAGGCCGCCGCCUGCUCUGGUCCCCAGGCGAAGUCUUUUGCACCACGGAGUGUUUUGAGGAAGGGGAGACUUCGCUCGGCGGACCUGGAGAUGAAUCUGUUGAGAGCGGCCAAUCUGCCUGUCAGGCGCUGGACGUCUCUGCCGCACUGCGGAGGCGUCAUGUUUAUGAUGGCCUGAAUCUUGGUUGGGUUGGCCUCGAUGCCGUGGUGUGAUACCAGGUAGCCCAAUAUUUUGUCUUGGCGAACGCCAAAGACGCACUUUUUCGGGUUUAGGCGGAGUCGUGCGUCUCGCAUGUUCGUGAAUGUCUCGGCGAGGUCGGCGAGAAGGUCCUCCUUGCUCUUGUUGGCGACGACAAUGUCGUCCACAUAUGUGAAUAUAUUUCUGCCAACUUGCCCUUCGAGCACUGUUUUGGUAAGCCUGGAGAAGGUGGACCCGGCGUUCUUGAGUCCCUCCGGCAUUCUGAUGAAGCACUAUGUGCCGAAGGGUGUUAUAAAGCUGGUGCUAGCCUUGUCUUCCUCUUUCAUGUAUAUCUGGUGGUAGCCGGAGAAGCAGUCAAGGAGAGACAUGACCUCGCAUCCGGCCGCGCUAUCGACUAUUUUGUCGAUCCGCGGCAACGGGAAAUUGUCCUUUGGGCAUGCCUUGUUGAGACUGGUGAAGUCGAUGCACAUUCGCCACUUCCCGCUUUUUUUCUGUACCAUUACAACAUUGGAGAGCCACGUGGGAUAAGCCACCGGCUCGAUGAAUUUGGCUUCCAGGAGGCGGUGCACCUCCGCCUUGGCGGCCUCUGUCUUCUCGUCGGACAUUUUGCGAAGCCUCUGCUUUUUUGGUCGCACCGAAGGGUCAAUUCCCAAGCUGUGCUCAAUUAUGGAUCGGCUGACUCCGACCAGAUCGAGGGCAGACCAGGCGAAGACAUCUUUAUUCUUGGACAGGCAGCAGAGGAGUUUCUCCUCUUCAUGCGAAGUGAGGUCUUCGCAGAUAGUGACUGUCUGCUUGGGCGUGGCCUGAUCGAGAGGGACAGUCUUGGUCCCGUCGUUGCUCUGCAGCUGUGCCUUGUCGUGCUGCUUAUUGGUUGGGCUGGCGGGCGCGGGGACCUCGCGCUGGGCCGUGAGGCAGUGCACGUUUCUCUGACCGGGCACGAAGUCCCGCUCUAUGUUGCGCGCAGUCUGUUGAUUGCCGUAGACCGUAAUGACGCCUAACGGACCUGGUAUCUUCAUACAUAGGUACAGUCCGUGAAUGGCUGCUUCAAACUUAUUGAUGGAGCCCCGACCCAUGAUGGCAUUGUAUGGAUAUACCAUAUCCACGAUAUCAAAGGUUAUUUGCUCACUUCUGGCAUUGGGUGCUACACCGAAGGAGAGAGGCAGCUCUAUUUUGCCGACAGGAAAGGUGCCCUUGCCGCCGAAGCCAUACAACGGGUUGUCCGAAGGCUUGAGCAGGCUGUGGCUUAUGCCCAUGCGAUCGAAGGCGUGGAGGAAGAUGAUGUCCGCCUGACUGCCAUUGUCAACUAGGACUUUGUGCAGGUCCCAGCCUGCCACGCUGCAAUUGAUAACCAUGGCGUCGCAAUGGGGGGCGCUGCGUAGGUCGACGUCUCGUGCGUCGAAGGUUAACGGUAUGUGGGACCACUUUGUCUGCACGACUGGGCCGGUGACAGCGACGUGGUUGAUGCUACGGUAGUGGUCCCGCUUCUGCCACUUUGUGUCGAAGUCAGUGUUGGACCCCCCAGUUAUCAUGUGAAUGACUCCGCGAUAUGGCUGAUCGGCGAAGUCUUCCUGCUUUGGAGCAUGGGGGAUGUUUUGAUGUUGCUGGUGUGGUGGUGGGGGUGGGGGAGGUACAAUUUGUACUUCCUGAUGGUGUUGGUAAGCGUGGUGCGGUGGAUGCGGGCGGGGGCGUGGAUAUAUGGUGGAGGGGGUUGCUGGUAAGUGUGUGCGACAACUCUGGGGUUGUCGGCUGGUUGCGCCCGUGCCAUCCUGUCUCUGGUGGCCUUCGUUUCUGGGCAGUCUUUGGUUUGGUGGGCGCAGUCUUCGCCAUGGAAGAGGCAGUAGAAUCGGCGCGGCGGCUGCGCACGCCCCCGACCCCUACCGCGAGUUCCAUUUCCGCGGCCCUGGGGGGGAUACUCCUAGCGACGAGGGGCGUCAGCAGCGGGGUGCUGGUUGGCGAUGUUAUGCACUUGCUGUUGAUUGCGGCCGUCUUGACCGGAGUCCGGCUGCGGAGUCCUCGUCCACGUGCGGCUGGACUGUGGAGCAUCUUUUGGCUUCCUUUGGGACUCAACCUUGCGCUGGUGGAGCUCUUCGGAUUUGGCGUACUUUUCAAACAACUGAUAUAAUUCCUGGAGGUUCUUGGGCGGAUCUCUGAUGCAGUGGCUGUAAAGGACGCCGGCGCGAAGGCCACUGAUAGCGUAGUGGAUAGCGAUCUGGUCAUCGACUGAGGGCAGCUAUGACUUGAGUGUUAAAAAUUUGCGGUAAUACUCCCACAGAGUCUCCUUUUCCAGCUGCUUGCAGAGCGAGAGUUCGGCCAAGGCGUCGGUGUCUGGGCGGUACCCUUGGAAGUUGAGCAGGAACUUGUCCCGGAGGCUUCUCCAGGAAUCAAUGGACAGCGGAGGCAACCUGGUGAACCAGGUGAGAGCUGGGCCCUCUAGGGCGAUGAUGAAAGACUUCGCCAUUGUGGCGUCGUCCCCUCCGGAAGAUGCAACGGCGACUUGAUAACUCAUUAUGUAUUGCACCGGGUCGGUGCUGCCGUUGUACUUGGGAUAGGUCCCUGCCCGGAAGUUAGCUGGCCAAGGCGUCACUUGCAGGUGUGGCGCCAGGGGACUUCGCUCGUCGAGAUAGUUGACCCCUUGGAAUGGCGCAGCGUGCGGGAAGGUGUUGUCGCGGUGGGGGAAACGCGGGUCUUCCGGUUGUGCGCGGUGUUGCAGGGGUGGCCCAUGCUGCAGGCCGAGGUGGCCUUCGCGCGUGUCUUCCAGUUGUGCGCGCUGCUGGAGGGGUGGCCCGUGCUGCAGGCCAAGGUGGCCUUCGCGCUGCAUCAGCGCGAUCUCCCGCUCGAGGUCCUGGGCCUUCUGCUCUUUGUCGCGUAUCAUUUGCCGCACUUUGGCUAGUGCGGACACGCGCUGGCGCUUGGCCUCCAGUAUCUCCUUUUGCCUCUGGAGAUUGCGGUUCUUGAGGCGCAGGGCGCACAGCUGUAGCUGUUCUUCCGCUGAGACGCCGAGGACUUCACCAUCCUCGGUGAGGUCCGCGCCCUCCAGUGGGGCGAAGCCUGGGGGUGGCUGCGAUUGUCCUUCAGGGCCGCAGGUGCGGAGAGUGUCGUCUUCGCAGGUGCGGGGAACGUUGUCUUCAGUGGCCUCCUGGUGGGUGGAUUGGGUGAGGGCGAGGGCCUUGCCCUUUCUUGCGGCGAGCAGUGCUGCCUUCGCAGCCUCGUCAGCCUUCGGGUUAGCUCUCUUGGGUGCCAUCGCGGGUGGUUUUCUCGUAGCACGAACGGUGGGCGCCAAAUGUUGGAACUUGCUCUCAGUUGCAAGGGGAUCCAACAAGGGUGAACAAUGACGUUAACAGGGUUCUCGCGCGUGUUGGCAAUAGCUCUGUUAAUCUGGCCUCUCACGGGCAUUGUGCGGGGGUAUUUAUAGGUAUCUGAGCGCCCAGCGCCUUGUGUUAAGGACGCAUGUGCCCUCAGCCACCUAGGUUAUCCCCAGAAUAUUCCCAUGAAGCAGGGUUACAGACUGUAAUUACAGGAAUGCCUUUACAAAUUAGGCCCGUAACACUAGGCGGCCACGCAGGGCCCGUUACAAUGGGCCGGAUCACACGUGGGCCUCUGAGCUGGACGAGGCCGCACGGUGGGAUGACGACGUCGCGGGCCUUCGUCUGGUGCCGAAUAAAGCGAAGGGUGUCCCUGCCCGUUUUGUCUCCGUCGAACCAGCGACUGCAGCGAAGGCCUCGAGCGAAGGGUGGCGUCUUUGCCUUCGCCCCAACAGUAACUUGAUACGACGGAGAGGUGUAAUACUCUGCAUGAGCGGUUGACUUUGAUUCCAUCUGAUGUCAUGUUAUGCGAAGCAGUGCUAGUUGCCUGACUCAUUUCUAGGCGGUUUGAAUCGCUAUUGAAUUCUUGUGACUGUUCAAUGAGCGGUUAGGAAAUGAACGGUCGCCUCCCAGCCUCUUUAAAUAGCCCGCUCGCCCUGGCUGCUCUCCCCACUUGUUCUCAUUCAUUCGCCUUCUUUUUCUUCCCUGCUUCCCUCCUUCCGAGCAAGCCAUGGCUGGAGGGAAGUAAGGAAAGAAAGGGCACUGCCCCGCCAAUGGGAAGCACAAACGCCCCCCAAGUCCUCCCUCAGAGGACUUUGGGGACUCAGAGUAUUCGGAGGAAUUCUCCUCCGAGUAUGAUCGUUCUCCCGUUCCUGCAUCUCCCGUAGCUUCGUUCGAUGAUUCGGACGACUUCAUGGGGCUGUCCGUCGCGGAGAGGGCGUAUGCCCAGUCCAUCGAGCAUGUGGGGCUCGGUGUGUCGGAUGACUCGGAGGAGGCCUCCUCGGAGGAGGUUGAGGACUCCUCGGGCUCCGAGGAGAGCAGCGACAGCGAUGGUGGCGGCAAUGACGACGAGGGCGAUGGUGGUAGCAGCGAUGGCGGCGACGACAGCAGCAGGGGUGGCAAGGGCAGCGGCGAUGGUAGCGGCGACAUUGACGACGGCGAAGGCAACAGCAAGUGCGGUGACGGCACGGGUGAUGGCGGUAACGGCAACGCCGGUGGCCGAGUGCCACGGGCUUAAAUAUUAGUAUAGUAUAAUAUAGUAGUAGUAGUUUAGUGGUAGUAUAGUGUAGUUUAACUAGUAGUGUAAUGUAGUUUUAAUUAGUAAUGUAAUGUAGUGUUGGAUCGAGGGGCAGUAGGCCGACUCAUAAUAAGUCGGUCUUCCUUUUGUAAUGUUCCCCAACUGAUGGAAUGAUGAAUGAAGCUUGUUCUCACGCCACUCUGUUGUUGUGUAUUCUAUUCUUUUGUCUGACGGUUCGUUAUCUUUUAGAGGUAAUGACCGAGUGGCAUUACUUUGCUGCGACCAAAACUCUCCCGAGCCAUCGGCCUGUCCUUCUGCGCCUGACUCUGUGCACCAACCUGUACUUUUGUGGACGUCCUCUUGGCCCCUGAACCCUAGUUCCUAUUUUUUCCUCCAUCGCUUUCCAUCUUUCUAAGUUCCCACAUCUUUUCGCGUUUUGUCCCUAAACCACACUGUUUGAAAAAUCAUGAUGGCGCCUAGGAAGAGAAAAUAGAGUGCUGCUACGCCAGACAUCCCUCUGAUCGAUCCUAACAGCCAACUCCCUUAUGCUGGUAACCAUGUUUCUUUCAUUUCUGAAGCUGACCUUCUGCAUCUUGUUGAAAUUUGUGUUCUACCGCCUAAGGAACUAUGUUCCUGGCAGAUCUGGCGGGGAGUUACUGUCCCGACGGAGGAUACCCACGAGGUGGUUAUCUUCGUGCCUUUUCUCACCUGGGGACUGGCCUUGCCAGUUUCUCCCUUUUUCGUGGUCUUCUCGAUUUUUACUCUCUAAUCCUUACGCAUCUAAAUCCCAAUUCUAUGCUUCAAGUUGUUGUGUUUGUUCACCUUUGCGAAGCUUUCCUUGGAAUUCUUCCACACUUUGGGCUUUGGAAGUACCUUUACCAUUGCCGGCCCGGGAUGACUGGAGGGCAACGUCAGCUUGUUGGAGGCGCUAGCUUGGAACUUCGCCGAGGCAGAAAGACUGAGUAUCUCGACAUUCCUUUGAAAGAUAGCAUUAAUGGAUGGCGCUUCGAGUGGUUCACUAUGGAGAAUCAUAACAAAUUGCUUCCUGCUCGAUCAGGGAGAUAGCUCGACAUCCGAACGCCUAGCUGGACAGUGGUCCCCAUAGAUUCAAAGCUUGCUGAGUCCAGGGUGUUGCUUGCCGAGAUAUGUGCGUUGAGGAACAGAGGCUUGACUACUGAAGCUGUUGUUGUUGACUUUGUUUUCAAGAAUAUUCAGCCUUUGAAGGAUAGAGUCUACCUUGCUUACCUAUACACUGGUGUUAAUGACCCCACUCGAAUAACCAACAAGCGAAUAUCUGAGGAGGAUGUGCUGAGUCGAGUUGACUCGAUGCUGAGAGGCAAAGCUUCAAAUGCUAGUGCUCCCCCUUCGUAUUCUGCCUGGAAUCUUCCCCUGUGGUAAGCAUUGUUGCCUAUGAGUUCCUGUAUUUGUCAUGUCUAGUGUCCUUACGGUGUUGUUUUGUUGCCGCAGAGGCCCUUUUCAGAGUUCAUAUCCAACCCGCCUGUCCAAGAUGGCAGUCUAGACCAUAGAGUGCGACCUUCUUCAGAAGAUAUUGAGGCCCUCAUUGUUGUAUACCGGGGUCUCCCAGGAGAGGAAAAACAGACUCAUCUCCAAAUGCAAGCGACUGCUAAUGAGGCUGAAGUGAACGCUGUUCUUAGUAUGCUAGCUGGCGAGUUGUCCAAAUCUACCCAUACUGAGUCGGCGAGUGCUGCAGCUGGGUGUGCCAUCGGUGGGGAUGAAAAAGCUUGCAGUCCUAUAGGUGCACAUUGCAAACGAUCAUGUCGAAUGAGUUAUCUAGCCGUGUCUGUUGAGGGAAAGAAAAGAAAAAGAAAACUUCGGCGUUCAUCCGGAUUGGAGCUAGGGGUUGACUCUACUACCCUAGACCUCGGUGGUGACCCAAUAAGUGCCAAUCUCGAAGAUGAUAUUGAGAGCUGUGGUGCCACUAGAGUCGAUGGACGUGUGUCUGACAAGGAGGAAUAGGAUGAAUAAGAAGUUCCCCCUUUGGUUUGCAAGAAUCGCCGUAGCAAAACCAGCAAUGAUGUCUCAAUUCAGGCUCUGUCAGGGCUGGUUAAUUUUCAGAAGAUGAUGAUGUCGACCAUUGAUCAUGCGCUGGAGGAGAUUAUCCUAGAAGGUCUUUUAUUGGAACUUCCUGAAAUUGGGAGUGCUGGCAUCCGUGCAUAGGUCCCGGAUGACAUUCCAUCAGCUAGUAAUCUUAUCGGGCAAGAAAUAACCCGGACAAUUUCCCAUGCUUCUUCGACCUUUGAGGGUGGCCUGAUCCACGGGGACACCUCGGAUCCUGAUGUUACAUGCAAGGGUUACCUAGCUUCUGGGGGUAUGAUUAAGGAUACUUCAGCCCCCGAGGGUGCUACUGAGGGUGAGCCAGCCCCCGAGGGUCCCGAGCUUAGCUCCUGUUCGGCUACUUCUAUGGAUGUUCAUGUUGGAUCACCACCAGUUUAGUCUGAGGAGCGAGCAUUGACAAGCCUUGAUCUUCCAACUGCUCUUGUUGGCCCGGUCACUUUAGAGGUCAGUGACCCGGGCGUUGAGGAUCUGCUGCACGCUGUUGGAGCUGAGGUCUCACUAGGUGUUGCCUUGGGCAUGAGCUCUAAUCCUCCUCUAGGACUCAAGUCUGCUCUCGAUACUGCCUCUGCUAGUACCCACCAUUCGAUGGCACCUCGGCACCUCCGGCUUUGGGGUUUCCUUUGUUCCUUUCUAACCUUCAGGUGAGCUGAUCCUUGCUCUGCUUUACUUUUGUCGACAAAAGACUCCUUUGCUAAUUCUUGUAAUUGCAGAAUGCCCUAAGCUCUGUGUCGGCUCAGUUGAAGUCUUGCGGUGCCCCUGUCCCCGAUCAGCUUCUAUCCUUGCAGCAGUGGAAUCCUCACCUGCUUCAGAAACAGAAAGAUGACCUGAAAGCAUCGAACAUCAGUUAGUGAGUUGAUAGCUUCCUUUGGUGUUCAUUGCUCCCUCGUUUUACCCCCUAUACCUUUUCCUCUUGCCCUCCCAGCUCUGACUCGAUGAUGUUCCGACGCUGAGGAGAGGUGUGCUCAGAGUCAAGCUGAUCUGAAUCAGGUUUCUGCAUUCUUGGAUGGUGCCCGAACCAUGAACUCUUCCUUGAAUGCUCAGCUUGAUUCAGAGAAGAGAGCCCAUGAGGUAGAUUUUUUUGAUUGUUCACAAUACCUUUGUUUUGCGCUUUUGCUUGGAUGUUUAAUACCCUUCUUGUCUGCUGGAGGAGAUGCGAAGACUUAUUGAUUCCCGUGACAGUCUGGACAAAUUGUAUCGUGAUGCUAGCUCCUCCCUUACUACUUUGGAGAGGAGUCAUCGCUUUACUAUGUCGGAGCUUGACCGCCAUAGGGACAAGUUGAAGGUUUCUCAGAACGAAGUGUCACAACUUAAUAGGUUACUGUCUUCAAGAGAUUCUGUCAUCAGAGACUUGCGUGCUUCGAAGAAACUUGUUUCACAGGAGUUGGAAAUUGCUCGUCAUGACAUCAAGGUCUUAGAGGAUGACCAUGAUAUUAUGAAAGCAAUGUGCGACAAAGCGAUGGACAAAGUUGUUCGCGCUAGUCGAAUCCUGAUGAAGAGACCUGGCGUCGUGGUGCUUGAAGACAUUGUUGUUGACGUGCUCGCUGCGUCCGUUGGUACGAGUAAACCUUCUCCUUCUGGUGAUCCUACUGGCGAGGUCCCUUGUGAGAACACUCCUUCACAGUAAUUGUGCAGUGAAGACAAAUUUUGAUUCGUUUGAACAGAAAAAACUUUUCAUUGAGUUGGUAUUUUUUGUCGAGAUGGCGCACGAUAGAGUCAUGUAUGUGUGAGCAUUCUGUAGCGACUUAAGGUUAUACCGACUUAAGCUGAUUAUGUCGUUAGCAGGGUAUAGUAAUCAACCUAAGUUAUGUAAGCGUGAGCAUGUCGCACCGACUUAAGACAUUUCCAACUUAAACCGAUUACUCCGUUAGUAGGGUAUAGUAAUCACCCUAAGUUAUGUAAGCGUAAGCAUGUCGCACUGACUUAAGACGUUUCUGACUUAAACCGAUUGCUCUAUUAGUAGGGUAUAGUAAUCACCCUAAGUUAUGUAAGCGUGAGCAUAUCGCACUAACUUAAGAUGUUUCUGACUUAAACCGAGUGCUCUGUUAGCAGGGUAUAGUAAUCACCCUAAGUUAUGCAAGCGUGAGCAUGUCACAUCGACUUAAGACCUUUUCGACUUAAGCCGAUUGCUCUGUUAGUAGGGUAUAUUAAUCACCCUAAGUUAUGUAAGGGUGAGCAUGUCACACCGACUUAAGACGUUUCAGACUUAUGUCGAUUGCUCCGUUAGUAGGGUAUAGUAAUGACCCUAAGUCAGUUGUGUUGAUUUAAGUCGUUUCUGACUUAAACUGCUUGCUAAUUGGGAGUUUGUAUGCGGUCAAACACAGAAGCUUUAUUGAUAAUGAAACCUUUUGUUUACAAAGUGUGGCUUGCUGACUGGAGUUUUGAUGUAGUGCUACGGGUAGAAUUUCCUGAGGUGCUCAAUAUUCCACGAGUUUCCCACUUUGGUUCCGUCCAUCUGGGUAAGUUGGUUGGAUCUUGGCCGAGUGACCUCUGCAAUGAUGAAUGGUCCUUCCCAUGGAGGUGACAAUUUGUGUUGCCCUUCUCCCAUCAGCACCUAGCAGAGCACUAUGUCCCCUAUUGCAAAGGAUCGGUGCCGCACUGCCUUAUCGUGGUAGCGCCUCAGAGUUUGCUAGUACCUAGCCGAUUGAAUGACAACGUUCAUACGUUCUUCUUCUAAUAUAUCAACAUCCUCCAGUCUAGUUGCUUCUGCUUCAGCUAUACUUUCAAAUGUUAGCCUGGGUGCUCCAAAGAUCAAAUCCGCUGACAACACUGCUUCUGAUCCAUACCAUCAAGAACAGAGUGUUUCCAUGCAAGGCCCGGCUUGGUUGGGUUUGCAGGCUCCAAACUACAUAUGGUAGUUCUUUGAUCCAUUUCCCCACAAACUUUUCGCUCUUAUCGAACACCUUUUUCCUGAGUGCAUCAAGUAUGAUCCUGUUGGUUCUUUCUACCUGCCCAUUAGCUCUUGGGUGUGUCACUGACGCAUACUUGAUCUGGAUGCUCCUCUGCUCGCAGAAAUCAAACAAAUCUGAGCUAGUGAAGUUAGAUUCAUGGUCUAAGAUGAUGUUGUUAGGUAUCCCGAAUCUAAACAAUUUUUCUUGAAUGAAUUCCACUGCUUUUGCUAAAGUCAAAUAGGCGAUAGGUUUAUACUCUAUCCAUUUUGUGAACUUGUCAAUAGCGAUGAGUAUGUGAGUAUACCCUCCUUGAGCUUUUUUGAAUGGUCCAAUCAUAUCCAGCCCCCAGCACGCAAAGGGUCAGGUUACAGGAAUAGUUUGCAAAUGCUGGGUAGGCAAGUGUUGUUGCUUCGACAGGAACUGGCAUGCUUCACAUUUCUAAACCAACUCUGCCGCAUCAUUCUUUGCUGUUGGCCAAUAGAACCCGGACCUGAAGGCUUUCCCUACCAAUGUUUUUGAUGCUGCAUGUAUGCCACAUUGCCCUCCGUGGAUUUCAUCUAGUAGCUACUGUUGGGGGCCUUCGUCUUCCGAAGGUCCUCAAAAACAUGACUAACAUGCUUUCCAAGUAUUAUAUACUGUCACAGGAACCUUCGGCUUGGAGAUGAAGGUAUGAAUGGCAUGAAAGGCACGGUCUGGGAGAAGGAUAAACCAAUUCCAAAGCUACAGAUGAAGAAGCUUCGGCUUAGCGCAAGGGCGGUGAUGGAAGAUGGAACCGACUUAAAGGGAAAUAUACUACUUAGUCCUCGACUGAUUACUCCUUAGUUAGUAGUAAGUGUCAAGGGAAUGGAUGUAAUUGUACCCAGGCUGUGUCCUAUGCCUAUAAAUAGAUGAACAGUAACACCGUACUGUUCAUGCUGAAUUGUAAUCACUCUAGCGUCACUCCUGCUUUUUCACCUUCCACCAAGCCGAAGGUAUAAAAUGUAAUUCAAUAUUAUUAAUGUUUGUUCGUGGUUAAAUAAUGAGAAUAUGAAAAGGCUAAUGAGUUAAUAUCGUUAUUAUUCAUGUUCUUUUCCAUGUUUCAUAUGUCUCUUCCCUUUUUAUUACAUGUUGUAAUUGCGAAGGUAUGCCCUUCAUAAUCUUCGUCUGAAGAUCAUUAUAUCCUAAAAGAGAUAAUGCUUCAGAGGACGAAGGUCAUUAAUCAUUAACAUUCGUGUUGCCUUGUUCUUAACACAUAACAUUUGAGAACAAGUGACCAACAUUGGCGCCCACCUCCGGUGAACUCACUUGACCACCUUUGGGAAGAUGUGACCUUCGUCAUGCCACCGAAGAAAUCUUCAGCGCUGGGGGCUGCACUGCAGCCACUGGACGUCAACCAAGAAACACUACGUGAAGCUAGAAGCCAAAAAAGGAAGGCUGCAAGUCCAACACCUCAGGAGGAGGAGUUGGACCAAGAAAUCAGGGACCUCGAAGCCAUUCAUCAACAGGUCCAGAGGAAGAAAGAGAAGAUGCUUCGUCUUGCCGAUCUUCAGAGGAAGAUUGAUGAGGCCGCUGAGGAAAUGCGUCAUCUCACCCAAGAUGACUAGGACCAAAGACCUCAGCAUAGAGAGCUUCGUCAAGACAAUUCCUACAAUGAUGAUGAAUGGUAUGAUGAUUUCCAUCAUGGAAAUUUUGCUUUUGAUGAUGCUUAUCCUCUAUCAGCAGAACUGCAGGCUACCCCAUGGACCUCAUCAUACAAGCCACCCUAGCUCCCUAUGUAUGAUGGGCACUCAGACCCGAAGUAGUUUCUAAUGAGCUACGAAGCAACCAUAUCUUCAUAUGGGGGCAACACAGCAGUCAUGGCGAAAUCCUUCGUCAUGGCAGUCAAAAAUGUCGCACAAACUUGGUACACUUCUCUCCAGCUAGGAACAAUCGCAUCAUGGCAGAAGCAGAAGGACAUGUUGAUCACUAGUUUCCAAGGGUUUCAGACGAAGCCGGUCACUGCUCAGGCUUUGUUCCAGUGCACGCAAGACCACGAAGAAUACCUCCAGGCGUAUGUCCGAAGGUUCUUACGUCUAAGAGCACAAGCGCCCAUAGUGCCAAUGAAAUUGUCAUUGAGGCCAUGAUCAAAGGGCUUCAACCAGGACCUACGACUCAGUACUUUGCUAGGAAACCCCCUCAGUCCCUGGAGAAGCUUCUUCAGAAGAUGGAUGAAUACAUCCGGGCUGAUAAUGAUUUCUGUCAGAGAAGGGAAGAAGUCUAUAGGUUUUCUGAAAUGACUAGGGGCUUUGGAGGAAGAAUCCACCCUAGGCAUGUCAGAUCAAUCUAUAACUCCAACCAGAGUGAUGACAGAGGAAGCCAGCUUUAAAGGCCACAACAUACCUCUCAAUCCUCAGGGCAACAACAAAGCUUUUUCAGGCCACUAGCCCCAAGGGGCAGAGGCGACAGGGGCUUCGGAGGAAGGUAUGGGGAUCAGCUUAGAAAGCUCUAUUGCUUAUUCUGUGGUGAAGACAAGGGCCACACUACAAGAACAUGCUAGGUCACUAUUUAGAAGCAAAAGGAGAUUGCCGAAGCAGAGGCGUGUCAGAAUCAACCGAAGCAGGUCUUACAUACUGCUUCAUGCUACUCCCCCUAUGUACCAAAAUACGUAGGUAAUCAACCUGCGGCUUCUGUUGCUUCGACAAGUCAUUCACAAGCUUCCUGGAACCAGCUCCCAUUACCACCACCAUUGCCACCUACUCACACCUGAAGCCAGCAGCCAGAAGGGCACCAGCAUGCCCAACAUCAGCGCGACUUCUAGGAAGAGUCCGAAGCUCGUACAGUCAACAACAUUGUGCCAGAAUCGAAGCAUAUAUACUGAGGAAUAUCCUACUUUUAAUGUACCUUUAUCUUUUAUACCAUUUUAUUUUUUGUACGACAAACGAAUAACGAAGGACUUAAUUUCAAUUUCUUGUAAUAAUUGUGCCUAUAUCAAUGAGUAAAACAUACCUUCCUCACAGACUUCCAAAGCUCGAAAGACAUUUCUAAAGAAGCGGAGUAAACUCCGAAGCUCAAAAGUCGUUCCUAAGGGAAUGCAGAGACAAAAAUUAAGUUCCGAAGCUGCAAAAAGUCGUUACUAAGGGAGCGCAGCGUAAGUUUUUUGCUCAAAAGUCGUUCUUAAGGGAAUGCAGAGCCAAAAACUAAGUUCCAAAGCUGCAAAAAGUCGUUCCUAAGGGAGCACAGCGUAAGUUUUCUGCUCAAAAGUCGUUACAAAGGGAAUGCAGAGCCAAAUACCACCAAAAUAGAAGGUGAAGAAGCACAAAAGUCAUUCCUAAGGGGAUGCAGAGCUUAAAGCCACCGAAAUAGAAGGUGAAGAAGCUCAAAUGUCGUUCCUAAGGGAAUGCAGAGCUUAAAGACUCAAAAGUCAUUCCUAAGGGGAUGCAGAGUCUUGUGUUCCAGUGUGGGCGUGUGUGUGUAUGGUCGACAUCAUCAUUUUGCAUCAUGUCAUCAUAUCAUUCCGCAUAACAUUACAUCAUACAUCAUAUCGCAUCAACAGCAAAAAAGAUUGAAUACGAAGCAAAUCUUCAGCAAUACUUUGGUAAAAGAAAAUGUGCUGACGCAUGAAUCGAACUUCAGGAAAUACGUCUUAAUCGGACUCGCCAAAGACAGGGUUUGUUUCUUUACGAAGCAUGAAAAGAAGGGAAGGUGUUUUUUUCGCCGAAGGCUCAAAAACGGUAUGUACAUAAGUUUCAUGCAUCGCAAAGAAAUAUAUUACAGCAAUUUACAUGACUCAUCAAUUGUUCAAAACACCAAAUGUUACAAAGUGUUUUUACAAUAAGGUCUAAUCUUCCCUAAGAAUUUUUUCCGCAGCUUCGUUCAAUAACUUGUCGACGACUUCAUCAAUAAUAGAGUUAGCAACGCUCAUUACAUCUAAUGCUUCCUUCAUAACCGGAUCAGCUAGGGGGUUGUAUGGCUCCGGCAGCGGUGAUAGUUCAGCUGUAGUAGGCAAACUAUUAGUUCGAAGCCACAAAUUAAGUGCCGAAGCUAAAAACUCAAAAACAAUACCUAUGCGCCUUUCGUGUUCAGCAGCUUCUUUAGCUCGCCUAGCUUCUUCUUGGACUUCAUGGGUUUCUUUUUCAUUUUUCUUUAUUAUUAUUUCAUUGGCCAAUUCUCGGCCACCGUUCACCCAGAUAUCAGAAUAAAAUAUUCCACCCACCGAAGUAGCUUCGACCGAGGGGUCUUUUAUGUCGUCUAUGGAGAAGGCCACUUCAGCUUCGGCCGCAGCUUUAACAUGAUUGCAUCUAGCCUUCUCCAGAAUAGACGCAAUUCCCCGUGCGCCGGAGAAAGCACAGAUAUCCCCACAAUUGCUUAGGAUCUCCUCGAAAGCUUCGGCUUCCCCGCUUAUCCAUUCAAUAAGGCCCUCGGGGUCGCCUCGAAUAAAAUUCUCCUCAGAAGAAUAGGCGCCCACUUUGGAAAAGCUAGUUUUCAAUUUAUUUACCCAAUCCAAGGAUUUUUCAAAACAUAUUUCCUUGGAUUCGCGAAGCUCCUCAACAUUUUUCUCUAGCUUAGUCUUCCAAUAUUCACUAAUUUCUUGGCUAGCCUUUGCGAGCGCAUAAUUUUCAUUGGCUUCGGCAAGUUUUUUAUGAAGAUCUUCAACGACUUUAUAAGCUUCAGUUUGAGCAUUAAAUUUUGCUUCAUCUUCUUUUGCUUUAUCCACCAAUGAAAGUCGAAUUUUAUCUUUCUUCAUGGCUUUGUUUCUCAGCUUGAUGACCUCUGAUCGAAGGUUGCUGAGAGCUACAGAGCAGCUCUCGUCUUUGGCGUUCUUUUGCGCCCUUAGGGCGUUGCUAAGGAUUAAGCCCUACAAGAAAGAAUAAAGGAUUAGCCUGAGAAUAAAAGACUUCAUUCCCAAGUCCAUAAACUUCAAAGUUCACUUCUGUACCUUUAGACUGUUGUAUGCGAGGCUAUCCGCGAGGUCAGCCUUUGUCAUGGCGCAGAGGCCAGCUUCGAGCUUCGGAAAUCCCACACUUUUGGCCAUCUCCCGGCAGAUGGAUAACUCUUUGUUGUCAGGGAGGCAGUACAGGAAAUCAUCUUUGUCCGUCCUGUUAAACACUAAGGCCCCCUUUGGAUACUUAAGCUCCCGGGCAUAGUGUUUGGCUUCAAAAACUUCUUCUUUGGAUAAUAUUUUCCCUGAAGCAUGUCGAGUAAUAUUGUCAAGAUCUUCGGAGGGGGCUUCAGGAGCAGAGGAUUUGGCUUCUUUGGCCACAUUUUUCUCUAGAGCUACGCUAGUAUCUAGAGAUUUUUCUUCGGCCUUCUGCUCAGUUGUGGCAAGCUUCGUUUUAGCAGGCACUGAGGGCCCAGCUUCGGUCUUCGUAUGAGCUGUAACGGCUUCGACAACCUUCUUCAUAGGAGCAGGAGUCAAUGCUCUUGUUGUCUCCGCAACGGCGUCUAGCACGCUGGCCAUUCUUCUCCUUUUGGGAGUGGUGGUAGGAGCCUUUGUAACCUUCGGCAGUUCCGCUUCUGCUGAUGGGCUCAGAAUUUCCAACAGCUUUGUUGCCUUUUCCAAUUCUGGCUUUUUGGCUGCCUCAUCUUCGGCUUCGACUGGCUCAACUAUAGACAACUUCAGCGCUAUAGUUGAUUCCUCAGCACUCCGAGUGGCGGGAGCAUCCUGUUCCGCUUCAGCAGUGGAAGAUGUCUCCUCACCAAAUUUUGGCACUAUGGACGUUUCAAUAUAUCUGGGCCUGUGGGUUAAAACUUUGAUUUUCUUGCCCUUUGGCGCAGCUGGAAUGGCCGAAGCGGCAGCUUUCCUCUUUUUACCCUGCUUUCACAGGGGAUAGCAAUAAUCAGGAUACAUAAAACCAAUCACAUCGAAAACUCUGUUCAAUCUUUUCUUGGUCCGACCCCUGAAGGCUGAGGACAAAGAGUCAUCUUCAGCCCUGGUGUAUGCCCCAAGAAAUUCAUCGGUAGUAGCCUCAAUGCAUUUCAACCAGUCGUCAUUUGGUUCGUCGAACCUUUCUCUGUAUCUGAAGGUAUAUUUCAAUCGAACUAAUCCACCUUCGCUGGACCCAGCAGCAGUCUCCUUUAGCAUCUCCCAACUAUCCACAAGUGGCCACACCCUAUAGGCUAUGUGCUCUUGGAUUAUGUCUCUUGUGCCAAUGAAAGCACAGACAUUGCUAAAAGCCUUUUGACAUGCUUCGGUAUCACUUUCAAUUGCUACCUUCGGCCUUCGAAGGCCGAAGCGAGACCAGAUGGGACAUUGGAUAAUCUCCUUAAUGUCCUCCCUCUUAAUCAGAUCAUUCUUGACAUAAAACCAUUCCUCCAUCUAGGCCCUAGGCCAUCUUUUCUGAAAUGUUGGAACCGGGUAGCUUGUUGAAGUGCCCCAAUCCUUUGGGACUCAAAUGUGAUACAAUUACUAGUCCCAGGAGGCUAGUAAACACAUUUAUAUAUCAGAUGAUUCUAGAUCUGCUUAAACGAGACAAACCUAUAAAGAUGGCGAUCAACUUUAAGAGUUGGUCCACAACUCGGGACAUAUCGUCAGAGUGGGGCUGAAGCAGCCCGAUAUACGCAGCAAAGCAAUUCAGCGGCCCAACAGCCACAUGCAAGGUUGGGAACAGGCGUAACUCUUACCCGAUCUCUUUUUCUGAAAAAACAACAAGUAAGCAAGGGUGAGUACAAAUGUACUCAGCAGCCCACCUUCACCCGCGUAAUGGGGAAAUCAGAUAUAAUGCAUGGAAUAUGUGGAGCUCAGGAUAUUUUGCAGAAACAGCAAUAUUUUAUGCAGGGUUGUUUUGUAAAAUAUUUUGUAUUUUUUCAAAGCGCAUCCUCUCCCAAAGGAGCAGAAAGUUUUUCAAUAUAGAAUAAAAUCCCCUGGACUAAACCAUCCAGGUAUCUCAGCAGUUUCCCACUGGUUUUCAUUUUCAAAAACAGCUACUAGACUUCCCGUCCACCAUAGCUCACGGCUCAACCGCUGGACCUUUUAAAAACCACUUUUCUCAAACACACCCUUUUUUUUGAAAACAAAACACUAAUUUUCAUACCACACCAGACUCGUCCAUUCCUAUAGACACAGACUAUUCGAAUAGGUUUGAACUCUGUGCAGAGGGGUACACUUUACCCACUAGUCCGGUUUCUGUGAUCUCACCGUCGUGAGACCCGAAUGCCGAAUCUCUUUCUUUCCUCGCCGUCCUUACCUUAACGGUUAUACCGGAAGGAGUCAGGCCACCGCCAUGUCCAAACCGGACAAAACAUUCCCCCUCCUUAUCCUCCCGGUGCUCCCCAGCCUUCAUAACCCUAGGGUUUGGACCGUACGAGUUCAGAUUGAGUGACUGCCCAUACAGUCUCUAGUGGUUGUACUUAUCAUGAGUAUAGGUAGUGAAGGAUGACAAACCGGUCCUUAUGUGAGGGGACAAUCCUUCUGCUCACACCUAAACCUGCUGAGCCAUCACCUUAGGCCCUCCCCUAAACCAGGGAGUCCCUGAUCAUCCCUACUCAAAGGUGAUAAGGGUGAAAACCCUUCAUCAUACACAUUUUGAAAAGCAUUUUCUUUUGAAAACUCACACCUUUUCUCAAAUCAUUUGUAACAAAUAUGUCAAGGAUUGAUUGCGGCAAGCGACAAGGUGGCCAUAAUAACUUGUCUCAAAAUCAUAUCAUGCAUAAAAUAACAGGCUGAGGGUUGUGGUUUAAAAACAUAGGUAAUUUAUGCAUCAAAGGGAUCUAGUGAGCUUGUCGUGCUUAUCCGGCGAAGGGGGAAGGGGAGCUCGCGGAACUGGCUUCUGGCUCCACCGCCUGGCGUAGACUUGCAGAUCUGGCCUCCACGAGACGGCACGAACGCUACGAUAACUAUGCAACAUGAACAAGCAAACAUACAAACCAACAAGUAUACCAACAAAUAUUUAGUAUAGUGGUCAGAAUAGCAAUAUAUGGAUGGGUAGAGUCUUGAGUAGAAUAUAUGUCAUGUGGUGUUGAGAUACUACUAGUGGUAGAGCGGAGGUGCUUACCACGAGGGUGGACUGGAGGCGAAGUGACACUAUGCGUGUAGCCAGCAGAGCGGAGUAACUGAGUGGGUGGGGUGUUUGCCUUGGCUGAGGGUGUUGAGUGUGUGUGGAGAGGGAGAGGGUAGCUGAGUGUAUUUAUGGCUAGGUGUAUGUGGUGUAGCACAGUGAAGUUCACUGUUAGUGAGAAUAGUGACGAAUGAAUCGUCUAACUUAGUACGAACAUGAGAGUUAUAGGCAGAAUAUGGGACAAGAGUAUUUUAGGAGUUUUCUGGAAUAUGGACCAUGCUUAAGGGAUGACAUGGUUGGAUAUGGAAUAGUUCGAUAAGAAUUUAGAAACAAGAAUUAUUGGAAUCGAAGUUUGGAAGCCUGGUUCGAAGGAAUCUCAAAGUUAAGCGUGCUCAACUUGGAGAAACCUGGGAUGGGUGUCCAGAUGGGAAGUUCCCUACUGGAAGGAAAAUCACAGUCACCGGAGUUCGUAUGACUAGAAUAUGGGUCUGGCUGGUCUUAGGUGGACUGGACAACAUGAUGGAUGAGUAGUUGAAAUUUGGGGGUGAUCGGAUGAUCGAUGAAUAGUAACGAUGAAUAGUGACGACGAAAAAGUUACCAUAGGUAUCAUCGAUGAAUAGUGACGACGAAAAAGUUACCAUAGGUAUCAUCGAUGAAUAGCAACGAUGAAUAGAACGAUGAUGAAUAGUGUCGGUGUAUACUAACGAUGGUGAAUAGUAGCGAUGAUGAAUAGUAACGGUGAAUAGUAACGAUGAAUAGUAAUGGUGAAUAGUGAUGGUGAAUAGUCCGUAUGAACGAACGAUAAAUGAUGAAUAGUGACGAUGAACGAACGAUAGGAACUAUGAACGAACGGACGAACGAUCGAAUGAUUGGACAAACGAACGAUCGGAAUUUCGGCAGCAUAACGACAUGAUAAAGAUUAUCUGGAAGAAUGAUGAAUAGGGACGAUAAACGAUGAACAGGAACUAUGAACGAAUGAUGAACGAUGAAUAGGAACUAUGAAUGAACGAUGAACGAUCGAAUGAUCGAACGAACGAACGAUCGGAAUUUCGGCAGCAAAACGGCAGGACAAAGAUUAUCUAGAAGAACGAUGAAUAGGGACUAUGAACGAACAAUGAACGAUGAAUAGGAACUAUGAACGAACGAUGAACGAUUGAAUGAUCAGACGAACGAACGAUCAGAAUUUUGGCAGCAUAACGGCAGGAAAAAGAUUAUUUGGAUGAACGAACGGACGAACGAUCGAACGAUCGGACGAACGAACCAUGAACGAUCGGACGAACGAUCAAACGAUCGGACGAACGAACGAGCAAACUAAGAACAGGGGGGACGAACGAUCGAAGAACGACCGAAUGAUCCUUGUGCUAGUGUGUGCUUGUGUGGGAGAUGGAGUGGGCGUGUGUGUGGGGGGGGGAGAGAGUUGCCAUGAAAUGGCUUGGGGUGGGAUGAGAGGAGGCCCUUGCCCCUCUAUUUAUAGCCAUGGUGGGGGAUUAGGGGGAGGGAUGAGAGGAUUAGUGGGAGGAUGAGAGGAUUAGUGGGAGAUUAGCAUGCAUUUGUCUUAUAUGAGUGUAAUUAGCUUGUAGAGCUCACCGUAUGACACCGGAGGCAUACGUAUACGUAUGAGCAUGAGGAAAGUUAUGAAGAAAAUAUUUGUAGGGACUUCAAAAUUGAUUCUGAAGGUAUUUCUGAGGAGGAAAAUACUUGGAGAUAUAUCGGUGGAAUAUUUGGACAGUAUUUCUGGAAAGAAAUUGACGGGGGUUACUGGGGAAAUAUCUGGGCAGUAUUUCUGGAAAGAAUUUGAGGGGGAUCACUGGGGAAAUAUUUGUAGGAUAUUUUCAGGAGGAUUUUGGAGAGAAUAUAGACCACUAUAUUUUAUUAGCUGAUAUCAACUCGCAAACAAACAUUUUGAAACAAAAUUUAAAAUUCAUUUUGAAUUUAGAGCGAGUUUGAGAAAAUUUCAAGAUUUGAAUUUUUGGGAUGCUACACUUGUGUUGGGACGAGCAAUAAAUCCAUAACAACCGAAGUUGUGGUGAUAUUGUUCUUUGCCAGUAGCCUUUGUCUCGUACAAUAGUUCGUGCAUAUUGCAGAAACAUUUUGCGCUCAGUUCCAGCCCUUGGCUUUUUACAGCCCAAACAAACAUCCCCAUCCUAAUUAUAACUUCGGGAGUAAUUUGGUGAAGAAAGAUCUGGAAUAUCUUCAACACUUCAACCACAAAUUUGCUCAAUGGGAACCGAAGGCCUGCCUUCAUAAAGCUUCCGUAAACAACAACUUCAUUUUCUUCAGGAACAGGGGCGCUGCUGUCUCCUCCAACCCUCACAAUAGACAUAUCACGAAAGUACCUUCCCCUCAUGGCGUCAACCUGACUCUGUUUAAUGGUCGACUUUCCGAAGAUAGUAUGGCUUGGUCGCCAAGGCCGAUCUUCGGAAUCUUCAUCUCCACUUUCCACCUCAAAGUCAUCACUGUCAUUAGAAUCUUCAGAUAGAUCCGCCAUUAUCUCCUCUGUAAUCUUUUCUGUAUUUGUUUUUGCCAUAGAUUCAUAAAACCCAGCAAUAAAAGGGUCCACAACCUUCUUCUCCUCGGCCACCUUCGUCAUCUCAGACACCUUCUUCUCCUUAGACAUUUUUUUUUUCCAAAACUUCAGUAUUUUGCAAAGAUCGAAAAUCAAGCAAGAGCUGACAACAAGAGAAUUUAAAUUUGAGAAAAUAGUGCAAGCAACAGAAAUGGCGUAACAAAUGUCGCUGCUGCGGGUUUCUAUUUAUACGCCCAGUGCAUUGCAACUUGGCGGGUCCCAUUUGUCAUUGACUUUCACUAUUCUAGCGAAGGGAAGGUGUUUUUUCGGACCUUCAGCUUAAGGCCUUCGUUCACGUCGCAGUUUGAAUUUAUUAUUACAAGAACAAAUUAAUACUGCGAGGGGCUACUAUUGGGGGCCUUCGUCUUCCGAAGGUCCUCAAAAACACGACUAACAUGCUUUCCAAGUAUUAUAUACUAUCACAGGAACCUUCGGCUUGGAGAUGAAGGUAUGAACGACAUGAAAGGCGCGGUCUGGGAGAAGGAUAAACCAAUUUCGAAGCUAUGGAUGAAGAAGCUUCGGCUUAGCGCAAGGGCGGUGAUGGAAGAUGGAACUGACUUAAUGGGAAAUAUACUACUUAGUCCUCGACUGAUUACUCCUUAGUCAGUAGUAAGUGUCAAGGACAUGGAUGUAAUUUUACCCAGGCUGUGUCCUGUGCCUAUAAAUAUAUGAACAGUAACAUCGUACUGUUCACGCUAAAUUGUAAUCACUCUAGCGUCACUCCCGCUUUUUCACCUUCCACCAAGCCGAAGGUAUAAAAUGUAAUUCAAUAUUAUUAAUGUUUGUUCAUGGUUAAAUAAUGAGAAUAUGAAAAGGCUAAUGAGUUAAUAUCGUUAUUAUUCGUGUUCUUUUCCAUGUUUCAUAUGUGUCUUCCCUUUUUAUUACAUGUUGUAAUUGCGAAGGUACGCCCUUCAUAACCUUCGUUUGAAGAUCAUUAUAUCCUAAAGGAGAUAAUGCUUCGGAGGACGAAGGUCAUUAAUCAUUAACAUUUGUGUUGCCUUGUUCUUAACUCAUAGCAUUUGAGAACAAGUGACCAACAACUGCCUUCCUGUAGCCGAAUGAAUACAUUUCAUAAGGACUCCUCCUGCACCUCUUCUAUAUAGCAGACCCUCUAUGAUGGUAUAUUGGGCCGACUGUCUUACGAUGCGCUCUGUCGUGGCCUUGUCAUCCGGUUCUUCCUUGUUUUUAUAUACCUGGUAAUUGGCUCCCUCUAGUCAUUGGGAUCUGUUUCUGCUUGGUCUAAGGUGUUGCAUUCUUCAGCAUGCUCUGCGGUGAUGCUUGGUUGCUGUACCUCUUGGAUGAAAAUACCAGGUGGAACCUGGGCCCGCCUGGACCCCAUUUUUGACAAUGCAUCUGCUGCUGCAUUGCGAUCCCUUUCCACGUGACCCCAUUUUUUUGGACCCCUUGAAUUCUAAACCCUCGAAUUUGUCUUCCAGCUUCUGCACCACAGCGCAAUAUUUUUUCAUUGAGUCGGUUGAGCAGUCCUAGUCCUUGUUUACCCGGCGGAUGACUACUAGCGAGUCGUCGUAUACCAUUAUCCUUUUGAUGCCUAGUGAAAUGGAGAUGCUUAGCCCGUGAACUAAGGCUUCAUACUUUGUGGCAUUGUUGGAUGCUAGAAACAGGAGCUGAAGCACAUACUUGAUUUGGUCACCUCCAGGGGCAAUGAAAAGGAUCCCCGCUCCUAACUCCUGCAAUCUUAACGAGUCAUCAAAGUACAUUUUCUAGACUUCAACAGCUUCUGGGUUUUCUGGGACCUGGUGCUCGGUCUAUUCUGAUAUAAAAUCGACCAGUGCUUGAGUCUUUAUUGCAAUACAAGGUCAGAAUUCUAUGUCAUGAGCUUCGAGUUCACAUGCCCAUUUGGCUGUUCUUCCAACAACUUCCUUAUUGUGGAGUAUAUCUCCUAUUGGGAAUCCUGUGACUACAAUGACUUUGCGGUCAUCAAAAUAGUGCCGAAGUUUACGAGCAGUCAGAAGUACUGCAUAUAAUAGCUUCUGAACUUGAAGGUACCUUAUCUUCGAGGGACUGAGGACAUCGCUGAUAAAGUAAAGAUGAUGCUUUACUAGAUAUGCACGCCCUUCUUCUGCCCGCUCGACUACCAACAUAGUGCUUACCAUGUGAGUCGUGCAGGAGAUAUAUAGCAGUAGGUCCUCGGCUAGCUGAUCGGAUGUAGCUCGGCGCGGUGGCUUGAGUACUGGUGGUGUAGUCAAAAACUUCUUUAGUGUUUCUAGGGCUUCUUGAGCUUCUGUGGUCCACUGGAAUUUAUCCACCUUCUUGAGCAAUUUAUAGAAUGACAUUCCUCUUUUGCCAAGCCUUGAAAUGAAUCAACUCAGCGCUGCCAUGCACCCAGUGAGCCUCUAUACUUUCUUCUAUGAUCAUGGUGGCUCCAUUCUCAUUAUGGCUUCAAUUUUUUCUGGAUUUGCCUCUAUUCCUCGAUGGUUGACGAUAAACUCAAGUAGCUUUCCAGCCAGCACUCUGAACACGCAUUUCUCUAGAUUCAGCUUCCAUCGGUAGCACCUCAAGCUGUUGAAGACCUGCUACAAAUCCUCGAUGAAGUUAUCCAAGUUUUCAGUUUUGAUUACUACGUCAUCAAUAUAGGCUUCCACUCACUUGCCCCAGUGGUUAGCUAAGCAUGUUUGGAUAGCCCUUUGCUCCAGUGUUUUUGAAGCCGAACGACAUGGAGGUAUAGCAGAAAGCCCCAAAAGGUGUGAUGAAUACAAUCAUUUCUUCGUCUUCUUUUGUUAGACUGAUUUGGUGAUAUCCGGAGUAGCAAUCUAGGAAAGAGAGCAUAGAACAGCCAACGGUGGAAUCGACUACCUGAUCUAUCCUAGGGAGUCCGAAAGGAUCUUUCAGGCAAUUUUUGUUGAGAUCGGUAUAGUCGACGCACAUGCGCCAAUCAACUUUAUUCUUUUUGAGUACAAGAACAGGAUUUGCUAGCCAUUUAGGAUGUAGUACUUCUCUAAUGAAACCUAUCGUUACCAGGCGAGCUAAUUCCGCUCGAAUGGCCUCUCUUUUGUCAGCCAUGAAAUGGUGUAGCUUCGUCCGGAUUGGCCUUGCCUUAGGGUACACUUUGAGUUUGUGCUCGACCAGCUCUCUCAGGACUCUCGGCAUGUCCGUAGGUUUCCAUGCGAACACGUCCUGAUUGUCUUGCAGGAACUGGAUGAGCGCGCUUUACUAUUUUUCGUCGAGGCUGGAACUGAUGAUAGCGGUCUUGCAUUCAUCAAAGAAUCCGAGGUUGAUUCUUUUAGUUUCUUCGGUCGACCGCAUAGAGGUCGUGGCCAGGGCUUCAUUCGAAGGGAUCGUGAAGUCUUCUUCCACCGACUUGCUAUCGACUUGCGCGGGAAGGACUACCGAGGGCUCGGUACUGAGAGCCAUCUGAAUGGCACCCCAGAAGCAUUCUGUGCCUUAGAACUCAGCACGCACGGUGAUGAUCCCUUGAGGUCCUGGCAUUUUGAGUAUCAUAUAUGGGUAGUGCGUGAUGACCAUGAAUUUCGCCAACCCCGGUCUUCCAAUAAUGGCGUUGUACCCACAAUCGAAACACGCCACCUCAAACCUCAGGAACUCAGUUUGGCAGUUCUUUGGGGUUCCAAAGGUGAUGAACAUGUAGAUGUGUCCCGGUGGGUAUUCUUGUUCGGUCGGCAUGAUGCCAAAGAAAGGGGUAUCCGACUCAGUGAGAUCGUCGAUGGCGACCCAGAGCCUGAAGCAUUUCGGGAAAGGUGACACUGAUGUUGCUGCCACCAUCCACCAGUACCUUCUUAACCUAGCUUUCCUAGAUUACAGGGUCGAGGAGUAGUGGGUAUUUGCCGGGGUGGUCGAAGUUAAGCCACUGAUCAGCUCGGCUGAAGGAUAUUGUGUUCUUAGACCAUCGGUAAGGAGCCGAAGCACUGUUUGUGGCCACUAGAACUUGUCGAUCAUUAAGUUUUUGUUGCCUUCUACUUUCUUGUGCCUCGUGGCCUCCGAAUAUGACAUUGACCUACCUAUCAAUGCACAGGAAAGCUCCACCUCUCCACCCUUCCUGUUGCUAAGGCUGCCUAGGCUCAUUAGGCUCUCCUCGAGGCGGGGGAGGUGGCAGUGGUUGGAAUGGUCGGCCAUGCCCAAUGGAGUUUUUGAAAUCCCUGCAGUUCUAAAGGGUGUACCACGUGUCCUUGUGGUAUGGGCAUUGGGAGUCGAGAAUCUCAUCCAGUGUCCUUAUCCCUCCAUGGGGUGCACCAUGGUCUCGAGCGGCAGGUGGCUCGAUAGUGUGCACCUCCUCGCGGGGUCUCUUCUCCCAGCGUUUGUCUGGUUGCUGGUUCGUGUCCCUUUGCAGUGCGAGUGGUACGGGCUUUGUGCCUCCAAUGAGGUCUUGAGCCCGCUGAUCCAUGGUAAUGUAAACGUCCGCCUCCCUGAACAGUUGUUCAGAGGUGACUAGUGCUUUUUGAAGUAUGGCUUGAACAAAAGCCAGAUCGUUGGAUCCCAAUAGAAGUAUUCAAUCACAACCGCCUCAGCGACCUCGGGGAUAUGGUUCCUCAUUGUUUGAAACCUUUUGAGGAACGAAUGAAGAGUUUCAUCAUUCUGUUGCCUAAUGGAUUUGAGAUCCCAUGGCUAAGCCGGUUUAUCGAAGAGGGACAGGAAGUUUGUGAUAAGCCAACGACUAAAAUCUCCCAAAUCGUUGAUGCAGUGUCGAGGCAGAUGCCAAAGCCAUUGCAAUGCAUCCUGCCCCAGAACGAUGGGCAAGUACGCUAUCAUGACGUCCUCUGUUGCCCUAGCAGCCUAGGCAGCAGUUGUGUAGACGGCCAACCAACCCCCUGGGUCCUGCUUGGGCUCAUAUUUAUCGACGUUGGAGACUUUGAAAUUGGGAGGCCAUUGGAUGGCCUGGAGGCUAGGGGUGAGCGUGGAGACCUCGCACGUAUCCACUUGUCGAUGAUCAUGCCAUUGAUCCCGGGGAGGAGAGUGAGUAUUAGGUCGCCUCGACCAUCCUGGGCCGGACUAUUGGUUGAGGCUGCUGCUGACUCGAUUUGGGUUGCGCGGCUAUGUGCCGGUACACCAUGAUCUCGGUCGUAUUCCUCCCGGUGCCUUAUUUCAUUCUCGUGCUGAUGGUCGCGUGAAGCACUGAUGUUGCUCCGUGCAUCUCAUCGGCUGUUGAUGGCGUGACAUAGGUCAUUCAGUGGGUGGGUGAGAGGUAGAAGAUGAUUGGCUGCCUGAGUAAGCACCCGCUGAUAGCCCUCCACGUCUGGGGUUCGUGGGAGGCUAUCGGCUAUCUGCGCCAGGACUCCUCCAACUUCGCUCGAUGUGUUCAAUGCUCGAGCAAAGUCGGGGUACAAGUUUCGGGCAAGGAGCGAAUUCUCCCGUCGGAGCCUAGCAUCUUGUUCGGCUAGUUCCCGCUCACGUUCCUGAGCUUGACGGUGGUUGUGGCGGUAGGAGUUGCGUCGUUCUCAAUGUGCUCUUUCGUCGGGGGCCUCCCCCAUCUUUGAGGCUUCGUCCCAAGAGUCGGGUUGUGUCGGGUCCCGUUCUCUAACUUCGUGAUGUCGCCACACUUCACGACGCCUGUUUCUCCAUCGCCGAGCAUCGCGCUUGGGAUGUUCUUCCCCCAGUAUGGUGGGUUCAUCAUCAGAGAUGGGCGAUGACUCUAGUCUCCCCUAAAUGAAAAGGAUGUCAGGGAAGAAAUGAACUGGUGUAGUGGCGUGCCUCUUCUCAUCAUCCUUUGAGGGUGGUGGUGUCGAGAUGAUUGCCCAUUGUGCUUUCCUUCCUUGGUAUGGAAUAUCCACUUCCCUUUGCUGGGUGAUCCGUGUCCACUCCUUAGUAGGCGAGGUGGACAAUAGAGUUCGCCAGGUUGGGGAGGCCAUGGUUGACUGGCCUUGUACCCUCUGGGGACUCCUGAGCCCAGGCUUGCGCGGGACCAUGCCCGUCGCGCUAUUAGCGGGGGCACGGCUCGCGGUUUCACUCCAACUUCCUGUGGAAUUCCGAAGGAGGAUUUCUUCUUGGGUGGAGUCGCUAUGCGAUGCAGAGUUCCCUGUGCAUUCGCUACACAUGAGAUGGUCCCGAAGCAAAAAAUAGCUCCUGGGCUGAAGGUGAUCUUGCUCUUGAAGAUGAUGGCCAUGGAGUUAGCAUUGAUCGACGACACACCCCCUACCUAGCGCGCCAACUGUCGGUGUUUUGUGUCCGACCGCACACCCAGGGUACCCUCGUGGUGCUUUUGGGUAGGACAGUGUCGUGGAUCUUAACUCGAUGGUUCGCGCUUGGGCACAAGAGAGAGAGAGGCAAGAGGAUUUCAGUAGGUUUGGGCCGCUUUGAGGAGCGUAAUACCCUACUUCCUGCGAUGGCUUUGUAUGUGAGUGGUGUUACAGGUGGUGUCUACCGAGUUGUGAUAUAUUAAUGAGAUGAAAAUGGAGGGGAUCCCCCUUGUCCUUAUAUACACGACCGUAGGGUGCUUCCCGCGUACAAGUUGAUCAUACUUUUCCUGCUUAUCUCCUAGUUAAUAGCAAACAACCUUCACUGUCUCGAGGAAAACCUGGCGCCUCUGCUCCGAGCUAUCUUCGGUGUUUGAGGAUGUCAGGCGCAGGAAAAUCAAAUGACCUCAACAUGAUCACGCCCAAACUACGACUAGUCCGGGCAUGGGCCCAUCACGCUCCUGGGUCGGCCUGCUUCCACUGUUUCCCUUUGCCCAGGCAACGGCGGGAUGUCACAGAGGGGCAACUGUCAUGUGGCCCCGGGCAAAGUUUUCGCCCCCGAGUGGACCCGGGGGAUAUCUGUCCCCCACAAUAUCCCACUCGAGCGUCCAUCUAGGUGGUAGGGUGGAUGGCUAAGUAACACAAACAACCAUCUCUUGGAGGGUACCUGAAAAAUUGGUGCCACAAGCAAGGCUGAGUAUACUAAUACUCAACUAGACUUACCUGAUGUGAGGAGUCUACUCCUCUACCUCUAGACCAUGAAGUUGUUUGGUUGAGGGGUUUGGUUUGCCAAAAGCACUAGCAGAGUCUAAGUCAAGUUUUACAUUUCAAGUUCUAGAGUGUUCUUUAAACUAGGUUAGUGUUGUUCACUUGUUCUCAAAUGCUGUGAAUCAAGAACAAGGCAACACAAUUGUUAAUUAUUAGGGACCAUUGUCUUCUAAAGCAUUAUCUCCCCAUGGAUAUAAUGAUCAUCAGACAAAGGUCAUGAAGGACAUACCUUCAUCAUUCAAUAUGUAAACAAGAAUGCAAAGAGACGAAGAGACUAACUAUAUCUCGUUAAUUCAUUCAUAUUUGCAUUCUAUUAAACAUGUAUGAAUAUCAACAGAAUUCAUAUUACAUGGAUUCCUUCAGCUUGCUCGAAGGUGAAGACACGAGAGAGUGAUUACAAUUCAGUUUGAAUAGUACGGUGUUACUGUUCAUCUAUUCAUAGGCACAGGACGCAGCCUGGGUAAAAUUACAUUCAUGGCCCUCAACAUUUAUGUAUAGACAUAACUUAGGCUAUUAAGGUCUAUCUAGUCUUUUCCUCUUCUGCUUGAUCAGAACCGAAGCUGAUGGUAGCUUCGGCAUUUGUCAUCGUUGCUUCUACGCAGGGUCUUCAUAUUGAGAACCUUCGGUAGAGGAAGGGAAUACAUUUGUAUCACUUUGUCGAAUGUGUUUUUGUCUUAAGGACCUUCGGUGGGGAAUAAGACCCCCAAUAGUAGCCCUUCGCGGUGCUAGAUCGUUUUUUCAUAACAAGCUCGAUCCACGAAAAACACGAAGGCUUCGGAACACUGAAGGUCCAAAAAACACCUUCCCUGAGCUUGUUAUCAAAAAACGAUUAAAAUAUUCCGUGCGCUGGCUGGUCCACCGUUCAGCCAGUAUACACGCUUUGGCGGUUCACCUUCUUCUCUUAUAGGACUAUAUAAACAUACGAGUUGGUGAGAAGUUACCACAUCAUUCAUUGCUAUUGCACCGUUGUGCUGUUGAAAAUUUUAACUGAAGCCGAAGCUUUCUGCAUUGUUCUUUCAAACAAGCGCGUCGUCAUUUAAGAUCAGCUUCAUCUAAAAGAAACUGAACAUUGAAAUGGCCUGAGUAAGAUCCACUACUAGGGUGUCCCAUGAGGGAGAUGAGAUUGAAGUAACCAAGACAGCGCCCAUAUUAGAAGUGAUGAGGCGGUCAGGUUUGGUUGUUCAAGAGGGAGUUACUGUCGAAGGCACCUCCAACGCAUAAGUUGUACAAGCUGAGGUCGAAGUCGAAAGUGAUAAUGAAAGUGAAGAGGAUGAUAGCAUUCUGUGCCCAACCAAGCCUAGUCACGUUGAAUUUGGAAAAUCCACAGUAAAAGCAGAGGAUCUGGUUGUGAUGAAGAAACUAGGUUAUUUUGUAGAGAAUGAAGAUGGAUUGAUUCGCUUUGCUGGAGAGGAAGUAAUUCCAGAGCCGAAGGAUGAUGAGGUUGUUGUGUUCAAGAGCUUCUUCAGGGCGGGGCUUCAGUUCCCCCUUUACAAUAUGAUAGGGGAAGUUUUAAAGAAAUUUGAGAUAUACCUCCAUCAGCUGACCCCAAACGCUAUCGUCAGGCUUAGCAUUUACAUCUAGGCUCUCCAAAGCCAGGGGAAGAGUGCUAACGUCAAAGGGUUUUGUCGGGUUCAUGAACUUCAUUAUCAGACAAAGGCAAGGGCUGAUGGUCUACAUAAAAAUUUCGGAUGCUACAACUUUGCAUACCGAAAGGAUAUGAAGGCCCCUGUGAUCGGCUACCAGACCAAGUGGCCCACUGGCUAGACAAGUGAAUGGUUUUACAUGAAGGCUGAUGAGAAAAGAGGGAGAAGCUCAUGAGCAUGGUAAUGAGUCCCUUGAAGCUGAACUUCGGCAUGACUCGACCCUUAUGCAAUAUGCAGCUGGGGUCUCCUUGCCAACUGGCCGAAGUGGAAUUUAGGGUUGUGUCUGAGCACAUUAGCACUAGGGACUUAGUGCAAGAAUAUUUAGCAAACAGAACAUUCCCAACUUCUAGUGGCUGGGGAAUGCCAAAGAAGAAAGAAGAAGAGAAGAAAUAUGAACUUGUUCGUCAGUCGUACCGCUUCAAAUUUCAGAAAAGGUUUAAAGAACCAUGUACUGAAUGGUUAGAACUGAUAGAAACCAUGUGCAACGAAAUUCUUGGAAACUAUACAAGAAAAGAAGAUCAACUAAUGACUGCUAUCCGGUCUGUCAAGGAAGACCAAGAGACUUCAAAGAAGAGAAAAACUGCACCGGAGCCGAAAGUAUUAGCUCCUAAAAACAGAAGCUUGCCGAGAAAUCCUCUAAGAAGACAAAGAUACAAGAUGCGCUGAAGCAAGCUGCAAGCCCUUCGUCUUCUGCUGUGGAGGUCUCGAAAAUAUUGAAGGUAAUGACUGAGUCUUUCCCAUUUGCACCGCUAAGUCCUCUGGGAUUGGAACUGACUAGCCUCUUACAGAAAAAGGAAAUCUCUUUGGCUGUUGAUGGGAGAGAUGGGGGCCAGAAGAAACGACGCAGGAUGAAUAUACUAACAAACCCUGCCCCCAGCCUCGGCAGACAAAGCUGGUAAAUCGACUGAUGUCGAAGCUACCACUGCAGCUGAAGACGAAAAUCUCACAACCACUAUGUCCGAAAUUGAUAGACUUAUAUCAGACGUGGCUGCGGAGAAGGAGGUAGCCUCAGUAGUUUCAGACAAGGGGAACAAAAUUGAAGAAACCUCUUCGGAAGGAGUGAAUUUCGACCUAUGGCACUUGGGUGGCCAACAACUCUCCGAAGAGGACAUAUCAUAGUUAAAAAACUUGCAACCUCCUGUGGCUACCAGCCGGGGUCAAUGCUCUUUGGCGGGGUCAAUGAAGAAGUUGUGGGAUGCAUCCGCGACUGAGCCGGUGCUAAAAUUAUAAGCACCAUGUCUAAGAGUAUUGGAUUCCUGAAGCUCGAAAAGGACAUCAGCUGCUACAGACGCCAACACGUCAUAGGCAGCUUAUUUUAUUCUAACUUCAAAGUAAGAUAAUUUUUGCUAGUUAUCGCUGAUAUCUCCGUGUUGACUUUAGUAUUCUAACUUUGAGUUCACUUUUACAGAGUUUAUUACUAAGCAAAGCUUUAAAAAUGCAACAAGAUGAUGAAGACAGGAAAAACGAAGUUAUUAUCAAGGGUUUGGAAGAUAAGAUCAAGAAACUAGAAGAUUUUCUAAAGGAAAAAAGAUGAGUUGCUGUGUUCAGCUGAAGGAUUGCUUGCCGAAGCGCAAGCUCAAAAUAAGAAAUUGAGCAAAGAGCUGACAGAGGCUUAGACACUUUUGGAAGAAAACUCCAGCCGAUUCAACCGUGAAAUCGAAGCUUUGAACAUGACACUCAAGGUUGAGGCUGAGAAGAACAUGAAGCUCAAUGAAAUGUUGAGAACUCUUAAGGAGAGAUGUUUUAAUUUUGCAGGCCAAUGCACCACCCGAUUAAGAAGUAUAUUGAAUUUAGUUGGAGCUGCAUUCGAGGAAGCUAGCCUUUGUGCUAAAGAUGUCCCCAGAGCACUCGAAUGCAUCGAGGAGGUUGACGUCCUUGACGAAGUCAUAACUAGCCAUGGAGACUUCUGUGCGCUGGUGGCUUCUCGUGGUAUGACUGCUGCUUUCAUAAAAGCCGGGUGCAAUCAUGCAAGGGCGGUCAACAGGCCGAAUUUCAACCUUUCAUCAUCGGACCUGGUUGAUAUUCCAGCCAAAGCCCGAAGCAUAGACAACAGGUUCAUUACUCAAAUCUGGGCUAAGGGCGGCCGCGAGCUGGCUAGAAACGAAGCCUGAAACCUGCUUAACAAAGUAUAUCUCUUCACCUUUAUUCUUUACUUUAAAUUUUUCCUUACUAGAUUCCUCAUUACCCUUUUCUUUGACACUCUUCAGGGUGAUGGUGCCGAAGGUUAGUGAGCCAAAGUUAGGUCCGAAGCUUUGAAGAAGACUUUAGAGGGUUCCCCUUGAUAUCUGUAGAAAUACUUUGGAAAUUCUUUUGCGCAAGAAGUGUAUUAUUUGACGAAGAACUGUAAUUGAACCUGAACAAAAUUUUAAUUAUUUCUAAAUACUUUGUAAUGCUUUUUUACCUUUCAUUCGUGUGUCGACUGCUUUGUUGUGGACGAAACCAAUGCUCGUAGCUUUUGAGCCGAAGGCAAAAAACACCUUCCCUUCUUUUUGUUCAUAUCAAAGCACCUCUUUGAGUAAAAUCAAUGGCCGGGUCUCAUAAACAAUGAAAUUUCAUUUGAGACAAAGAAUCUUCGUAUAUACGAAGCAUUUUCUCAUUGAAGGCAGAAGUUCUCGCUUUUCCUGUUAAUGCUUUGUGCUUUAUGCCAUGGUGAUGAAUCUACAGAUGCCUAUUCUAUGUUUGUAUGAAUGCAAAAGAUGAUGUGAUGAAGUAUGCACAUGUAUGAUGAAGGUAAAAACACGUGGUCUGAAGUGUGUUCAUCGGAGGUGGGCGCCAAUUGUCACUGGAGGUAGCCGAAGGUGUCGUGGCUUGAGCUCCUCGUGAAGCCAUUGUCACUGUUGUGGUCAGAAGUAAGUUCACCAGAGGUGGGUGCCAAUGUUGUUCACUUGUUCUCAAAUGUUGUGAAUCAAGAACAAGACAACACAAUUAUUAAUUAUUAGGGACCUUCGUCUUCCGAAGCAUUAUCUCCCCAUGGAUAUAAUGAUCAUCGGAUGAAGGUCAUGAAGGAUAUACCUUCAUCAUUCAAUAUGUAAACAAGAAUGCAAAGAGACAAAGAGAGUAACUAUAUCUUGUCAAUUCAUUCACAUUUGCAUUCUAUAAAACAUGUAUGAAUAUCAACAAAAUUCAUAUUACAUGGAUACCUUCGGCUUGCUCGAAGGUGAAAACACGAGAGAGUGAUUACAAUUCAGCGUGAACAGUACAGUGUUACUGUUCAUCUAUUUAUAGGUACAGGACGUAGCCCGGGUAAAAUUAAAUUCAUGACCCUCAACAUUUAUGUAUAGACAUAACUUAGACUAUUAAGGUCUAUCUAGUCUUUUCCUCUUCUGCUUGAUCUGAACCAAAGCUGAUGGUAGCUUCGGCAUUUGGCAUCGUUGCUUCUACGUAGGGUCUUUGUCUUGAGAACCUUUGGUAGAGGAAGGGAAGACUUCUGUAUCACAUUGCCGAAGGUGUUUUUGUCUUGAGGACCUUCGGCGGGGAAGAAGACCCCCAACAGUUAGCAUCCUUCUACUCACAUAGGGUACCAAGCAUUUAUUUCAAACAAUACUUUAUAUCAUGAAACCUCAUUACACUUCUUACUUAAUGCAGUACAAUGGAUCAAGUAGUCUCAUUAGCCGCGAAAAGCACACGAUUCAAAUCGAGUUUUGACCUUGAAAGGUAAACCUACACGACAUGUAUGGGCACUAUGUCCCCACACAUAUCAACUGUCCCCCUCGAUCCCCCGUCAAUAAAACAGGGACCACCGCUUUGGGUACAAUGCUCCAUAGACCUCAGACCUAGUCGUGCAGUGACCACACUUGUACCCACCAUAUUCAGAAUGGGAGACCAAUUUCUCAUGUUGGGUGAGAGAAAUCUACGGGCAGGUUCAGUCGGGUACUAGGCUUACCGAUUACCAUGUUUCUCGGCAUGUGUUUAGUACUUUCAAAUGCUUGACACAUGUAUCAGCACAUUAAUCCUUAUUCAAUUUCCCUUCCAUAGACAUGGCAUAUUCAGGGAUCCGUGUCCACAGACAAUCAUUACCCCAUUAUAAAAAGAAUACAAUUGAUUCCUGACCUCACGCAAGUGCUAGAAAAAUCACUCGACUUCUACCGAAAUCCUUAAUUAGCAUAGUAGAUACUCGAUCUAGCAUACUAGUAUCCAUUUCAUAAAGGAAUCUGAGAUCAUGCAUAUAGAGUUUCAAACAACUCAUACACUUAAUGCACAAUACAAGUCUACAAAUGUGAUUGCAGUAAAAUAGCAUAUAAAAUGGCUAUGCAUAAAACUAGGGUUUGCCUUCAGGUGUUGGUGUUGCGGGGAGUUCCUUGGUGGCAGUUUCAGGAGCAGGCUCCUGGCUUUAUUCUUGAUCUGCUCCUUCCUCUGGGAUCAACACGUAUUCUCCGUCAGCGAGGUUGUAGUCUGACAAAUGCAAUGCACGAGAGAUGUAUUUUAUGAUACGCUAAAGGGCUUGUUGGGGAUGCAUGAUGUAGUAACACUAGGUUACUUAACAAAAUAUAGGGGUUUAUACUCAUUAGAAUAAGUCAUUAUAGGAGUGGACACUGAGGGGUCUAGUUUAAGGUUGACCAUUAGGGGUUUGAUCUAGACUCAAAUCAUUUACUUAUGGGUUUAAUUAAGGUUCAGACAGGUUGUGCUUAAGUUACUUACUUAAACCUUUGUUAUCCUUAACCUCCUUUCUUUUUUAUUAAGUUUUAAAAGGGAAAUUUGAAUGACAACUAUAAUUCAUAAAAUUCCAAAAAUUAUGCAAAAAUUACAGUAAAUUCCUAUUGGUUACGGGAGGUUGUUAUAGGAAUUUUGGGUCAAUAGCAAUUAGGGUCUGACUUGAGCAAAAAAUAUCAAGUUCUAGGGCAAAGGGGGCACAUUACACUACAUCAUCUAUAUAACAGUGGCUACUGCCUAAAUGGGUAUUUUUCCUAGAAUCUAGGUGAAGUACAAGAGACUUACACAAAUUUUCAUAGUGGAACACUUAUUGGUAUUUUAUGUGGGAUUUUUCAAAUUUUAAUACUAGAAAAGCACUUAUAGCUAACUUGCCCUCUGAAAAGUGUCAAACAACAAUUUUAGAAAUUUUUCUAGGUUUCUUUUAGCACAAGAGCAGUCAUUCCUAAGGGUUUGGGUUUAACUUAUUAGGAUUAUGUUCCUAUGAUUUUCUAAAGUUUUCCUUGGUUUACUUAUUUAAAUAUCCAUUCUAUAACUUUUACCAAACUAGGGUCACUUACAUUUUUCCUGGGGUCUACAUCCUCUAUAUAGUCUAGGAAAAAUAAGAAGCUCACUGGUUUCACAUAUUAAUUAUUUUUCUUGUUUUUAUUUAAAUAAGGGCCCAAAGGGUUUUAAGUGGGCAAACCUCUCUUAAAAAACUUAGACCAGAGGGUUUCAUAAUUUUGUAUAGCAACACAAUCUAUAAGGUUUCUGCUCAAAAAAAUUCAAGCCUAGUUAAAAGGUAUAACCAAUUUUCCUUUUAUUUUCUAGAAAUGAGUAGAUUAUCGCUUUAAUUUUAAAGUCCUAGAAAAAGGACAAAAACUACUUAGUUUCUUAUUUUUGCUAGAUAGGUUAAGUUACUAGAGUGCAAAAAAUUUGGUUUCACUAAUUUUGGGUUCAUAAUUAGUUUGUUAUGAAUUUCCAAAGUUCUCUACAGAUUAAUAAAUCAUUUUAAUGUAAAAGAAAAGGAAAACUAUCUUGCGCUUAGAACCCCCGCAACCCCUAGUUCAUCUGAACAGUUGAGAGCACCAAAAGGGGGUGGGUGAUAGGUGAUCCUGCAAAAAUCAACUCUAAUCAAGACAAACUUGGUUUAUGAUAACUGUUAGUGAAAACAAAAAACUAAGUUAUUAUGAGUAGAGGUGAAGAGGAGAAGAGAACUCUUCACUUGAUUAUUCCUUAGAUAUGUGCAUUAAACUUAGGAACAACAAUACAAGUGAAAUAUGAGAACUCAUGUAAGACAACAAUCGCAAUAAGAAAUACGGUGAUUUUAUCCCGUGGUUCGGCAAAUGCCUACUCCACGUUGUGGUGACCUACUUCGGUCAAGGGUUGCAAUCAACCCCUCUCAAGUGAUCCAAAGAACAAACUUGAGUACCACAUUGUUCUUCCUUAUAUUAAUUCCCUUUGUGAGGAAUCUCCACAAGUUGGAGUCUCUCACGCCUUACACGAAUGAUCUCAAUCAAAGCACAGGAGUAAGGAGGGAGUAGAAACACACACAAAAGUACAAGAGUAGCAACACCGCACACACAAGUAAAGGAGAGAACGCAAGAAUCAAAACGACAGAGUUUUCUCUCAACAACAUGCUCAAUUCUCUCUAGAAUGAGUUGAAAGCGUGGUUGCACUGAAUCGGAGUUUCGGUGUGCUCUUAGUAUGCUUGGGUAAGAACUCCAUGUGCCUAGAGGGAUCCUUUUAUAACCCCAAGGGCCAAAGAGUUAUUUCUUCUUUGUUUGGGAGGCCCUGGUGGCCUUCUGUCCAUGGGUUCACCGGAUUGUCCGGUGCACACUGGAUAGUGAACAAUGUGUGAUUUCAUUCCAUCCCUGCCACGCCGACCAUUGAGUUAGCCAUGGCAUCCUUCGGCUACCUGGCAUACUAGAUAGUCCGGUGGCACACCUGACAGUCCAGUGCUGCCACAUGUCCACCGUUGAUUCUGUGCCUACCGUUGGCUCUAGCGAGAGUCGUUGGCCGCCUCACUCACCGGACAGUCCGGUGUAUGUGGCGGAACUGCCCGAAUUAUUCCAACUUAAGUGCCUAAGUCCCGCCUUAGAGGCUAGACCACACUUAAAUGGGAAUAACCCGUCAAUCCCUCGGAUCUAGUCCAACGAGGCCACUGACAGGAUCAAGUACCACAAUCUCACUCGAUGUUAAACUUAUUACAUCAUCAUCGGGGUUUUAGCGAAAGUAGUCAUCAUUGUUCAGAGUGCAGCGGAAUAAAACUAACGAUAAUUAGACAGAGAGAUGGGGAAGCCUGUCCCAUCACUCCUCAUGCUCCUCCUCAGCCGAGGCUAGGGCUUGCCUUCAGGUGUUGGUGUUGCGGGGAGUUCCUUGGUGGCAGUUUCAGGAGCAGGCUCCUGGCUUUAUUCUUGAUCUGCUCCUUCCUCUAGGAUCAACACGUAUUCUCCGUCAGCGAGGUUGUAGUCUGACAAAUGCAAUGCACGAGAGAUGUAUUUUAUGAUACGCUAAAGGGCUUGUUGGGGAUGCAUGAUGUAGUAACACUAGGUUACUUAACAAAAUAUAGGGGUUUAUACUCAUUAGAAUAAGUCAUUAUAGGAGUGGACACUGAGGGGUCUAGUUUAAGGUUGACCAUUAGGGGUUUGAUCUAGACUCAAAUCAUUUACUUAUGGGUUUAAUUAAGGUUCAGACAGGUUGUGCUUAAGUUACUUACUUAAACCUUUGUUAUCCUUAACCUCCUUUCUUUUUUAUUAAGUUUUAAAAGGGAAAUUUGAAUGACAACUAUAAUUCAUAAAAUUCCAAAAAUUAUGCAAAAAUUACAGUAAAUUCCUAUUGGUUACGGGAGGUUGUUAUAGGAAUUUUGGGUCAAUAACAAUUAGGGUCUGACUUGAGCAAAAAAUAUCAAGUUCUAGGGCAAAGGGGGCACAUUACACUACAUCAUCUAUAUAACAGUGGCUACUGCCUAAAUGGGUAUUUUUCCUAGAAUCUAGGUGAAGUACAAGAGACUUACACAAAUUUUCAUAGUGGAACACUUAUUGGUAUUUUAUGUGGGAUUUUUCAAAUUUUAAUACUAGAAAAGCACUUAUAGCUAACUUGCCCUCUGAAAAGUGUCAAACAACAAUUUUAGAAAUUUUUCUAGGUUUCUUUUAGCAAAAGAGUAGUCAUUCCUAAGGGUUUGGGUUUAACUUAUUAGGAUUAUGUUCCUAUGAUUUUCUAAAGUUUUCCUUGGUUUACUUAUUUAAAUAUCCAUUCUAUAACUUUUACCAAACUAGGGUCACUUACAUUUUUCCUGGGGUCUACAUCCUCUAUAUAGUCUAGGAAAAAUAAGAAGCUCACUGGUUUCACAUAUUAAUUAUUUUUCUUGUUUUUAUUUAAAUAAGGGCUCAAAGGGUUUUAAGUGGGCAAACCUCUCUUAAAAAACUUAGACCAGAGGGUUUCAUAAUUUUGUAUAGCAACACAAUCUAUAAGGUUUCUGCUCAAAAAAAUUCAAGCCUAGUUAAAAGGUAUAACCAAUUUUCCUUUUAUUUUCUAGAAAUGAGUAGAUUAUCGCUUUAAUUUUAAAGUCCUAGAAAAAGGACAAAAACUACUUAGUUUCUUAUUUUUGCUAGAUAGGUUAAGUUACUAGAGUGCAAAAAAUUUGGUUUCACUAAUUUUGGGUUCAUAAUUAGUUUGUUAUGAAUUUCCAAAGAUCUCUACAGAUUAAUAAAUCAUUUUAAUGUAAAAGAAAAGGAAAACUAUCUUGCGCUUAGAACCCCCGCAACCCCUAGUUCAUCUGAACAGUUGAGAGCACCAAAAGGGGGUGGGUGAUAGGUGAUCCUGCAAAAAUCAACUCUAAUCAAGACAAACUUGGUUUAUGAUAACUGUUAGUGAAAACAAAAAACUAAGUUAUUAUGAGUAGAGGUGAAGAGGAGAAGAGAACUCUUCACUUGAUUAUUUCUUAGAUAUGUGCAUUAAACUUAGGAACAACAAUACAAGUGAAAUAUGAGAACUCAUGUAAGACAACAAUCGCAAUAAGAAAUACGGUGAUUUUAUCCCGUGGUUCGGCAAAUGCCUACUCCACGUUGUGGUGACCUACUUCGGUCAAGGGUUGCAAUCAACCCCUCUCAAGUGAUCCAAAGAACAAACUUGAGUACCACAUUGUUCUUCCUUAUAUUAAUUCCCUUUGUGAGGAAUCUCCACAAGUUGGAGUCUCUCACGCCUUACACGAAUGAUCUCAAUCAAAGCACAGGAGUAAGGAGGGAGUAGAAACACACACAAAAGUACAAGAGUAGCAACACCGCACACACAAGUAAAGGAGAGAACGCAAGAAUCAAAACGACAGAGUUUUCUCUCAACAACAUGCUCAAUUCUCUCUAGAAUGAGUUGAAAGCGUGGUUGCACUGAAUCGGAGUUUCGGUGUGCUCUUAGUAUGCUUGGGUAAGAACUCCAUGUGCCUAGAGGGAUCCUUUUAUAACCCCAAGGGCCAAAGAGUUAUUUCUUCUUUGUUUGGGAGGCCCUGGUGGCCUUCUGUCCAUGGGUUCACCGGAUUGUCCGGUGCACACUGGAUAGUGAACAAUGUGUGAUUUCAUUCCAUCCCUGCCACGCCGACCAUUGAGUUAGCCAUGGCAUCCUUCGGCUACCUGGCAUACUAGAUAGUCCGGUGGCACACCUGACAGUCCAGUGCUGCCACAUGUCCACCGUUGAUUCUGUGCCUACCGUUGGCUCUAGCGAGAGUCGUUGGCCGCCUCACUCACCGGACAGUCCGGUGUAUGUGGCGGAACUGCCCGAAUUAUUCCAACUUAAGUGCCUAAGUCCCGCCUUAGAGGCUAGACCACACUUAAAUGGGAAUAACCCGUCAAUCCCUCGGAUCUAGUCCAACGAGGCCACUGACAGGAUCAAGUACCACAAUCUCACUCGAUGUUAAACUUAUUACAUCAUCAUCGGGGUUUUAGCGAAAGUAGUCAUCAUUGUUCAGAGUGCAGCGGAAUAAAACUAACGAUAAUUAGACAGAGAGAUGGGGAAGCCUGUCCCAUCACUCCUCAUGCUCCUCCUCAGCCGAGGCUAGGGCUUGCCUUCAGGUGUUGGUGUUGCGGGGAGUUCCUUGGUGGCAGUUUCAGGAGCAGGCUCCUGGCUUUAUUCUUGAUCUGCUCCUUCCUCUGGGAUCAACACGUAUUCUCCGUCAGCGAGGUUGUAGUCUGACAAAUGCAAUGCACGAGAGAUGUAUUUUAUGAUACGCUAAAGGGCUUGUUGGGGAUGCAUGAUGUAGUAACACUAGGUUACUUAACAAAAUAUAGGGGUUUAUACUCAUUAGAAUAAGUCAUUAUAGGAGUGGACACUGAGGGGUCUAGUUUAAGGUUGACCAUUAGGGGUUUGAUCUAGACUCAAAUCAUUUACUUAUGGGUUUAAUUAAGGUUCAGACAGGUUGUGCUUAAGUUACUUACUUAAACCUUUGUUAUCCUUAACCUCCUUUCUUUUUUAUUAAGUUUUAAAAGGGAAAUUUGAAUGACAACUAUAAUUCAUAAAAUUCCAAAAAUUAUGCAAAAAUUACAGUAAAUUCCUAUUGGUUACGGGAGGUUGUUAUAGGAAUUUUGGGUCAAUAGCAAUUAGGGUCUGACUUGAGCAAAAAAUAUCAAGUUCUAGGGCAAAGGGGGCACAUUACACUACAUCAUCUAUAUAACAGUGGCUACUGCCUAAAUGGGUAUUUUUCCUAGAAUCUAGGUGAAGUACAAGAGACUUACACAAAUUUUCAUAGUGGAACACUUAUUGGUAUUUUAUGUGGGAUUUUUCAAAUUUUAAUACUAGAAAAGCACUUAUAGCUAACUUGCCCUCUGAAAAGUGUCAAACAACAAUUUUAGAAAUUUUUCUAGGUUUCUUUUAGCACAAGAGCAGUCAUUCCUAAGGGUUUGGGUUUAACUUAUUAGGAUUAUGUUCCUAUGAUUUUCUAAAGUUUUCCUUGGUUUACUUAUUUAAAUAUCCAUUCUAUAACUUUUACCAAACUAGGGUCACUUACAUUUUUCCUGGGGUCUACAUCCUCUAUAUAGUCUAGGAAAAAUAAGAAGCUCACUGGUUUCACAUAUUAAUUAUUUUUCUUGUUUUUAUUUAAAUAAGGGCCCAAAGGGUUUUAAGUGGGCAAACCUCUCUUAAAAAACUUAGACCAGAGGGUUUCAUAAUUUUGUAUAGCAACACAAUCUAUAAGGUUUCUGCUCAAAAAAAUUCAAGCCUAGUUAAAAGGUAUAACCAAUUUUCCUUUUAUUUUCUAGAAAUGAGUAGAUUAUCGCUUUAAUUUUAAAGUCCUAGAAAAAGGACAAAAACUACUUAGUUUCUUAUUUUUGCUAGAUAGGUUAAGUUACUAGAGUGCAAAAAAUUUGGUUUCACUAAUUUUGGGUUCAUAAUUAGUUUGUUAUGAAUUUCCAAAGUUCUCUACAGAUUAAUAAAUCAUUUUAAUGUAAAAGAAAAGGAAAACUAUCUUGCGCUUAGAACCCCCGCAACCCCUAGUUCAUCUGAACAGUUGAGAGCACCAAAAGGGGGUGGGUGAUAGGUGAUCCUGCAAAAAUCAACUCUAAUCAAGACAAACUUGGUUUAUGAUAACUGUUAGUGAAAACAAAAAACUAAGUUAUUAUGAGUAGAGGUGAAGAGGAGAAGAGAACUCUUCACUUGAUUAUUCCUUAGAUAUGUGCAUUAAACUUAGGAACAACAAUACAAGUGAAAUAUGAGAACUCAUGUAAGACAACAAUCGCAAUAAGAAAUACGGUGAUUUUAUCCCGUGGUUCGGCAAAUGCCUACUCCACGUUGUGGUGACCUACUUCGGUCAAGGGUUGCAAUCAACCCCUCUCAAGUGAUCCAAAGAACAAACUUGAGUACCACAUUGUUCUUCCUUAUAUUAAUUCCCUUUGUGAGGAAUCUCCACAAGUUGGAGUCUCUCACGCCUUACACGAAUGAUCUCAAUCAAAGCACAGGAGUAAGGAGGGAGUAGAAACACACACAAAAGUACAAGAGUAGCAACACCGCACACACAAGCAAAGGAGAGAACGCAAGAAUCAAAACGACAGAGUUUUCUCUCAACAACAUGCUCAAUUCUCUCUAGAAUGAGUUGAAAGCGUGGUUGCACUGAAUCGGAGUUUCGGUGUGCUCUUAGUAUGCUUGGGUAAGAACUCCAUGUGCCUAGAGGGAUCCUUUUAUAACCCCAAGGGCCAAAGAGUUAUUUCUUCUUUGUUUGGGAGGCCCUGGUGGCCUUCUGUCCAUGGGUUCACCGGAUUGUCCGGUGCACACUGGAUAGUGAACAAUGUGUGAUUUCUUUCCAUCCCUGCCACGCCGACCAUUGAGUUAGCCAUGGCAUCCUUCGGCUACCUGGCAUACUAGAUAGUCCGGUGGCACACCUGACAGUCCAGUGCUGCCACAUGUCCACCGUUGAUUCUGUGCCUACCGUUGGCUCUAGCGAGAGUCGUUGGCCGCCUGACUCACUGGACAGUCCGAUGUAUGUGGCGGAACUGCCCGAAUUAUUCCAACUUAAGUGCCUAAGUCCCGCCUUAGAGGCUAGACCACACUUAAAUGGGAAUAACCCGUCAAUCCCUCGGAUCUAGUCCGACGAGGCCACUGACAGGAUCAAGUACCACAAUCUCACUCGAUGUUAAACUUAUUACAUCAUCAUCGGGGUUUUAGCGAAAGUAGUCAUCAUUGUUCGGAGUGCAGCGGAAUAAAACUAACGAUAAUUAGACAGAGAGAUGGGGAAGCCUGUCCCAUCACUCCUCAUGCUCCUCCUCAGCCGAGGCGGGGUCCCACUCGACAGUCCAACCCGAUGGCAAGAUGGACGGCCAUGUCACUCCAGCAACCAUGUCCUCCAAAGAACCUAUAAAAUUAUGCCACAAGCAAGGCUGAGUAUACUAAUACUCAGCUAGACUUACCCGGUGUGAGGAGUCUACUCCUCUACCUCUAGACAUGCAGCUGUUUGGCUGUGGGGUUUGGUUGCCAAAAGCACCACCUGAGUCUAAAAAUCAAGUUUUAGCUUUGUCAAGUUUAAGUGUGACUCUCUUAAGACUAAAUGUGUACUAUCUACUCAAUCAUGGUAUCAAACACAUUUAGCAAUCAACAUCUUUUGCCACAUCAUCACAUUUCAACUUGUUACUCAAUGCAGUACAAUGGAUCAAGCAGUCUCAUUAGCUGCGAGAAGCAGACGAUUCGAAUCGAGUUUUUAUCCUUGCAAGGUAAACCUAAACACACGACGUGGCGAGGCACUCCGUCCCCACACACAUCAAUUGUCCCCAUCGAUUCCCCGUCAGUAGAUCAGGGCUCACCACCUUGGCGUACAAUGCCUCACUGACCCCGACUGCCGUCGUGCAGUGACCGCACUUGUACCCACCAUAACCGGAAUGGGAGACCACGUCUCAGGUCGCGUGAGGGGAUAUGUCCACUGCCAGGUUCACUCAGGUACUAGGCUUACCGAUUUAUCAUAUUUCUCGGCAUGUGAUUAGUACGUUCAAUCGCUUGACACAAGUAUCCGCACGUUAAUCCUUAUUCCAAUUUCAUCUCGUAGACCACGCAUCCCCAUGGAUCCGUGUCCACAGACCAACAUCAGUAUGAUAUGAAAGUGGGUACAAUCAAUGUCCUGACCUCGCGCUAGUGCUGGAAAAAUCACUCGACUUCUACCGAGAUCCCUAAUUAGUAAGCAGCUACUCGACCUAGCAUACUAGUAUCCAUCACAAAAGGAAUCCUGAGUUCAUGCAACUAUGGUUUCAGGCAACUCCUACACUUAAGUGCACAGUACAAACCUACAAACAAUAAGUGUAGUAUAAUAGUAUAUAUAAACAGUUAUGCAUAAAACCAAGGCUUGCCUUCCAAAGCUGGGGCAGGUAGAUCCUCUGGUGCAGGCUCUAGUGCUGGAUCCGGGGCUACCUCCUGAGCAGCUCCUUGCUCCGGCACGAGGACAUACUCUCCGUCAGCGAGAUUGCAAUCUAUCGAAUGCAAUGAAUAAGAAUAUGCAUGCCAUGAUUAUGCAGGAUUUGGUAAACAUUAUGCUAAGUAAAAGAAAACUAAGUUAGUUUAGUAACUUAGGGUUUCUUGGUCUUACUUGGCUCUUGGUGGUGUAUGCUUAUCAACUUAGGUUUGGAGUUUUGUUAGGGAUAAGCAUAGUGGAUUUGUAUUUCCCUUAUAUAUUUCAGUGGGCGAUUUAAAAAGGGUUUUGCUGGUUGGGUUAGGGUGACACUAAUUUCCACUAUUAAUUUCCCCUUUUUCAUUUUCUAUUUAUGAAUUCUAGUGUGGGUUUGAACUACAACAUUGGUUUAACUUUUUUCCAAAAAUUCUGUAAAAAUUACAGUGGGUUACCAUUGGUCACUAUAGUCUGUUCUAUGAGUUUGAGGUCCAGAAUAAAAAGAGUAUGCCUUGAACAAAAAUAACAAAAGUUGGGCAAAGGGGGGUCACUUUGCAUUACAACUCUAAACUAGGUGUGGGUUCUGUCCUAAGGGUCAUUUUUGUUGGUAUCUAACAGUAAUCACAUGCUUCUGUGCCAAAAAUCACAGAAGGUUAAUUGGUAGUUAUUUAGUUGUGAUUUUCUAAAGUUUAAUGUCAAAAAGGCACUUUCUACUAUCUUGUUAUUUGAAAAAUGUCAAACAGCAAGUUUCAUAUUUGUCCUAUGUUUUUAAUAACAAAACAUUAAUUAUCCCAAGGUUUGGGGUGUUUUCACCUUGGGGUUAUUUUUCUAGGGUUUUUCUAAGUUUUCCUUGUUUUCUUAAAAUAAAAGGUAUCCCAAUUAUUUUAUACUAAACCAGGGUAUAAUAAAUUUUUCUAGUGAACUAUACUGAAUAAGUAGACUAACAAAAAUAUGGGUGCUCCCUGGUUCUUUAUUUAAACCUCCAUUAAUAUUUUCUCUAACUUUAGGCUAAAAAGGAUUUAAAUGGUAAACUCUACCUUAACUAGGUGUACAGAGGGGUUUAUUAUUUUUAAACAGGUUAGGAAGUGAUUAGGUACUUCUCCAAAUUUUCUUAACCUCAGUCUAACAGUGCAACUAUUUUUCCUUUUAUUAUUUAGCUUUUGGCCAAAUCAAUAUUUAAAUACAAACCUUAAAUUCCUUUGCAAUACUAAGGGGGUUUUGUAUUUUUCCUAAGUAGUUCUCAUUAUUUAAAAUCAGGCAAAAUUUGUUUGACCAAAUUUGGUUGAAUAAAACUGAAGUUAUGAAUUUUACAAGCUCUAUUUGUAUUUAAAUUAGAAAUAUUAAAAAGGUUUCCUGGAAAACCAGUUUACACCGAGGACCCUGGGUUUAAUCCAAUUCAACCCACUCAAAUCUACCCCUGCGCCACUAUUCCCCUGGGAAACUGACAGUUCAAAAAUCCCCCCGACCUUUCCUUCUUCCUCCCUGAGGUCCUUCCCCUAAUGCAAACAGUACCCGCGGGAAAGAAAUGGGCGGCGCGGCUUACCGGCGGUGAGAGAGGUCCGGCGAGGGGCGGGGUUGGCUCCGGGAGGUCCUGGCGGUCACAGCGGUGUACGGCUCGACGGCGGAGGUGGCCGGAAUCGUCCGGUCCACGUGCGCAGGCGGGUGAUCUCGUCGACGGUUGGUGUUCCGGCUAAACCACGACGAUCUAGUUCAAUCAAAUGGCACGAUGAGCUCCACGGGGUGACGUAGAGGCUAUGUGCACAAGGAAUCAAAGAAUGGGGCAGAGAUUUACCUGGUCUAUGUUCACCGGCGGUCGGGCAAAGUCCGGCGACCGUGGACUGGCUUCUCCGGCGAAGCAAAGUCCGAUUCCUUGCUCGGGGAGCUUCGCCGAGGCGUGCACAGUCUCUUCUGAGGGUCGGGCGCGGCUGGGAAGGGCUCUGUUGGCCGGUCUACGGUGGCAGGGGCUCGGGUGGCCGCGGGCACGCCGUGCACGGGGCAAACGUCGGUGGUUUCGGGCUCCGGUGAGGUCAAGCGUGCGCGGAGGAGUACGGUCGAUGCCUGAGGGUGAUUUAUAGGCGCGGGCGCGAGCAGGAGACGUGGGCACGGCUUGGCGUGGCGCGGGGUGCGCGGGGUCGAGCGCGGGCGUGCUCUGGCGCGCCCAGAACGCGUCGAACACAUGGAGGUCUUCUUCUGCCCAUGUUCAAAAGCUUGCUGAGAUCGCAAACGUGCGAAUCUUGGCAAAAAUUUGGCGCAGACCUCUUCCUGGCACCUAUGGCUAUCUCUUGUAUGUGAGUUCCAAGGGAAGAUAAGCCCUAGGUCAGAAGAUAUGCGGACGCCAAAUCUGGCUUGUCUCCCUGCCCACUUCGCGACAAAAGUGAUGCCAAGACAUGUCAAAUGUCAAGGGCUCGGUCUCAACUUUUUCCAGGGGGUGCCUUAGGUGGUAUGCCACAUUUUUGGUAUACAACAUAGGUGGUUUUGGUGCCAUCUACAAGGUGAACACGGUGGAUCUUUAGAUUAGGUGUAGAAUUUGACUUAGAGAGAAUUAGAGAGCUCUAGCUCUCUCUCUCUAUUUAAGGAAUGGAUUUGGGGUUUCUUAAGGGGUCUUUUUGCAAUGUUUCCUCUCUAUAUUUGUAGAUUAAUAUGUUACUUAACUUUGGCCAAAGGUUAGGUCAUGAUUUGCACAUUUGCUUAAUCUCCCCCCACUUCAACCAAGGUUUUAGGAGAUAGGGGUUCAAGAGGGGUCUAGGGUUUACUCCCCUCUUGCCCAAGGUGAUAAUUGUACAAAAGCUUGGGUAAUGCUUUUAGGUCAUUAACAUUCUUGGUUAAUACAUGGUCUCCAAGGUUCUUAUGCUCUUCGCCUUAAGUUUCUUCCACAUGUGAUCACAGUCAUUAGUGCAUAGAUGUGCCAUGGCCAUAGUAACACCUGGGGUGUUACAGCCCUCCCCCCUUAAAGGAAUCUCGCCCGAGAUUUAGGUAGAGUCCUCUUGAGGGGUGCCAUGAAGUAAGUCAAAACCACAACUUAUACUACCCUUAUCAUCUAAGUUGUUCUUAUAUUUAUAUUCAAAGGGCAGGUGGGGGUGGGGUUUUGGGUUACGUACCGACUCUUUUGGGCAGGAAGUCGGGGAAGCGAGAGCGUAGAAAAUCCUCCGUCUCCCAUGUAGCUUCUUCUAUUGAAUGGUGACUCCACUAAACCUUAUACAUUCUGAUCGACCUUGCCCGCGUUGACCUCUCUUUCUGAUCCAAUACCUUGAUGGGGUACUCUUGAUAGGACAAGUCUGGUUCUAUCUCAUUUUCUGGUUCAGGUAGCACUUCAGUGGGUAGGCGGACACAUUUCCAUAGCUGAGAUACAUGAAACACAUUGUGAACUGCUGACAUGUGGGGUUGCAACUUGUGAUAUCCUGGCCCCUGGGAUGGGAUGUCCUGGCCCAAGGCUUAAUAGAAUUAAUAGUGUAAUCAUACCAACCAGGUGCAUCUUCUUUUUCGGAAGCCUAUCUUGAAAGAACCUCCAAGUUAAGCGUGCUUGGCUUAGAGCAAUUUGGGAUGGGUGACUGACUGGGAAGUUUUCUCGGGUGUGCAUGAGUGAGGACAAAGUGCGCACAAAAGACUCGUGUUGGUCUGUGGUGACGAUAUAUGAUCCUAGAGAGCUGCCAGGAGUAAGUACCGCCGGUCCAGGGAUUGGACGUGGUGUUACAAGUGGUAUCAGAGCCGACCCUCGCGGUUUCACGCGCGUGUGUGGGCUAGGGGGUUUGGGUAUAUGGCGCAUGGCGCAUGUGGGCCCGGAGUGGUCACAUGGCAUGGCAUAUGACGGCACUAGACAUACAGACGUGGCCAAGAGGGGAGGUUCCUGGAUUGGGGUUGACCGACGAGGACGUCGGUCUUCUAAGGGGGUGGAUUGUGAUAUCCUGGCCCCUGGGAUGGGAUGUCCUGGCCCAAGGCUUAAUAGAAUUAAUAGUGUAAUCAUACCAACAAGGUGCAUCUUCUUUUUCGGAAGCCUAUCUUGAAAGAACCUCCAAGUUAAGCGUGCUUGGCUUAGAGCAAUUUGGGAUGGGUGACCGACUGGGAAGUUUUCUCGGGUGUGCAUGAGUGAGGACAAAGUGCGCACAAAAGACUCGUGUUGGUCUGUGGUGACGAUAUAUGAUCCUAGAGAGCUGCCAGGAGUAAGUACCGCUGGUCCAGGGAUUGGACGGGGUGUUACACAACUCCAAUUGAUAGGCUACGGGUCCACAAUUUGCUUUGAUCUCAUAGGGUCCAAUGUAGCGAGGAGCUAACUUGCCCUUGAUUCCAAAUCUCUGGACACCCUUGGUGGGUGACACCUUAAGAUAAACAUGAUCUCCCACUUCAAACUGUAGAGGCUUCCUCCUCUUAUUAUGAUAGCUCUUCUGCCUGGCCUGAGCAGCUUCUAGGUUCUUCUUAAUGACUCUGACCUUUUCCUCUGCUUCAAGUACCAAGUCUGGUCCAAAUAUUUCCCUCUCUCCUGCUUGAGACCAAUUGAGCGGGGUUCUACAUCUUCUCCCAUAUAAGGCUUCAAAAGGUGCCAUCUUCAAACUGGACUGAUAGCUGUUAUUAUAGGAGAAUUCCGCCAAAGAAAGACACUUGUCCCAAUUUUUACCAUAGUGUAGCACACAGGCUCGCAACAUGUCUUCGAGGAUUUGAUUUACUCUUUCUGUCUAGCCAUCUGUCUGUGGAUGAUAUGCGGAGCUUCUUAUUGCAUGGGUCCCAAGUGAUUCUUGUAGCUGCUCCCAAAAGCGUGCCACAAACAGUGCUCCUCUGUCAGAUACAAUGGUCUUUGGAAUACCAUGCAAACGCACUAUUUGAUCAACAUAGAUUUCUGCAUAUUUCUCUGUCUUGUGGGUGGUAUGCACUGGUAAGAAAUGAGCGGUCUUGGUCAAUCUGUCCACAAUGACCCAAAUGGAAUCAUGGUGCCGGGAGGUAUUGGGCAAUCCCACGAUAAAGUCCAUACAAAUGUCCUCCCAUUUCCAAGAUGGUAUGGGAAGGGGUUGCAAAGUGCAUGUUGCCUUCAGAUGGCUGGCCUUGACUCUCUGGCAGGUGUCACAUUUGGAUAUGUACUUGGCAAUUUCCCUCUUCAUUCUGGUCCACCAGUAUAAGGAUCUGAGAUCAUGAUACAUCUUGUUGCUGCCGGGGUGCAUGGAGAAUUUUGAAAGGUGAGCUUCAUCCAAUAUCUUCUUUCUGAGCUCAGGGUCCUUGGGAACAACCAAUCGAUCCCCAAACCAUAGAAUUCCUUUGUUGUCCUGACGGAAGCAUUUGUAUUUUUCUGCUUUCUGCUUGAUCAUUUCCUUGAUAACCUGAACACCCUUGUCUUCAAUCUUGUCGGGGACCAUAAUUAGGGGUACCCUCAAGACUCCUAAUUCUUAGCUGGUAACCCCCAUCAGCAUAAAGCUGCAAAGGCCUGAUGGGUGCGAUUAAGUCAGGGAUCAGUCCAUUCGAGCGACUCGAUCAUGCCUCGCCCGAGCCUAGCCUCGGACAAGGGCAGCCGACCCCAGAGGGUUUCCGUCUCGCCCGAGGCCCCCCUCCAACGGCAGACACAUCUCCGGCUCGCCCGAGGCCCUGCCUUCGCUAAGAAGCAACCCUGACUAAAUCGCCGCACCGACCGACCGAAUCGCAGGAGCAUUUAAUGCAAAGGUGGCCUGACAUCUUUAUCCUGACGCGCGCCCUCCGGCAGAGCCGAAGUGACCGCCGUCACUUCGCCGCUCCACUGACCGGUCUGACAGAAGGACAGCGCCGCCUGCGCCACUCCGACUACAGUGCCACUCGACAGAGUGAGACUGAUAGGCAGUCAGGCCCUGCCAAAGGCACCAUAGGAAGCUCCGCUCCGCCCGACCCAGGGCUCGGACUCGGGCUAAGUCCCGGAAGACGGCGAACUCCGCUCCGCCCGACCCAGGGCUCGGACUCGGGCUAAGACCCGGAAGACGACGAACUCCGCUCCGCCCGACCCAGGGCUCGGACUCGGGCUAAGUCCCGGAAGACGGCGAACUCCGCUCCGCCCGACCUAGGGCUCGGACUCGGUCCUGGCCUCUGCCGACGACCUUCGCCUCGCCCGACCCAGGGGCUCGGACUCGGCCUCGGCCAUGGAAGACAGACUCGACCUCGGCUUCGGAGGAGCCUCCACAUCGCCCAGCCUAGGGCGCAGGCCAACCACGUCAACGGGAAGCGCCAUCAUCACCCUACCCCAAGCUGACUCGGGCCGCAGGGAACAAGACCGGUGUCCCAUCUGGCCAGCUCCGCCAGAUAGGCAAUGAUGGCGCCCCGCACGCUCUGUGACGACGGCGGCUCCCAGCUCUCUUACGGAAGCAGGUGGACGUCAGCAAGGACUCGACCGCUCCAACAGCUGUCCCUCCGCCAGGCACCGUCGCUCCUCCGACGGCCACGACAUCACACCAGCAGGGUGCCAAGAUCUCUCCGGCUGCCACAUUGGCAUGUACUUAGGGCGUCAGCUCUCCCCCGCUAGACAUGUAGCACUCUGCUACACCCCCAUUGUACACCUGGAUCCUCUCCUUACUCCUAUAAAAGGAAGGACCAGGGCUCUCCUAGAGAAGGUUGGCCGCGCGGGGACGAGGACGGGACAGGCGCUCUCUUGGGGCCGCUCGCUUCCCUCUCCCGCGUGGACGCUUGUAACCCCCUAUUGCAAGCGCACCCGACCUGGGCGCGGGACGAACACGAUGGCCGCGGGAUUCCCACCUCUCUCACGCCGGACUCCGGCCGCCUCGCUCUCUCCCCCCUUUGUGCUCGCCCACGCGCUCGACCCAUCUAGGCUGGGGCACGCGGCACUCACUCGUCGGCCUGAGGGACCCCCGGUCUCGAAACACCGACAGUUGGCGCGCCAGGUAGGGGCCUGCUGCGUGUUGACGAACAGCUUCCCGUCAAGCUCCAGAUGGGCAGUCUCCAGCAACCUCUCCAACCCGGGACGGUGCUCUGUUUCGGGAGCCUUGAGUUCAUGUCCUUCGACGGCAGCUACGACAUGAUACUCCUUCCACCGUCGCGCGACAACGACAAUGGCGGCCGACAGCCCGCCCUCCGGCGGCGGAAUCGACGACGUCUUCCCCGCGUGGUGGAAGAACGACUUUUGAGCUCGCCCCGUCCUCUCCCCCGCCAAUGGAGGAGGAGGCGGGGCAACCAAGGCCAAACAGGAGGCCGCGCCUCGUCGGCUGUCGAACGAGUCGACGUCCCUAGCGCCCCAACGGGGGGCGCGUCGGGCAUCAACCUCGCGUUUGAGACGAAGGCGAGCGCCGUCUCCCCGCGACACGCCAAACCCGAGCAAGUGGACGACGCCAGCGCGCUUGCGAAAAGCUUGCAGGACGUCGCCCUCGUACCUGAGGCGACGGUGCAGUCAGUCCUCGACGUGACUUCAUCGCCGCUUGACGACCAAAAGGUACCGACCGAUUCCCAUCCUACGUCAUUUGGACUCAGCCUCAACCCGCCUAGCGACCUUGCUUUGGCGGGCGCUCUCGUAGAGGCGAGUUCAAACCCUCUGGGGUUUCGCAUGCGGUCGCCUUGGGACCGGUUGACGGACGUCUCGACCUACGGGCCCUCUGGGUCUGAGGAAGACGACGAUCCCAACAUCUGUUGGGAUUUCUCUGGAUUUGGCAACCCCAGUGCCAUGCGGGACUUCAUGACCGCAUGCGACUACUGCCUCUCCGACUGUUCCGACGGUAGCCGCAGCCUCGAUGAUGAGGACUGCGGCCCAAGCCGCGAAUGUUUCCACGUCGAGCUAGGGGGUCCCUCCGAAGGCAAUCAUUUCGGCAUGCCGGAGGACGACGAUCUCCCUAGGCCGGUGCCUCGCGCUGACAUCCCGCGGGAGCUAGCUGUGGUCCCCGUUCCGGCGGGGGGUUACGACCCACAGCUCGAGCAAGUCCGUGGGGCGCAGGCCAGGCUCGACGAGGGAGCAGGAGCGCUUGAGCCGAUCCGCCGGGACGUCGGGCAGGUAUGGGCGGGUCAACCCCCGGCCGGAGAAAUACGUCACCUGCCCCAGGGUCUCCAGCACCGCGUCACCGAUGACGUCAGGGUCAGGCCACCACCCGCAUCCAGUGGGGUCGGUCAGAACCUGGCCGCAGCAGCGAUGCUCCUCCGCGCGAUGCCGGAGCCAUCAACCACCGAGGGUCGGCGAAUCCAGGGGGAGCUCAAGAAUCUCCUGGAAGGCACCGCGGUCCGACGGACCGAGAGCACUGCCUCUCGAAGGCAAGGAUACCCCUCGGAACCUCAUGCCGCGACUUCCCGAUUCAUGCGGGAAGCCUCGGUCUAUACCGGGCGCACGCGCAACACCGCGCCUGCGGCCCCGGGCCGCCUCGGCAACAAGCACCAUCAUCGCGACCGUCGGGCUCACCUCGACGAAAGGGUGCGCCGAGGCUAUCACCCCAGGCGUGGGGGAUGCUACGACAGCGGGGAGGAUCGAAGUCCCUCGCCCGAACCACCCGGUCCGCAGGCCUUCAGCCGGGCCAUCCGACGGGCGCUGUUCCCGACCCGGUUCCGACCCCCGACUACUAUCACAAAGUACUCGGGGGAGACGAGACCGGAACUGUGGCUCGUGGACUACCGCCUGGCCUGCCAACUGGGUGGAACGGACGACGACAACCUCAUCAUCCGCAACCUCCCCCUGUUCCUCUCCGACACCGCUCGCGCCUGGUUGGAGCACCUGCCUCCGGGGCAGAUCUCCAACUGGGAUGACUUGGUUCAAGCCUUCGCCGGAAAUUUCCAGGGCACGUACGUGCGCCCCGGGAAUUUCUGGGACCUCCGAAGCUGCCGGCAGCAGCCGGGAGAGUCUCUCCGGGACUACAUCCGGCGAUUCUCGAAGCAGCGCACCGAGCUGCCCAACAUCACCGACUCAGAUGUCAUCGGCGCGUUCCUUGCCGGCACCACCUGCCGCGACCUGGUGAGCAAGUUGGGUCGCAAGACCCCCACCAGGGCGAGCGAGCUGAUGGACAUCGCCACCAAGUUCGCCUCUGGCCAGGAGGCGGUCGAGGUUAUCUUCCGAAAGGACAAGCAACCCCAGGGUCGUCCAUCGGAAGAUGCUCCCGAGGCGUCUACUCCGCGCGGCGCCAAGAAGAAAGGCAAGAAGAAGUCGCAAGCGAAACACGACGCCGUCGACGCGGACCUUGUCGCCGCCGCCGAGUACAAGAACCCUCGGAAGCCCCCCGGAGGUGCCAACCUCUUCGACAAGAUGCUCAAAGAGCCGUGCCCCUAUCAUCAGGGGCCCGUCAAGCACACCCUGGAGGAGUGCGUCAUGCUUCGGCGCCACUUCCACAGGGCCGGGCCACCCGCGGAGGGUGGCAGGGCCCGCGACGACGACAAGAAGGAAGAUCACCAAGCAGGAGAGUUCCCCGAGGUCCGCUACUGCUUCAUGAUCUAUGGCGGGCAUGCGGCGAAUGCCUCGGCUCGGCAUCGCAAGCAAGAGCGCCGGGAGGUCUGCUCGGUGAAGGUGGCGGCGCCAGUCUACCUAGACUGGUCCGACAAGCCCAUCACCUUCGACCAAGCCGACCACCCCGACCACGUGCCGAGCCCGGGGAAAUACCUGCUCAUCGUCGACCCCGUCGUCGGUGACGUCAGGCUCACCAAGGUCCUUAUGGACGGGGGCAGCAGCCUCAACAUCAUCUACGCCGAGACCCUCGGGCUCCUGCGCAUCGAUCUGUCCUCCGUCCGAGCAGGCGCUGCGCCCUUCCACGGGAUCAUUCCCAGGAAGCGCGUCCAGCCCCUCGGACGACUCGACCUCCCCGUCUGCUUUGGAACUCCCUCCAACUUCCGAAGGGAGACCCUGACGUUCGAGGUGGUCGGGUUCCGAGGAACCUACCACACGGUACUGGGGAGGCCAUGCUAUGCGAAGUUCAUGGCCGUCCCCAACUACACCUACUUGAAGCUCAAGAUGCUGGGCCCCAACGGGGUCAUCACCGUCGGCCCCACGUACAAACACGCGUUCGAAUGCGACGUGGAGUGCGUGGAGUACGCCGAGGCCCUCACCGAGUCCGAGGCCCUCAUCGCCGACCUGGAAAGCCUCUCCAAAGAGGUACCAGACGUGAAGCGUCAUGCCGGCAACUUUGAGCCAGUGGAGACGGUUAAGGCCGUCCCCCUCGACCCCAGUGGCGACACCUCCAAGCAGAUCCGGAUCGGUUCCGGGCUCGACCCCAAAUAGGAAGCAGUGCUCGUCGACUUUCUCCGCGCGAACGCCGACGUCUUCGCGUGGAGUCCCUCGGACAUGCCCGGCAUACCGAGGGAUGUCGCCGAGCACUCGCUGGAUAUUCGGGUCGGAGCCCAACCCGUCAAGCAGCCUCUGCGCCGAUUCGACGAGGAGAAGCGCAGAGCGAUAGGCGAGGAGAUCCACAAGCUAAUGGCGGCAGGGUUCAUCAAAGAGGUAUUCCAUCCCGAAUGGCUUGCCAACCCUGUGCUUGUGAGAAAGAAAGGGGGGAAAUGGCGGAUGUGUGUAGACUACACUGGUCUCAACAAAGCAUGUCCGAAGGUUCCCUACCCUCUGCCUCGCAUCGAUCAAAUCGUGGAUUCCACUGCUGGGUGUGAAACCCUGUCUUUCCUCGAUGCCUACUCAGGGUAUCAUCAAAUCAGGAUGAAAGAGUCCAACCAGCUCGCGACUUCUUUCAUCACACCCUUCGGCAUGUACUGCUAUGUCACCAUGCCGUUCGGUUUGAGGAAUGCGGGUGCGACGUACCAGCGGUGCAUGAACCAUGUGUUCGGCGAACACAUUGGCCGCACGGUCGAGGCCUACGUCGAUGACAUCGUAGUCAAGACGAGGAAGGCCUCUGACCUCCUUUCCGACCUUGAAGUGACAUUCCGAUGUCUCAAGGCGAAAGGCGUCAAGCUCAAUCCCGAGAAGUGUGUCUUCGGAGUGCCCCGGGGCAUGCUCUUGGGGUUCAUCGCCUCCGAGCGGGGCAUCGAAGCCAACCCGGAGAAGAUCGCGGCCAUCACCAGCAUGGGGCCCAUCAAGGACUUAAAAGGCGUACAGAGGGUCAUGGGAUGUCUCGCGGCCCUGAGCCGCUUCAUCUCACGCCUCGGCGAAAGAGGUCUGCUUCUGUACCGCCUCUUAAGGAAGGCCGAGUGCUUCGCUUGGACCCCUGAGGCCAAGGAAGCUCUCGGGAACCUGAAGGCGCUCCUCACAAAGGCGCCUAUCUUGGUGCCUCCAGCUGAUGGAGAAGCCCUCUUGGUCUACGUCGCCGUGACCACCCAGGUGGUUAGCGCCGCGAUUGUGGUCGAGAGGCAAGAAGAGGGGCAUGCAUUGCCCGUCCAGAGGCCAGUCUACUUCGUCAGCGAGGUACUGUCCGAAACCAAGAUCCGCUACCCACAAGUUCAGAAGCUGUUGUAUGCUGUGAUCCUGACGAGGCGGAAGUUGCGACACUACUUCGAGUCUCAUCCGGUAACUGUGGUGUCAUCCUUCCCCCUGGGGGAGAUCAUCCAGUGCCGAGAGGCCUCAGGCAGGAUCGCAAAGUGGGCAGUGGAAAUCAUGGGCGAGACAAUCUUGUUCGCCCCUCGGAAGGCCAUCAAGUCCUAGGUCUUGGCGGACUUCGUAGCCGAAUGGGUCGACACCCAGCUACCGACGGCCCCGAUCCAACCGGAGCUCUGGACCAUGUUUUUCGACGGGUCGCUGAUGAAGACGGGAGCCGGCGCGGGCCUCCUCUUCAUCUCGCCCCUCGGGAAGCACCUACGCUACGUGCUACGCCUCCAUUUCCCGGCGUCCAACAAUGUGGCUGAGUACGAGGCUCUGGUCAACGGGUUGCGGAUCGCCAUCGAGCUAGGGGUCCGACGCCUCGACGCUCGUGGUGACUCGCAGCUCGUCAUCGACCAAGUCAUGAAGAACACCCACUGCCGCGACCCGAAGAUAGAGGCCUACUGCGAUGAGGUUCGGCGCCUGGAAGACAAGUUCUACGGGCUCGAGCUCAACCACAUCGCUCGGCGCUACAACGAGACUGCGGACGAGCUGGCAAAAAUAGCCUCGGGGCGAACAACGGUUCCCCCGGACGUCUUCUCCCGGGAUCUGCAUCAGCCCUCCGUCAAGAUCGACGACUCGCCCGAGCCCGAGGCGCCCUCGGUCCAGCCCGAGGUACCCUCGGCACAGCCCGGGGCACCCUCGGCUCGGCCCGAGGCGCCCUCGGUUCAGCCCGAGGUACCCUCGGCCUCGAGGGCGAGGCACUGCGCAUCGAGGAGGAGCGGAGCGGGGCCACGCCUGAUCGAAAUUGGCAGACCCCGUACCUGCAAUAUCUCCGCCAAGGAGAGCUACCCCUCGACCGAGCCGAGGCUCGGCGGGUGGCACGACGCGCCAAGUCAUUCGUCUUGCUGGGCGAUGAGAAGGAGCUCUACCACCGCAGUCCCUCAGGCAUCCUCCAGCGAUGUAUCUCCGUCGCCGAAGGUCAGGAACUCCUCCAAGAGAUACACUCGGGGGCUUGCGGCCAUCAUGCAGCGCCUCGAGCCCUUGUCGGGAAUGCUUUCCGGCAAGGCUUCUACUGGCCAACGGCGGUGGCGGACGCCACAAGAAUUGUCCGCACCUGCGAAGGGUGUCAAUUCUAUGCGAAGCAGACCCACCUGCCUGCUCAGGCUCUGCAGACGAUACCCAUCACCUGGCCCUUUGUUGUGUGGGGUCUGGACCUCGUCGGCCCCUUGCAGAAGGCGCCCAGGGGCUACACGCACCUGCUGGUCGCCAUCGACAAAUUCUCCAAGUGGGUCGAGGUCCGACCUCUGAACAACAUCAGGUCCGAGCAGGCGGUGGCGUUCUUCACCAACAUCAUCCAUCGCUUCGGGGUCCCGAACUCCAUCAUCACCGACAACGGUACCCAGUUCACCGGCAGAAAAUUCUUGGAUUUCUGCGAGGAUCACCACAUCCGGGUGGACUGGGCUGCCGUGGCUCAUCCCAUGUCGAAUGGGCAAGUAGAGCGUGCCAACGGCAUGAUUCUACAAGGGCUCAAGCCUCGGAUCUACAACGAUCUCAACAAGUUCGGCAAGCGGUGGAUGAGGGAACUCCCCUCGGUGGUCUGGAGCCUGAGGACAACGCCGAGCCGAGCCACGGGUUUCACGCCGUUCUUCCUGGUCUACGGGGCCGAGGCCGUCUUGCCCACUGACCUGGAAUACGGCUCCCCGAGGACGAGGGCCUACGACAAUCAAAGCAACCAAGCUAGCCGAGAAGACUCGCUGGACCAGCUGGAAGAGGCUCAGGACAAGGCCUUACUACACUCGGUGCGGUACCAGCAGUCCCUGCGACGCUACCGCGCCCGAGGGGUCCGGCCCUGAGACCUCCAGGUGGGCGACCUGGUGCUUCGACUGCGGCAAGACGCCCGAGGGAGGCACAAGCUCACGCCCCCCUGGGAGGGGCCAUUCGUCAUCGCCAAAGUUUUGAAGCCCAGAACGUACAAGCUGGCCAACAGCCAAGGCGAGGUCUACGGCAACGCUUGGAACAUCCAACAGCUACGUCGCUUCUACCCUUAAGAUGUUUUCAAGUUAUUCAUAUACCUCGCACCCACGCAAAGUUUAGUCAUCAAGGAAGGGUCGGCCUCGCCUCGGCAAAGCCCGACCCUCCCUCGGGGGCUAAAAGGGGGGGAACCCCCUCUGCGUUGAAAUUUUCCUCGAAAAAAAAAGAUCUCUUCUGCCAGAAUAUCUUUCGUGCUUUUUGACUACUUCGAAAAGUGGAUCCUGAAAACGACGGAGUACACGUAAGCAGCCAAGGCUGACCGAGCCGAGGGACUCCUACGCCUCCGGGAUACGGAUACCUCACUCAUCACCUUCUGCGAGAAGUAACUCGCGUUCGGAUAAAGUGACUCCGCGGACCGAACAAGUCUUUACGUUCGGAAGCUCUUCUGCCGAAGCGAUCCUUCGAGCCUUCUCGACUGAGUCGGUGACAGGGCCUCAUGGACGGGUAAAGGUGCGCGUAAGCGGCAAGGCCGACCGAGCCGAGGGACUCCUACGCCUCCGGGAUACAGAUACCUCACUCGUCACCUUCCGCGAGAAGCAACUCUCGCCCGCACAAACAUCCCUGUUACCGACAAAAAAGUCCAGAUACUCGAAACAAGAGGAAAGGAGACGCAGCUUUACAACACAGCGAGGGUGUGUAUUCUGGCCUCGGCGGCCGCAGAAGGCACACGCUACAAGACACUCUGAUCCUGCAGGCUCGGGUCUUGGCGCUGGAAGGGGGCAGCAGCACCCUCGGCAUCGACGACACCUUCGGCGAGAUCCGACCUAGCCUCGGACGGCGACGCGGUCUGAGGAUCUCCGCUCUGGAGGACGACGUCAUCAUCACGCCCGAGCAAUCGCUGCCAGGGACUUCUCUGGGAAUCCGGCCCGAGCAGGCGGCUCGGCCGGUUACCCCUGAGGCCUCGGCCAACCAUCUUCCAAGGGCGCCAGCCCGACCCAAGGCCUCGGCUGAUCGACUCCGGCGUCGGUCCCGCUGACGGACAACCCAGCUAGGCUCCGGCCAACCAGGUUUCAUUUUCGAGCCAACUCCGCCUCUAUUCAUGCUGAUACCGCUACCCCUGGCCUCGGCUCGUCGAAGAGCGGCCAAGGGGUCCCUUUAACUAAGCUAGAGGAGCCUCAGACAACAAGGCCGACCGAGCCGAGGGACUCCUACGCCUCCGGGAUACGGAUACCUCACUCGUCACCUUGACACGGGGCGACUCAUGCUUGGUGAAGCGGUUUAGAUAAUCAACAGGCGAGUCUUAGUGCUCGAAAAUGAGGAAAAAACACGGCUCCGUGCCAAAAUUACAUACAUGUUCAGGCCCCGAAAGCCGUAAUGAACAAAACACUGGCAUUCGAAGUGCCAUUACAAACGGAACUCCGGUUCCCCCCUCCGCAGGUACGAACAACCCCACUCGAUUGGGGUGGGCCUGCGGAGCAACAGAAGACCGACGAACGGCGCGCCGUCACCUGCUCCAGCAGCGGCGACGACGACGGCUUCUGCCCCGGGGGGCCGAACAGCGGCAGCACUGACCUCAGGGCGGAUGCUGCUGCCAGGAGGCCCCCGCCCAUGCCAAAACUUGUGAGGCAAGGACGGGCAGAAGGCCGUAGAGUUGGAGGUCGGUCCGUGGCCGGCCUUGGCUAUCUCGCCGGCGGAAGAACCUCUUCCAGCUGUCGUGGUAGACGCCGGCGCCGCAAGCGGCUCCGAAGCCACUCGCUCCGAGAGCCAGGCACGGUGCAGCUGCCAGCGCCACGGACGACAACCGCCCCUUCCCUCCGACCACUGAGUGAAGGGGCGGGCCGCCGCCCACGCAGGGGCCGACUCCGACUCGCCUCAUCCUCCAUCUUGGCCUGGAUGACGAAAAUCCUUGAGGCCGAGGGAGGGGCAGAGGCCACAGCCCGGCUCGCUCUCCCCACCAUCAAGCCGGAGGUCACCAUCUUGGGUGACUGCCGGCGGAGGGGUGCAGCUAGGCUGCAUGAUGAAAAUCCUUGAAGCCGAACGAUGGCUGAAAGGUACCAACUCCCACGGAGUUGCGUUCCUCCAACGAUAAGGCGAAAAGACGGCGGGCAUCCCCCAUCCGGGGGCUUGGAAGGUGGAAAGACGCGAUGCAUAAGGCAGGGAGAAGACAUGGUCGCCUUCCGAAAGGGAUCGCCCUCCUUUUAAAGGCCACUCUCCCUGCUUGCGCCUCCAACCGUCAUGGGCUGAGUCUUCUCCAACACGCUCCAAGGUCCUCCCCUGCGGCGCGGGGGCUGGGUCCCACAUGUCAUGCAAACCGGCUCGAAGCAGAAGAAGCCAAACCGCCGCGCGUGGUGCACACAACUGCCUAGCGGUUACAAGUGACCCUCCACUUUUGCCCAAACCAACGGGCGAAAGAGGCGAGCAGCCAUGCAGGCGGCAUGCAACCGCGCCAAGUGGACGCGCCUCUCCGACCCCCGACACGCCAGCGUGGAGGCCCAGGCCCACGCGUCACGCAACCGGCGCGCCGGAUGCUGCAUGCAAGCAACUGCACCUCCACUUGCGCCACCACCUCGCCUCCUCGAUUGCGGAACCAGUACCGCGACUCGAGGUGACCCAGCGCACGACCCAGUGGCGCCAGCCUGACGCGGCGGUCAAACGCGGCCAAAAGUGGGCCGGCAGUAAUGGCGGUGGCAGGCGGGCGGGAGCAGCGGUCACGUCGUCAGCCAGGCUCACAUCCCAUCCGGGGGCAGCAAGAGAACCCCCUCUCACGGCGUGAAGACGACGCGCCCGUGAUCCGUUCCUCGAGCGGCUCGCGCACGCGCAACGGCCGCCCUGCCAACCACUCGCCCCGUCGCAUUAACUCCGCGGCAGGACAGGCGGCGCUUCUGGCAGGAGAAGCGGGCGACGCUUCGCCUUCGCCGAAAUAACCGCGCCAAAAAAGGUAUGCCGCGUCGUUUCGAUUCCGUAUCCUUUUCGUUUUUUCCUCUUUCUCUAUCUCUUGCAACAGGGACCGGGAAAGGGGGAUACCCCGAAAAGGAUCCUUCCCCAUGAAGGAACCAGGCUCCGAGCCUCCUUACUGAUCAGAGGUUCGAAGGCUGGCCCCCCGAAGGGUUCAACAGUCGCCUCAGAUCGUGUGGGCCCUACACCCACUACUGGUCAGAGGUUCGAAGGCCGGCCCCCGAAGGGUUCCACGGCCGCCUCAGGCUACCCGGGCUCCGCGCCCAUUACUGAUCAGGGGUUCGAAGGCUGGCCCCCGAAGGGUUCACAGUCGCCUCAGACACCGAGCGAGGGAUGACCAGGGGUACGUUCGAUACAUAACCGAGGCUCGGGCUGCGCUCCCGAGGUACCCUAGGACAUUUCCGAGACUAGCGGGAGCGAUCUUGUAACGGAAUCCCAUCGGAGGGAGGCAUCGAGCCCUCGGACCCCGUCGCUAGGGGACCGGGUCCGGCAGAUCACCCGCAGGUACUUUUGGGCGUGCCUCUGGGCCCCUAGCCGACCCCUAACGAACGGGGCACGGACGUCCACUCGGAUUACCCGCUUGCAGCUCACCGGAGACACCAUGUUCGGUGCCCAUCGAGGGUAACAUGGCGCUUCCCCCCCCCCCUCCUCCUUGCGGAAAGGCGACGUAGGGGCGUAUGUAAAAAAGCCGAGUCUGUCCCUGAUCGCCCUCUCGCCCUGUGCAGAGGCUCGGGGGCUGCUCUCGCAAACCCGGCUCCGGCCAAACCGUUGACAGCGUCAACAUACCAGCCCGAGAACUUGGGCCCCGACCGUACACCCGGGCUACGGCCAGUUCGCAUGAGGGAACAACCAGACCAGCCGAAGCGUUACGCAAGGCAUUAAGACCUCGAAGGAGUGAAACCACUCCUCCGAGGCCUCGGGGGCUACACCCGGCGGGUGCGCUCGCGCGCACCCACCGGGACAAAAUGCAACCAAGAAAGGCUGGUCCCCUUGCAAAAAAGUGUGACGAAAGCCUCCAAGCGAGUGUUAACACUCCCUUCGAGGUUCGGGGGCUACUGUCGGGGACCAUAAUUAGGGGUACCCUCAAGACUCCUAAUUCUCAGCUGGUAACCCCCAUCAGCAUAAAGCUGCAAAGGCCUGAUGGGUGCGAUUAAGUCAGGGAUCAGUCCAUUCGAGCGACUCGAUCACGCCUCGCCCGAGCCUAGCCUCGGACAAGGGCAGCCGACCCUAGAGGGUUUCCGUCUCGCCCGAGGCCCCCCUCCAACGGCAGACACAUCUCCGGCUCGCCCGAGGCCCUGCCUUCGCUAAGAAGCAACCCUGACUAAAUCGCCGCACCGACCGACCGAAUCGCAGGAGCAUUUAAUGCAAAGGUGGCCUGACAUCUUUAUCCUGACGCGCGCCCUCCGGCAGAGCCGAAGUGACCGCCGUCACUUCGCCGCUCCACUGACCGGUCUGACAGAAGGACAGUGCCGCCUGCGCCACUCCGACUACAGUGCCACUCGACAGAGUGAGACUGACAGACAGUCAGGCCCUGCCAAAGGCACCAUAGGAAGCUCCGCUCCGCCCGACCCAGGGCUCGGACUCGGGCUAAGUCCCGGAAGACGGCGAACUCCGCUCCGCCCGACCCAGGGCUCGGACUCGGGCUAAGACCCGGAAGACGGUGAACUCCGCUCCGCCCGACCCAGGGCUCGGACUCGGGCUAAGUCCCGGAAGACGGCGAACUCCGCUCCGCCCGACCCAGGGCUCGGACUCGGGCUAAGACCCGGAAGACGGCGAACUCUGCUCCGCCCGACCCAGGGCUCGGACUCGGGCUCAGCCCCAGAAGACGACGAACUUCGCUCCGCCCGACCCCAGGGCCCGGACUCCGCCCUGGCCUCUGCCGACGACCUCCGCCUCGCCCGACCCAGGGGCUCGGACUCGGCCUCGGCCAUGGAAGACAGACUCGACCUCGGCUUCGGAGGAGCCUCCAAAUCGCCCAGCCUAGGGCGCAGGCCAGCCACGUCAACGGGAAGCGCCAUCAUCACCCUACCCCAAGCUGACUCGGGCCGCAGGGAACAAGACCGAUGUCCCAUCUGGCUAGCUCCGCCAGAUAGGCAAUGAUGGCGCCCCGCACGCUCUGUGACGACGGCGGCUCCCAGCUCUCUUACGGAAGCAGGUGGACGUCAGCAAGGACUCGAUCGCUCCAACAGAUGUCCCUCCGCCAGGCACCGUCGCUCCUCCGACGGCCACGACAUCACACCAGCAGGGUGCCAAGAUCUCUCCGGCUGCCACAUUGGCAUGUACUUAGGGCGUCAGCUCUCCCCCGCUAGACACGUAGCACUCUGCUACACCCCCAUUGUACACCUGGAUCCUCUCCUUACUCCUAUAAAAGGAAGGACCAGGGCCCUCCUUAAGAAGGUUGGCCGCGCGGGGACGAGGACGGGACAGGCGCUCUCUUGGGGCCGCUCGCUUCCCUCUCCCACGUGGACGCUUGUAACCCCCUACUGCAAGCGCACCCGACCUGGGCGAGGGACGAACACGAAGGCCGCGGGAUUCCCACCUCUCUCACGCCGGACUCCGGCCGCCUCGCUCUCUCCCCCCUUUGUGCUCGCCCACGCGCUCGACCCAUCUGGGCUGGGGCACGCGGCACUCACUCGUCGGCCUGAGGGACCCCCGGUCUCGAAACGCCGACAAAUCUAUGCCCUGACUAUUUGCUCUUGUAAUGUGGGCUCCACCGAGAUAUAAUUUAAAGCACCUAAAGAAAGAACUUCCAGGUUCAGCUUGCACAACUCAUCACACAGGGUGGUGACUUUUGCAUCCAUGCUCAUACAAUUGCACUGGGCCUUUCUGCUCAAGGCAUCUGCCACAACAUUGGCUUUGCCAGGAUGGUAAUGCACCUCCAAAUCAUAGUCCUUGAUUAACUCUAACCAUCUUCUGCCUCAUAUUUAGAUCUGCCUGAGUGAAAAUGUAUUUGAGACUCUUAUGAUCAGUGUAAAUAUUACAGUGAGCUCCCAUCAAAUAAUGUCUCCAAAUCUUGAGAGCAUGAACCACAGCUGCUAACUCCAAAUCAUGGGUAGGGUAGUUCUGCUCAUGGGGUCUAAGUGCUCGGGAGGCAUAAGCAAUCACUCUAUUAUCUUGCAUUAAGACGCAUCCCAAUCCAGUACUGGAAGCAUCGCAAUAAACUUCAAAGGGCUUGGUGUUAUCAGGUUGAGCUAGCACUGGGGCUGUUGUCAAAUGCUGCCUUAGUGUAUGAAAGGCAUGUUCACACUUCUGGCUCCAAUUAUACUUGACUCCUUUCUUCAACAGUUCAGUCAUUGGCUUGGCAAUUCUGGAGAAAUCCGGAAUAAAUCGUCGAUAAUACCCUGCCAAUCCCAGAAAACUCUUAAUCUGCCGCACUGUGGUAGGAGGUUUCCAAUCCAUUACUUCUUGUACCUUCUCAGGAUCAACUGAUAUCCCAUCCUGAGAAAUUGUGUGACCCAAGAAUUUAAUUUCCCUUAGCCAGAAUUCACAUUUAGACAACUUAGCAUGGAGACGAUGAUCGCGCAGUCGCUGAAGCACGAUGUGCAGAUGCUCAGUAUGCUCGUCUUCAUUCUUGGAAUAGACCAGAAUAUCAUCAGUGAAAACCACUACAAAUUUGUCCAGCUCUGGCAUGAAUACUGAGUUCAUCAGAUACAUGAAAUAAGCCGGGGCAUUGGUCAGCCCAAAAGACAUCACCAAGAAUUCAUAGAGCCCAUAUCUGGUAGAGAAAUCCGUCUUCGGAAUAUCACUGGCACGGAUCUUGAUCUGAUGGUAGCCCGAGCGAAGGUCUAUCUUGGAGAACACCUUGGCUCCCAUCAACUGAUCAAACAAAACAUCAAUGCGGGGCAGCGGGUAUUUGUUCUUGAUGGUCACCGCAUUGAGAGGGCGGUAAUCAACACACAUUCUCAAACUCUCAUCCUUUUUCUUCACAAAUAAGGUCGGACAUCCCCACAGUGAAGUACUUGGGCGAAUGAACCCCUUGUCCAACAACUCUUGCAGUUGCUUUUUCAGUUCUGCCAAUUCUGUCGGAGGCAUCCUAUAGGGUCUCUUGGAGAUAGGAGCGGUCCCGGGUUGCAAUUCAAUUGCGAACUCAAUGUCUCUAUCAGGUGGCAUCCCUGGCAAUUCGUCUGGAAAAAACAUCUGGGUAGUCACGGACCACUGGGAUCCUUUCCACUGGGGACUCUAUCAUAACGAAGGCACAAGAAUGGGUACAACCCUGGUCGGGCAAAUAUAACGUGGUUUCACCACAGGUCGGUGAGUGCACUUCAAUGGCCCUAGCUGCAAUAUCAAUCACUGCCUAAUGUUUGGUCAACCAGUCAAUUCCCAAUAUGAUAUCCACGCUAUCCAAACCCAAAAUGAGGAGGUUGGUUUUGAUUAUCAGACUACCAAACUUUAUAGGCACAUUCUUGUUGAUUUGGUAGGUGGCAACCCUGCCUCCUGGUGUGGAAAUUGUAAUACCCCCAUUGGUGUGGUGAAAAGGUAAUUGACACUUGGCACUAAAUUUGGUACUGAUAAAACUAUGUGAUGCACCAGAAUCGAAGAGAAUAAUAGCAGGAUAAUUCAAAACGGUAAAGAUACCAGUCAUGACGGGUGCUCCCUCUGGAAUAUCAGCCAUGGUGGUGAAGUUCAGCCUGCCUUGCCUCACUUGCACCUUCUGCCUCUUGCCUUGGUUCUUAUUAACAUUCUGUCCCUGCCUCUGCUGGUUUCUGAGGCAAUUCUUGGCAUAAUGUCCGGUGUUGCCACAAGUGAAACACCUGUUGUCAUUUGCCUGACGAUACUGCUGCUGCUGUUGAUUGUUCCUCUGAGCCGGAAACUGGGUGCGGUUGGGUGCUUGCUGCUGCUGCUGCUGUGGUCGGAUCACCCAUCGCCCUUGCUGCUGCUGAGGUCCUCUGUUCUAAGUGUUGGACACGAUCCUGAAGCGCUGUGGCUGAAGGGAAGGUCCUGCCAUAGUGGUCUUCCUCUUCUUCUCUGCCUGACGAGCUGUGAUACAGUCCUCCUGAGAAAUGGCCAUGUUGACUAACUCAUUAUAGAUGUUGGCCCUGACUGUGUUGAGAUGGUCACGGCGCUUAGUGCUAAGCCCCCUCCUGAACAUGUCCCUCUUCUUCUCGUCCGUGUCUGCAUGAUACCCGGCAUACUGGCACAGGUCAUUAAAGGCCUGAGCAUACUGUAACACUGUCCGGUUUCCCUGAGUGAGUGCCAGGAACUCGUUGAGCUUUCAGUCCAUAAUGCCUACUGGUAUAUGGUGUCCCCUGAAAGCUGCCUUGAAUUCCCUCCAUUCCACCUCUCGGUCCUCUAGCUGCAUAGCAAGAAAAUGGUCCCACCAUGUCCGCGCGGGUCCACGAAGCUGCUGGGUGGCGAUCCUGACCUUAGUGACCUCUGAACAAACUCCAUGGAGUAGCGGGAAUUUGGAUUCCACUACUCUCAACCAUACAUCCGCAUCAAGUGGGUCCUCUUCCUUGGUGAACAAUGGCGGCUGGGUACUGAGGAACUCCUGGUAGGUGGCUGCCGCGGGGUGACGCUGAUGAUCACCACCACCAUAGUGCUGAGGUGGCGGCUGACGCUGAGCUAGCUGUCUCAAGAUCUCAUUCUGCUGAGCCAUCAGCUCCUGCAGAGUAGGAGGCGGUGGCGGUGGUGGAGGAGCGCGCUCAUUUUGACCACGACGCGCUCUCCCGGCCAUCUGAAAAAUCACAUAUAUUUUCAAUAACACAACUUUGAGGUUCCAGGUUCAAUCGUGGUGAAAGAGUCAAAAGGAGAAAUCGAUAGAUUCUUACAUAAUCAUAAAAGAUUUCACAUGGCAUAAACUUUUCUUCUUAAAUUAAGACUGACAUCAUUCAUCAAUCAUGCUUCCAAAAGAGUUUUUCGCGAUUACAUCAAUACCCCAAAAGACUCAACUCUAUCUAGCCUAGUACCCUAAUGGUGCAAAAGCUAAGCUAGCUUCGAGGAGUUCUACCAUCACUGACUUCUAACUCUAUCCCUACGACCUAGUGAGCAAACGAGGCAACACUCGACUCGGGGGAAGGGGGUCUCCCUGAGCCAGCAGUGUCCAAGCUGGAGGCAGGCUCCUCUCCUCCCUCGAUGUCGACAUCCUCGUUGGCCUCCAUGUCCUGGAUCUCCUGGUGAUGCAUAUCCAGGUGCUCAUUAGCCUCGAUAAGCUGUUGCUGGGUGUUAAUUAACUGAUCCUCGAGAACCUCGAUGGUGUUCUCCCUUGUUCCCACCAGUUCCUCAAGCUCUUGGAUCUCAUUUGACAGUUGCUCCACCUGUAAGUCCUUUUCCACCAUCUCCGUGGAUAAGUCAACCACAAGCUCCUCUCUGUUAUCCAAGGUGAUCUUAGUUGCCUCCAACAAUGCCAUCAGAUGGGACAUUGCCUCACCACGCAUCACUUGCAGACGAUACAGGGCAUUCAUGCACCGCACCGUCAAGUGAGUAGUCUGGCCUGGGUAGAUAGCCCAGAUGUCCUUGGCAUGCUCCACUCGGUCCUUCCACAUUGGGUCGUCCUCCUUCUCAGCGGGGAACAAGCCAAUGGGGUGAGUGGACAGCUCCAAGGGGUGGAAUCUGCAGAAGGUGGUCAGUCCGUGAAGGGCAAUCGCCUCGAUCGUAUCCUCAGCCCGGUAUCCAAAGGACUUCGAGUCCAGCGAACGCCAGCCUGGCUACAGGGGAUGAGGCUCCAGGGUCAUCCUCACCCUACAGCGGGGCACUCGGUGCUUUUCGAACUGCUGCACCGCGUACUGAGGAGGCAUCGUGUAACCGGCCCCCUGAAGUACCUCCCACAAAAUACAGGGAAAACCUUGUCGUGCAAGCCCGUCAGUGUGAGACUGUGCAUUCCCUUCGUACGAUGAUCCGUGAGAAGUCAUCUUUGUAGGGUUAAGCGUAAGUAAAAGAAAAAGAAUUAUAAAAAGAAAAAGGGAUCACAACUCAGCCUCUCUAUAACUACGACAGUGGUACUGGGGUGCUUAGUUUGUCAUUAUUUUGUAUCAAAGUUCUUACCCAAUUAUUUAAUAGUUUAAUUAAUAAUGCAUGCAUGCUCGUCCUAAACGACCUCACAUCAACUUAGAGAGAAUAGGGAGGAACUCCCAUCCCUUAAAGUAGCCUGUAGGGCUUACUCAAUUAGCCACCUAGCUACCCCUCUAUCAUCCUAAGGCUUCACAUCCUAGGUCUAUCCUGAUCGUCCUACGAUCUAUCCAACAUUUGUUUCUAUCAAGUUUUACUUUGGAAAAGCAUGGUAUUUAUAGUUUAUUGAUUCCUCUGUGGUGGUACAAGCUCCGAUACCAGCUAUGGCGGAACUGCCCGAAUUAUUCCAACUUAAGUGCCUAAGUCCCGCCUUAGAGGCUAGACCACACUUAAAUGGGAAUAACCCGUCAAUCCCUCGGAUCUUGUUCGACGAGGCCACUGACAGGAUCAAGUACCACAAUCUCACUCGAUGGUGAGUCACAGAGCAAAUACAUUAAAGCAUAAAACCAUACAUUAAAGAGUGUUAAACUUAUUACAUCAUCAUCGGGGUUUUAGCGAAAGUAGUCAUCAUUGUUCGGAGUGCAGCGGAAUAAAACUAACGAUAAUUAGACAGGGAGAUGGGGAAGCCUGUCCCAUCACUAAUAAUGCUCCUCCUCAGCCGAGGCGGGGUCCCACUCGACAGUCCAACCCGGUGGCAAGAUGGACGGCCAAGUCACUCCAGCAACCAUGUCCUCCAAAGAACCUGUAAAAUUAUGCCACAAGCAAGGCUGAGUAUACUAAUACUCAGCUAGACUUACCUGGUGUGAGGAGUCUACUCCUCUACCUCUAGACAUGCAGCUGUUUGGCUGUGGGGUUUGGUUGCCAAAAGCACUAGCUGAGUCUAAAAAUCAAGUUUUAGCUUUGUCAAGUUUAAGUGUGACUCUCUUAAGACUAAAUGUGUACUAUCUACUCAUUCAUGGUAUCAAACACAUUUAGCAAUCAACAUCUUUUGCCACAUCAUCACAUUUCAACUUGUUACUCAAUGCAGUACAAUGGAUCAAGCAGUCUCAUUAGCUGCGAGAAGAAGACGAUUCGAAUCGAGUUUUUAUCCUUGCAAGGUAAACCUAAACACACGACGUGGCGAGGCACUCCGUCCCAGACACAUCAACCAUCCCCAUCGAUUCCCCGUCAACAGAUCAGGGCUCACCGCCUUGGCGUACAAUGCCUCACUGACCCCGACUGCCGUCGUGCAGUGACCGCACUUGUACCCACCAUAACCGUAAUGGGAGACCACGUCUCAGGUCGCGUGAGGGGAUAUGUCCACUGCCAGGUUCACUCAGGUACUAGGCUUACCGAUUUACCAUAUUUGUCGGCAUGUGCUUAGUACGUUCAAUCGCUUGACACAGGUAUCCGCACGUUAAUCCUUAUUCCAAUUUCAUCUCGUAGACCACGCGUCCCCAUGAAUCUGUGUCCAAAGACCAACAUCAGUAUGAUAUGAAAGUGGGUACAAUCAAUGUCCUGACCUCGCACGAGUGCUGGAAAAAUCACUCGACUUGUACCGAGAUCCCUAAUUAGUAAGCAGCUACUCGACCUAGCAUACUAGUAACCAUCACAAAAGGAAUCAUGAGUUCAUGCAACUAUGGUUUCAGGCAACUCCUACACUUAAGUGCACAGUACAAACCUACAAACAAUAAGUGUAGUAAAAUAGUAUAUAUAAAAGGUUAUGCAUAAAACCGGGGCUUGCCUUCCAAAGCUGGGGCAGGCAGAUCCUCUGGUGCAGGCUCUGGUGCUGGAUCCGGGGCUACCUCCUGAGCAGCUCCUUGCUCCGGCAUGAGGACGUACUCUCCGUCAGCGAGGUUGCAGUCUAUCGAAUGCAAUGAAUAAGAAUAUGCAUGCCAUGAUUAUGCAGGAUUUGGUAAACAUUAUGCUAAGUAAAUGAAAACUAAGUUAGUUUAGUAACUUAGGGUUUCUUGGUCUUACUUGGCUCUUGGUGGUGUAUGCUUAUCAACUUAGGUUUGGAGUUUUGUUAGGGAUAAGCAUAGUGGAUUUGUAUUUCCCUUAUACAUUUCAGUGGGCAAUUUAAAAAGGGUUUUGCUGGUUGGGUUAGGGUGACACUAAUUUCCACUAUUAAUUUCCCCUUUUUCAUUUUCUAUUUAUGAAUUCUAGUGUGGGUUUGAACUACAACAGUGGUUUAACUUUUUUCCAAAAAUUCUGUAAAAAUUACAGUGGGUUACCAUUGGUCACUAUAGUCUGUUCUAUGAGUUUGAGGUCCAGAAUAAAAAGAGUAUGCCUUGGACAAAAAUAACAAAAGUUGGGUAAAGGGGGUCACUUUGCAUUACAACUCUUAACUAGGGGUAGGUUCUGUCCUAAGGGUCAUUUUUGUUGGUAUCUAACAGUAAUCACAUGCUUCUGUGCCAAAAAUCACAGAAGGUUAAUUGGUGGUUAUUUAGUUGUGAUUUUCUAAAGUUUAAUGUCAAAAAGGCACUUUCUACUAUCUUGUUAUUUAAAAAAUGUCAAACAGCAGAUUUCAUAUUUUUUCUAUGUUUUUAAUAACAAAACAUUAAUUAUCUCAAGGUUUGGGGUGUUUUCACUUUGGGGUUAUUUUUCUAGGGGUUUUCUAAGUUUUUCUUGUUUUCUUAAAAUAAAAGGUAUCCCAAUUAUUUUAUACUAAACCAGGAUAUAAUAAAUUUUUCUAGUGAACUAUACUGAAUAAGUAGACUAACAAAAAUAUGGGUGCUCCCUGGUUCUUUAUUUAAACCUCCAUUAAUAAUUUCUCUAACUUUAGGCUAAAAAGGAUUUAAAUGGUAAACUCUACUUUAACUGGGUGUACAGAGGGGUUUAUUAUUUUUAAACAGGUUAAGAAGUGAUUAGGUACUUCUCCAAAUUUUCUUAACCUCAGUCUAACAGUGCAACUAUUUUUCCUCCUAUUAUUUAGCUUUUGGCCAAAUCAAUAUUUAAAUACAAACCUUAAAUUCCUUUGCAAUACUAAGGGGAUUUUGUAUUUUUCCUAAGUAGUUCUCAUUAUUUAGAAUCAGGCAAAAUUUGUUUGACCAAAUUUGGUUGAAUAAAACUGAAGUUAUGAAUUUUACAAGCUCUAUUUGUAUUUAAAUUAGAAAUAUUAAAAAGGUUUCUGGAAAACCAGUUUACACCGAGGACCCUGGGUUUAAUCCAAUUCAACCCACUCAAAUCUACCCCUGCGCCACUAUUCCCUUGGGUCACUGACAGUUCAAAAAUCCCCCCGACCUUUCCUUCUUCCUCCCCGAGGUCCUUCCCCUAAUGCAAACAGUACCCGCGGGAAAAAAAAGGGCGGCGCGGCUUACCGGCGGCGAGAGAGGUCCGGCGAGGGGUGGGGUUGGCUCCGAGAGGUCCUGGCGGUCACAGCGGUGUACGGCUCGACGGCGGAGGUGGCCGGAAUCGUCCGGUCCACGUGCGCAGGCGGGUGAUCUCGUCGGCGGCGGGUGUUCCGGCUAAACCACGGCGAUCUAAUUCAAUCAAAUGGCACAAUGAGCUCCACGGGGUGACGUAGAGGCUAUGUGCACAAGGAAUCGAAGAAUGGGGCAGAGAUUUACCCGGUCUAUGUUCACCGGCGGUCGGGCGAAGUCCGGCGACCGUGGACUGGCUUCUCCGGCGAAGCAAAGUCCGAUUCCUUGCUCGGGGAGCUUCACCGAGGCGUGCACAGUCUCUUUUGAGGGUCGGGCGCGGCUGGGAAGGGCUCUGUUGGCCGGUCUACGGUGGCAGGGGCUCGGGUGGCCGCGGGCACGCCGUGCGCGGGGCAAACGCCGGUGGUUUCGGGCUCCGGUGAGGUCGAGCGUGCGCGGAGGAGUACGGUCGACGCCUGAGGGUGAUUUAUAGGCGCGGGCGCGAGCAGGAGACGCGGGCACGGCUUGGCGUGGCGCGGGGCGCGCGGGGUCGAGCGCGGGCGUGCUCUGGCGCACCCAGAACGCGUCGAACACGUGGAGGUGUUCUUCUGCCCAUGUUCAAAAGCUUGCUGAGAUCGCAAACGUGCGAAUCUUGGCAAAAAUCCGGCACAGACCUCUUCCUGGCACCUAUGGCUAUCUCUUGUAUGUGAGUUCCAAGGGAAGAUAAGCCCUAGGUCAGAAGAUAUGCGGACGCCAAAUCUGGCUUGUCUCCCUGCCCACUUCGCGACAAAAGUGAUGCCAAGACAUGUCAAAUUUCAAGGGCUCGGUCUCAACUUUUUCCAGGGGGUGCCUUAGGUGGUAUGCCACAUUUUUGGUAUACAACUUAGGUGGUUUUGGUGCCAUCUACAAGGUGAACACGGUGGAUCUUUAGAUUAGGUGUAGAAUUUGACUUAGAGAGAAUUAGAUAGCUCUAGCUCUCUCUCUCUCUCUCUAUUUAAGGAAUGGAUUUGGGGUUUCUUAAGGGGUCUUUUUGCAAUGUUUCCUCUCUAUAUUUGUAGAUUAAUAUGUUACUUAACUUUGGCCAAAGGUUAGGUCAUGAUUUGCACAUUUGCUUAAUCUCCCCCCCUUCAACCAAGGUUUUAGGAGAUAGGGGUUCAAGAGGGGUCUAGGGUUUACUCCCCUCUUGCCCAAGGUGAUAAUUGUACAAAAGCUUGGGUAAUGCUUUUAGGUCAUUAACAUUCUUGGUUAAUACAUGGUCUCCAAGGUUCUUAUGCUCUUCUCCUUAAGUUUCUUCCACAUGUGAUCACCGUCAUUAGUGCAUAGAUGUGCCAUGGCCAUAGUAACACCUGGGGUGUUACAGUGUACAUCGAACAGUUCGGUGAAUUAUAGCCAGCGCGACUCACCAAAUUCCCGAGGGUGGCCAGUUCAGCCACCGUGUAGUCUGGCACACCGUACACUGUUCAGUGCAUACUGGACGGUCCGAUGCCUCCCAGACUUGCCCAAUCUUAGCGAAACAUAGCCACACUUCUUUUCUCUAGUUUUGCUCGACUUGAGAAGUUUCCUAGCACUUAGAUGUCCAUAGAGCACCUUACAAAGUUUGUACACAUGGUCGGGGUACUUGUUAUCCUCGAAGCCAAGGGGUUGUUCCACGUACACCUCCUCCUUGAUUGGCCCAUUAAGAAAAGAGCUAUUCACGUCCAUUUGAAAGAGAUUAAAGGAAUGGUGAGCAACAUAGGCUAGUAAUACGCAAAUAGACUCAAGCCUAGCUAUAGGAGCAAAAGUCUCUACAAAAUCCAAACCUGUGACUUGAGCAUAACCUUUUGCUACAAGUCUUGCUUUGUUUCUUGUAACCACACCAUACUCAUCUUGUUCGUUGUGAAAAAAACCCACUUGGUGCCCACAACAUUUUGCUUUGGACGUGCACCAGACUCCAUACUUCAUUUCUCUUGAAGUAGUUGAGCUCCUCUUGCAUGGGCAAUACCCAGUUUGGAUCCUACAAGGCUUCUUCUACCCUGAAAGGCUCAAUAGAAGAAACAAAAUAGUAGUUCUCACAAAAAUUUGCAACACGUGAACAAGUAGUUACUCCCUUACUAAUAUCACCAAGAAUUUGAUCCACCGGAUGAUCUCUUUGAAUGUUGGUGAGGACUUGGGUUGGAGGUGCCUGUGGUACUCCUUCCUCCUCUCUUCCUUCUUGUUGUUGUGCUCCCCCUUGAUCCAUGCCACCAUCUUGAUGUACUUGUUCCUCAUCUUGAGGGGUUGCACCAUUGUGGAAGAAGAAGGUUGAUCUUGCACUUGUUGUUCCUUUGGUCGCACAUCUCCUAUCGCCAUAGUCCUCAUGGCGGCCAUCGGAACCUCAUGUUCAUCUAUUUCAUCAAGAUCAACUUGCUCUAUUUGAGAGUCAUUAGUCUCAUCAAAUACAACGUCACUAGAGACUUCAACUAAACCCGGAGAUUUGUUGAAUACUCUAUAUGCCUUUGUAUUUGUGUCAUAACCAAGUAAAAACCCUUCAACAACUUUGGGAGCAAACUUUGAAUGCCUACCUUCAUUUACCAAGAUGUAGCAUUUGCUCCCAAAUACACAAAAGUAAGAGACGUUGGGUUUGUUACCGGUGAGAAGCUCAUAUGUCGUCUUCUUCAGGAGGCGAUGAAGAUAGAGACGAUUUAUGGUGUGGCAAGCCAUAUUCAUGGCUUCUGACCAAAACUGUUACGACAUCUUGUAUUCUCCCAGCAUCGUCCUUGCCAUGUCGAGAAGUGACAUGUUCUUCCUCUCCGCUACACCAUUUCGUUGUGGAGUGUAGGGAGCAAAGAACUCAUGCUUGAUACCUUCCUCCUCAAGAUAUUCUUCCACUUGAAGAUUCUUGAACUCAGAUCCAUUGUGUGGCAGAACCUCCCAAGUUAUUGGGCCCACAUGCACCUGUUCUCAUCCUAAAGACCGCAGACGGCUGUGCAUGUGCACCAAAUAACUUAACAUGAUCUAUCCGAGUGUCUCAAAGACCUCUGAUAAACCACGGAUCAUCAGGAUCACAAAAUUAAGUAAACACAACCCACAUACAAACACUUUCUGCGGAAAUAAAUUCUUUAUUACAAAAUGAUUACAAGUUACAUGAAGAUUUCAUUAUACGUUAUAGGAGUGAUUACAAAAGAAAGUGAUUCAAAAGAAUUACACUUUGAAAUGUAAUAAAAUAUUUGUAAGUUUGAAAUACAUGCUAGCUUAAGUGACAAUCCUAUAUAAAGAAACUAUAGAUGGGAUAUAUUUAUAUAAGAAGGACGAGCCCACCAGCACUUAACAUCACUCACAAUCAAAGCAACUCGUAAUCUGCAACAACACACGGAUUAAAACCAUUAGUACACAAUUACUCAGCAAGACUUACCUGACUAAAGAAAAGACUCUCAAGAGUAUGCUGGUUUAGAAGGGUUCAAGGUAAAGCUCAUCAAGUUUCAAAGACUCUUUUUGUAGAAAAGCUUACUAAUAAUUGAUCCUUAAGCCAAGUUUUUACUUCACAAGUUAUGUAAUUUUCCUAAAUCUAGAUUGGCCUAUUCUAGAUCAUACACUUGGCAUAAUCUAUCUUUCUUUUAAUCCUUUUUUGUUACACUUGUUAACUAUGAUGCUGGGCAGUGAUCCUGUCUUCAUAUCCGAGAAGUAACGUCGAUACGAAUCGAUUAAUACCCAGCUAGGAAUCUCCAACCACACGACAUAUAUAACACUUAACCCUUGCAUAUGUCAACUCACACCCGGUUUUCUCAAGAUCAGAACAGGUCCCCGCCAACCGAGAGCUCAGUACCCCACCAUCCAGCCUCUUGCCAGGUGGAUGCAUGAUACUCUCGCCAUCUCUCCACUCCCAUAGUUGGUGAGCCUUUCUAGUAUUGGUCUAGCCAAGGCUAAUCUUACCCAUGAUGAGGCAUGUGGGCAUUUAAAAGGUCCUAGAUCAGCAAGCCUAUUUUCAUUACGGUCCUUAAUCGACACAGACGGGCGACCUUUCUAGCUCAAUGUCUGGUCUCGAAUUAUUAUUUACUUCCCAAAACCAUGUACUUGACAGAGGUACCAUACUUGAAUGAUGAAUCCAACAUUACAUGAUGAUGUCUUCACCAUUACAAGUCCUUCUUCAUAAAACAAACUCAUAUCCAAUGUUACACAUCAUUCUUUUUAAAAAGAAACAUUUUUUAAUUUCCUAAGCAGGACUAAGCAUUAGUAGUUAUCUUUAUAAAACAGGUAGCAAGGAGGAUAAUCAAAUUCCGAGGAAGGAAAUGCAUCAAAUGUUUCAUCACUCAUCUCCUAUCACCUAAUGUAGCAUAUAAGUGAUAAAAAUUUUAAAACAACAAGGAGGGGGCAAAUUCACCGGGGAUUGCCUGGGAUAAACAAUACGUUAGUGUUGUUAGAUGAUGAUCACUUGGUGAGCAUCUCUUAUACUGGUACUCGAUCGGAUCAUCCAAUCUUUGGGUUCAUUCAUCAGCAUCAAUUUGAGAUUAAUUCAACUCUUGUCCUCCACAUCACGUGAUCAAUUAAUGUACCUAAAUGACAUGCAUGAUGCACAUGAGCAUGUGCAUGAAUAACAAAAGAUAAAUAAUCUAUACUAAGGAGGAUAAACACUUAAAGUAAGUAAUCACAACUCAUAGGCAUAACACUAGCUAGAUACCUCUGACUUUACACAAACAUGGCCUUCUAGUCAAAUGGACCUAAACCAAACAUCUAGCAAUAGGUUUAACUCAGGUUCUAUAGUCUUUUAAGAUUAAGCAUUCAUAAUAACCUUAGGUUCUGCACUAUCAGACACCUAGAACAAAAUAUGGAGAGAAGCAAUCUAACCACCAUGCCCAAAUAACUUGAAUCAUACACUAGCUAAGAUAAGACAUCACAAUUGUGAACUAGCAGGUAAAGCAUCCAUCACAUACAUAUUCACUCAAACAACUAAAUCAUCACCGCAACAUCGACAUUAGUUACCAUCAUUACAUUUAAAUUACUAAACUCCCCACUCUACACAUAAUUGGCAUUUCAAUCUAAACUUCUCUUGCACACCUAGUACAACAACAAUUACAUUCGAUCUCGAUCAUACACAACCAUGCCAUCCACCAGAUCUCAUAACCUUAUGCAGAGUUCUCCUACAACAAUAGCCAUCAGGCUAGUUUGAAGAUGUCACCAUUCCAAGCACUCUAUGGGAGGAAUUGUCGAACUCCGUUGCAUUGGGACCAACCCGGCGAAAGGCAGGUGUUCGGUCUAGAUAUUUUUCUUGAAGCCAAAGAGAAUAUCAGAAUGGUUCGGGGGAAUCUGAAGACAACACAGUCUAGGUAGUGAAGUUAUGCCGACACCAGAAAAAGAGAACUGAGUUUUGAAGUGGGAGAUUAUGUCUACCUGAAAGUGUCACCGAUCAAAGGAGUCAAAAGGUUCGGAGUCAAGGGCAAGUUAGCACCUCGAUACAUCAGACCAUACCAGAUCUAGGCAAGACGUGGAGAAGUGGCCUACCAGCUCAGCCUACCAAAAAGUCUAUCCACAGUGCAUGAUGUUUUCCAUGUAUCUCAGCUGAAGAAAUGUUUGCGAGUGCCAUAGGAGCAAUUGCUAACCGAGGACCUCGAAGUCUAGGAGGAUUUGAUGUAUAUCGAGAAGCCAACCCAGAUUAUGGAGACAGCAGACAGAGUCACUUGAAGGAGCACCAUCAGAAUUGCAAAGUCAAAUGGGGCCACCAUUCAGAGGAAGAAGCAACCUAGGAAAGAGAGGAUGAUCUGAAAGCCAAAUAUCCCGAGCUCUUUGCUAACCAACCCUUAAUUUCGAGGACGAGAUUCUUGUUAAAGGGGAUAGGUUUGUAACUCCCUAAAUUUGGGGGUAUAAAAUUUCUUCUCCUCUUUAUAGUUUCCUUUUUCUCUUCCUUUUAUUAGAGGGUUGGUUAUUUUAUUUGGAGAUGUAUUAAUACUUUAGUAGAUUAAACCCUAGGGGAGACAUGAAUUGUUGCAUCAUGCUGAGCUUAAACUUUGAUAUUUGUUUGAUGCAUAUGCUUGAAAUAUUCAAAUUUGAAUUUGUGGCUUCGUUGGAUUUGAUUUCAAAAGAGAAAAAAAAUAAGAGAGAUUAUAAUUUCAGAACAAAAGAAAAAGCAAAAGCAGACCGCACUUCCCUUUUCCUUGGCCUUUCGACCCAUCAGGCUUGCCUAGCCCCUGCGCCCGCUCUCCCUACUCUCUCUGCUUAGUGGGCCCGGCAUGUUGGCUCCAUCGCUCCACCUAUGCGUGCCCCUUUUCUCUCCCUGUGUGCGGGUCCCGCUUGCCAGUCGCGAUGUGUGCCCCACGGCCCCACUACAUCUGCGCACUGCCGAGCCUCGCGCUCGUGCCAUGUUGGAGCCCGCCAUCGCCUUUGAAUCUUCGUCCGUGCACCGGACCGCACGUCACCGCCCCACCUCGUCCACACCAGACCUCCGUCACACUCAAUGUCGCACGUCCGUGCCACGGGUGAGCACUGGCUUCUCCCCUCCCUUCCCUCUUCCUCUACCCAGUAUCGUUUCCUUCACCAUGGUCGUCGAGCCAUGCGUCCGCACACCCAUCGCUCGAUGUUCCCCUCCUUCUGACGUCUACCACCGAUCUUGUCCAUGGCGCUCCGCGCCGUGCUCGUUCGAGAGGGAGAUGAGGACCCCGACAACCCAUCCCCCUUGUCAAUCUCUCUCGCACCGACCCCUUUUCCCCUUCGCUCUGGGUCGCUAACCGGUGGGCCCCGCCUGUUAGCGCGCGUCCACAUCCGUGCCCGCGCGGUGCUACUGACUAGCGGGCACGGCCAAGCCAAGGGCCCACUGUCAGUCUUUGCCCGCACGUCGGGGUCAUGCCGCGCAGGGUUCCGCCCUGGGCUGCUGGCUUCUGGGCCCCACCGAUCAGCCACCGCGUCCCCCCCCCCCCCCCCCCGCGCUCUCAGCCCCUGUUUCUAAUCUCGGCCCUUCGCUCCCUAUUCGACGGACGAGAAGCUCUGGUACCCUUUCACCGCGAGCGUUUUGCUUAAACCCCCCUAGGUUCUCGGGAUUAGAACCCGCCGUCCUUAGCCCUUGCAACUGAGCCCCUAGGUUCUUGCUAAGAGAAUCUCGGGUUUUUAUUUAAUUAGAGAAGUGUGCUUAAAUUAGGGUUUUUGAAUUCUAGAACUUCUAAAAUUCAUAACUUUGUCGUAUGAACUCCAAAUUGGAUUGUUCAAAUUACAAAAUGUUCAUUAUGUUAUUUUCUAUCUAUUAAAAUUAUGUUCAUCCAAUGUUUCCAUGUCUCAAUUUUAUAGUUGGCCUCUAGGUUAGAGUUGAGGUUAUAGAAACUUUAUUAGGAAUAAAAUGAAGAUAGGAACCCUAAUGAAUGUUCAAGUGCUUAACUUUAUAGACCCAACUCUAGUUAAUGUGUGGUCUCAUCCCUGAAAUAACUUUGAUUGAGUAAGUAACUGACUAAGAUAGACUUAGUUAGAGAACAAUAGACCACUUAGCAUAGUGAUUUAUCCCAAACUUAGGAGGCACCUAUAUGUUUUUACUUUUUUAUUGAACCUAUGUUUACUCUGUUGCAUAUGUUUGGUGUAUUGUUCUUCUGUUUUCCCCCCAAAUGUGUUGAAUGAAUGAUUGCUUUGCAUAGACAACGAGCAGUCCGUGGUUCCCGAGAGUGUUGCAGGAUAUUUCCCUGAGCAGCAACCUAGUUAAGGCAAGUGUCCUCUGACCCAUUAUGUCCUACUUACUUUAUAAUUCAUUGUCCCACAUAUCAUGAUCAACCUAAGGAUUGACUAGUGUUCUAUUUUUCAUGUCCUUGGUUAUCCUUUAGGAAUUAGUUACUAUGAUUAGUAUCAUGCUAUUGUUUUACUUUAAUUAAUGAACAUGAUGAGAACAUUUAUGAUACGAUAAUGAUAUCUUGAUUAUGAUGAUGAACUUGUAUCACUUCAGGGGACUCGGGUUGUUUCCCAAGUACCUCUCUGUAAGGAUCUGUUCGUUGGAUGACCACCCGGGAAAAUAGCACAACCAUGAGGUUGGUAUGGGACACCCUUAGCUGAUUAACUAGAGGAACUUGAGGUGUAGUUGGCUUCGCAGUUGUGCCAUCAAUGGGGUUCGAGCACAGUACUUGCUCUACCGAGGCUGGGUGCCGAGGUUCUUUCGUGUUGCUUUUGUUACUCACCUUUCAUGUGGGGAAAGGUACUGUGUUUAUCAAACUGGAGAACCUAACGGGAGGCUAUGACAUUUGGGAAAUCUUUGUAAAGGCUAUAUAGUGAAUCCCUGGCCAUUCACCUUGGUAGUGAAGAUCGGGUUUGUACAACCUAGGCUGGGAAGGGAUCAUGACUCGCUGGUAAAGUGUGCAACCUCUACAGAGGGUUAGAAACUGGUAUAUCAGUCAUGCUUACGGUUAUGAACAGCGUUGGGAGCUUCUUUGAUUAGAGUUACUCUAGAUACCUUUACGAUGAUGCUUAAUGAUGAUGAUUAUAAUUAUGGUUUCUAGUAUUUCCUCUUGGUGCCUGUAUAUCGAUGAGUUCUAGAAUAGAUUAGCGGCAAACCCCUAGUCAGCUGCCUGUGAAGGCCUUAUCGUACUAUGUUUCGUUCAGCACUUCGAUUAUGGUUUAAGUUAAUGAUUUUGUGGAUGUUUUGGACAUCGUGAUGUAAUAAAGUACUUAUUUCUGCUAUUAUUUUGAGCAAUGUGUGAUGAUAUUCAAUUAUGUAAUUGACGUGUACGUGAAUUUUUGAUCCUGACAUGUACAUGGUUCACAUUUGGUUUGCCUUCCAAAACUGAGUGUGAGAUAAGCGAAGGUGGAGAGGGCAAGGACAAUAUUAGGCACAAAAUGCCCAAGCCAAAGACCAUAAUAACCAAUGACAUUACAAAAGAAUUGAGAGAGAGAGAGAGAGAGGAAAAUGGACUUCAACAAUGAAAUGACCAUAGAAAACCAUUACUCAUUGUACUCCUUCUAAGGGGGUUGCAUUAGGUAGGUCCUGGGUUAGAAUGGUCUGAGAGCAGUGGGAAAACCAAGCUAAUGAUCUCAUAGACUUUGUAUAAACCCUCCCCGUUCAAGAUCCACGUCUUCAAAAUGACCCUGAGGAUUGAUGUGUUGAUCAUGACAAGGUGCAGUACUAGUAAGGGUGGAUUUAGGAAGGAGCAAAAGGAUAAAUAUGACUAGUAUAAGGCUAGAAGCAAGAGUGCAACAAACUCACAUAAAAAAGAAAUAUAUUCAUAGAUUCUUAUUUAAGGGCCUUAACAUCUCUCUCUCUCGACUUACUAGGCACAACAAACAAAACAUAACUGACUCACGUCAAAAUGUUUGCUAAAUAAUCGCUCAACCAAUUAAGUGAUUACAUCCAAUAAUCUUUUGUAUGGGACAUGAUGAUGACGCUAAUUAAUUGUGCAACCUAGGAUUCCACUAGGUAAUCACAAAGGUCUCGUAACUAUUUUCUUAUAGAGGGUAAUAAAAAUUAUGUUUAUUUUGUCAUAAUGAUUAUAUUAGUGGACCAAGGGACGUCAAGUCCCAUUAAGGAGAAAUAGAUGCCAUGCAUGCCUCAUAUUGGCUCUUUGUCUUCCAAGCUAGAGUAUGAAAUACAUUAUAGUUGACCUAAUAGCAUAAUGCAAGGGUUAGGGAUGAAGUCCAAGAGAUAAGUCAAACUGAGGCAUAAGCCUAAUUGACCAUGCCAAGUGUCUAGAGUUCUUAGAUGUUGAUCCAUGAGACGACAAGAGCGGGCCCACUUGUGGGACCAAUCCUAUGAUAGACCUAGGGGUCUUUGGUAACACCUCGAGAAGGGAAUACCCCUAACUAUGGACAAUACAUGCUCACGGGAGACUUUUCUAGGCCUAAAGUAGAAGGGCCAGUACUCUUGAGACCCUACAGCUUGGGGGCCUCCUUUUUCCUUUACUAAUGGAGAGCACUGGCACCAACUUAGUUUAUACAUGGGUGCUCCAAACUAAGCUUAUCGGAUCCCAUCAUUCCUAGGGCAACUAAUGUUGUAAGCCCUCGAGAUCCCUCAUGUUCUGAGGCACCUACGAUUGAGCACCCAGGGCACCUAUCAGUAUAAGCCCCUUAGGACCCUCACAUUGUGGGAACACCUGACGAUAUAAUCUUGUGGGGUACCUGAUGGUAUAAACCAUUGGGACCUCUCGUGUCCUAGAGAACUUGAUGGUGUAAGCCUCCAGUCCUCCUUGCGCCUCAAGGCACCUGAUGAUAUAAGCCACCAAAGCCCCUUGUGUCCCAAAGCAACUAGACCCUUAGUGGCACCAGAAAGUAUAAACACCUAGGGCUAGAGGACCCCAUGGAGGAAACAAGAACUCUAGGUGAGGACCUAGGCCUAUCUUGGGUUUGAAGAAUAAGAUAGGCCCACCGGUGGUAGUACAACAUCUAUACAUGGGGCCCACACCAAAAUAAUUUAAAAAUUGUACUAUAGUGAUAACUUAAUGGAUAAGUCUUGAGUAUAUCAUAUUAAAUAUGCAAUGAGUGACAUUAUAGGACUAACUCAGUGUGUAGGCACACAACAUAUACUAUAGGGCACUCGAGGUCGCUACAUGAUGCACACAAUGGUCCUAUAAUUGCACAAGCACAUGCAUGUGUAUCAAGGAAUACAAUAAAUUACAAGAGACUAUACUGGUAGCAAAUCACCCGAGACCAGCAAGCCUAGAUCUCGAAAUCUGAUGGCGUAGGUUAUGAUACCUGCCCUGGUAGCUUUUAUGGAAGUCGCUAUGUGAAGGGAUAACUAUGGCAACUCUCGCAUUAAAUAUGAGCAUGACAUUUUGGGCAUGCCUUCCCCCUAAAACAUGCAUAGGGUGUAGGCGUACCUGGAGCCAAUUUGUAAGCAUAUUUUAGUAUAUAUUAUUGUAUUCAAGUAGAUGAUCCAGUCUACCAAAAGUUUGAAAAAUCCUUAUUGACAGCGAUGGGCAAUACAAGGGUUCUUGCUUGUGAUAAGAGGUACAAAGAACCAUUAAUGCGCUGAGGACAUGCCCAUGUCUACAUGGAUCACCAAAAUGAUUACACUGGUACAUACCUAUUGUGGGACAUGUGUGUGCAAUCUAGUGACAGGACAUGUGUGUUGACCUAAUGAUAAGACUCACUCCUCUAGCAAUUCUUCCACAUGUACCUUUUGUAUCCUUGUGUCUUUUCCACAACAUAUAUAUCAUAACUAAAUAACCACUUUCUAGUUGUUAUAUAGUGCCACAAGCAACCAUUUGGAACGAUCCUUUGUGGGUACUAUGCAUGCAAGGUUUUUUUUGCACAAAAUAGGCGAUACACCAUGAAUCAUUGCGGUGUAAGCAAUAUUCGUAUGUGUUGUUUGGUCAUUAAGGUUGCAAGCUCAUUGGUCACUUGUAAAUAUAGAAUUACUAUAUAUCUCAACUAAAUAGCCACUUUAUGGUUGUUAUAUAUUGCCACAACUAACUAUCUAUAAUAGUUCUCUGUGGGUAUUAAGUAUGCGAGUUUCUCAAACAAAACGAGCGAUACACAAAGAAACCUAAUGAUAUAAGUGAUAGUCAUAUGUAAAUUUUUGUCAUUAGUGUUGCAAGCUUAUUGGUCACUUAAAAUAUAUGAUAACUCUAAAGUUUAUUCACAUGUAAAUUGUUAUUCAACAAGUAAACGACUCAAAAAUAAAGACACUAAAUAUAUACGAGGACAUAUGUGUUGGUUUUGUUAGAGAAGUAGACAUUUUCAGUUUUAAUUUAAUCUAGAAAACCACAGUGAUGUAUGUGACAACAUGUAUGUGCAUAUGUGUAUCACUGCUCACAUAAGCAGUAAACAACAAUAAAAAUAUGCACAAAUACUAAGAACAGAGUGUACCCCGCGGAGAGACCGAUGCUCAAGGCAUCCGUGGCUCCAUUCACACUAGACAUCUCGUGUGUAUGUUCGAUGUAGUCGUACGCAGUCGAUGCAAGCAGAUGUACACAAUACAGUCCCUUGAACAGCGCUGGUGACGAGGAACUGGAUCAGCGUUAGUCGGGCGGACAGAGCAAGCAGGCGUGAGUACGCUCCCGAAAAACCUGAUUGUCCGCACACCCGUGCAAGUGUAGCUCUGCGGAUGGUGAUUUCGGAGGCCUGCUCUCCCACACUCUCUGUGCUCGUAGAAGGUGGGACGGGAAUGGCUAUGUGCAACGCAUUAGAGAAUGUUCGUACGUACUACAACCAAAAGCAGCCUCACCUCCUCCGUAUAUGUACACGCGCAGAGGGAGGCAAACAAACAGUAACGGUUUCCAUCAGAGCUACCGUUACAGCCAGCCAGAAACUGACGCCAUCAGUGACGUCUGUUACUAGCUGAUAGCCAUUACAGCCCGUCCGUUACUAGCCAUAACAUAGGAAACGGUCAGUAAUGGACAACAAUAAUGGACGGUCAUCACUCUAGGCAAAAUGUGCAACCGUUAGGAAGGAAUAUUUGGUCCAAGGUCCGAUCUACCGUAGCCAUGGCCUGGCCCGGCCCGGCCAGCGACACGUGCGCAUGUGGCAGUCCUUCAUCCUUUUCUUAGCUUCUCAAUAGAUGCACCAAUGGUCCACCUAUUUAAGUUGAUUGAAUUGUCCCUUGAACUUCUGGUAUGGUACUAAAUUAGUAGUACACUGUAGCAUUAAAGUGGGCCUUUAGCAUUGACUAUUAUUGAAUAUUAAUUUGGGCCAGGCCCACAUUAAUCCAACAAUCCCCACCAAAUGCUAAGUCACACUAAAAUGAUCUCAUCAUCUCAAACUUUUGAUAUACUGAUGUUUCGAUGAAGACUGUUAAGUUGAACAUCCACCUAGAAUCUAGACUACACUUGACAAUAACUGCACAAUGGACUAGGCCUUGAAUUGGCAGUUUUGCGUGGAAUAAGUUUCAUCUAAACUCUUUACCAGUACUAGAUUGCUGAGCGCAUCCCCUCUGGUUGGAGCAUAUAAGUCAAACUCCAUAGCCUUUCAUGGGUAUGUAGAGACCACCCAGAUCUCGUAAACUAUGACUAGCAGUCAACCCAUAUAGGUAUGUUCCUCUAAAGAUGUUCUCGUAGGACAACAUCUUUGCUUCACAAAGCCACUUGGAACAUAUUAAGGUGUAAACACCAACCUACCUUACAGUAAGGAAAGAUGUGUAACUGAAAUGAACCUUAUUAAGGGUCUGUCCUCUUAGUCUACCACUAGCUUGUUUCACCAUUCUAAUUCACGGGAUCUCCGAUCACAUGGAACAUGUUACCACUAUGAUAAACUUUAGGUGGGUCUUAGGCCCAUCUCACUCGAUGUACUAUCUAUCACACUACGUGAUAGCCCCAUAGGGAAUUAAUCUACCAGAUUUUUAGACAUAUGGACAUAGUCCAACGCUAUUACUUCGGAGUUUAUUGUAACGCCCUGAAUUUGAGAGUUAAAUUUUUCUUUCUCUAGCACUCACCAAAUUCGGGCGUUACCUUUCCUCUUUCUUUUUUCUUCUCGCUGUGCCUUGUUCUUCUUCAAAUAUUCUAGUGAGAUUUAGCUCGAGACCUCGUGUAAGUAAAACCCUAGAGUUAAAUCUUUUGGUUGUUGCACCAUGCCGGUCCAUGCAUUUAUUUUGGUUUGUUGAGUGAAUGUGUGAAAGCAUACAUUUGAAAAUAGAUCAAAGUGGGAAAAUUAGGAGAAGAAUAAAAAAAAGGGGAAUUUCUCUCUCUCCCCCCUUUUGGGUUGGCUUCCAACCGUGGCCCAGCCACCCCCUCCCCUGAGUCCUGUGCGCGCGGCGCGCGUGGGCGCAACCGCCGCCGCCGCCACCUCCCUGGUGGGGCCCGCCCGUCAGUGGCCUCCCCUCCCCAAACCUCUCCCCUAUCCCGCGCACGUCCCUCUCUCUCUCUCCCUCGACGUCGCUCGCCCUCGCCCCGUGCGGUAAGCCCCUCCCUCCUCUCUCCUCCCCCUUCCUUCCCUUCCCCAGCGUCCCACCCCGCCCUGGUGCAGCCCCACCCGCGACAUGGCUUCCCCCGCCCGUCUCGCGCCCGCCCCGGCGCGGCCUCGCAGCGGCGCGGCUCGGCCUCACCGUCAUGCGCCCGCGUGGCUCCCCGCCCGCCCAUCGCUCCCCGCGGCCCCAGCGCGGGUUUCCCCCAUCCGGCGUCCCAUCCUCGCGGCGGCCCGCGCUCGCCCGCCCCUGCUCGCGGCGCGGUGUGCCCGCCCGGCCUCGUCCCUGCCCCUCGGCGCGCCCGCGGCGCCCUCCCCCUGUGGCGGUCCGGCCCCACCGUUCCGCUCCGACUCCGGCGUGGCCUCCCCCGCCCUGGCAUGCGCCCCUGCUCGUCGCGGCUCGCCCACCUGGCCCAGCCUUCCCCCGCCCGGUCCAUGCCCCUGCGUCGUGCCCCUGCGCAGAGCGACCCCGGCGUGGCCCCUGCGCAGCGCGGCCCCGGCUCGCGCGGCCACGGUGCCCCUGCGUGGCGCGGCCCCCUUCCCGUGGCUCGGCCCCGGCGUGCGCGUGAUUCAUUCAUGGCGCGUCAGCGCGGCCUUGCGCACGCGCGUGCUCGCGUGGUGCACGCGGUGCCUUAGCGCGGCUCGUCGUGCCCUCGGCGCGAUGCGUAGCGUCCUGUCGCGUUCGUGACGUCCCAUCUACCCCUAGCCACCCGUCUACCCCCCUCGUUUAUUUUAUGCGCGUCGAUCGUGUUAUUUAUAUUAAUGAAACAGAAACUCUACUCAGAAAUUGGUCACGUUAGUUAUCUCAUGUAGUUAAUCAUUGACUUUGUUUAAUGUCGACCAAUUGGAAAUAGUUAUAACUCUAUUAGUGCAUGUGAUUAAUACUUGUUAGUAUAACUAGGUAGAACUAGAUGAAGUAAUGAUUAAUUAUACACUUACCCGUAAUACGCUUCGACUAUAGCUUUAACCACUGCGAGACCUUCCUUCUUCUCUUUCUAGCAGUUGCGAAUGCAAAUCGUAUGUCAUAUUUUAUGCAUAUUUGACUUAUCUGCUCUCUUGUAUGGUGUACUGUUUAUUUCCUAUUCAAAUGGAUGGAUGUAUGUUUGUGCUCGCAUAGAUAACGAUCUGGUUGAGGAAUCCGAAGAACUCGCAGGAGAAGCCCCUGAGCAGCAGCUGGUUGGUGGAGGCAAGUAUCCCUUGACCCAUCUAUGUUCUAUACAAUUCUAUAAUUCACUUUCUGCAUUUACACAGUUUAUACCUAAGGAUUGACUAGCUUUUGUUAUCCAUGUCCUUGCUUACCUAUUUGGGUUGGGUUAUUAUGGUUUAGCUUUAUGCUAGUGCUUAACAUUAAUCAAUGAACAUGAUGAGAUUCAUCUAUGAUAUGAUGUUUUCCUUCUUAUUUAUGAUGAUAUACUUGUGGCAUUUAAAGGAACUCGAGGGAUUUCUCGAGUGCCUCUCCGUAAGGACCUGUUCGUUGGAUAACCGCCCGGGAAAAUAGUGCAACCAUGACGGUGGAGUGGGACGCCCUUAGCUUAAUAAUUAGAGAAACUGGGGUGUAGUUCGCUUAGCCGUCGUGUCGUUAAUGGGGCUCGAUGUAUGCGACUCGCUCUGCCAAGGUUGGUUCGCCCCUUGGGGAGGAGUGCGGUGCAUUUAGAAAACCUAACGGGCGGCUACAACCCUAGGGAAUCUUUGUAAAGGCUACGUAGUGAUACCCUGCUGGAUCACCUUGGUAGUGAUCAAUGGAGAGUCAUGAUCUCCGGGCAGAAAGGGAAUCACGACUUGUGGGUAAAGUGCGCAACCUCUACAGAGUGUUAUGAAAACUGAUAUAUCAGUUUUGCUCGCGAUUAUGAGCGGCCAAGGGAGCUCCAUUGAUUAGUGAUACUUGAUCAGAGACGUUCGGAUUACAGGUGGUGAUGAGAAUGAUGAUUUUGGUAUUGACUAUGGUAAUGUUAAGUGGUAAUCUUUCCAUUUGGAAAGGGUACUUUUGGGGUUAACAACUUGGGUUAAGACUAAAACCUGGCUCUCUCUACUAGUAAUAAUAAUCUGACCAACUAAAAGCAAUCGCUUGACUUACCCCCACAUAAAGCUAGUCCACUACAGCCAAACAGGACACUUGCUGAGUAUGUUGAUGUGUACUCACCCUUGCUCUACACACCAAACCCCCCCUUCCCCAGGUUGUCCGUGUUGCAACCACUGCUCAGAAGAAGAUUAAGCCAUGGAGGAAGAUUUCCAGGAGUUCCAAGAUUACAACGAGUUCUAGGUGUGGGUUAGCGGCAACCCCCAGUCGGCUACCUGUGAAGGCCGCAUGUAUCUAUGUUUCGUUUUCGCACUUUGAUUAUUGUUAAAGAUUAUGUGGAUGUCUCAGACAUAUGAUGUAAUCGACUAUUAUUCCCCUUUUAUGUUAUUAUUUGAGCAUUGUGUGAUGAUGUCCGGUUAUGUAACUGUUGUGUACGUGAAUUGCUGAUCCUGGCACGUACAUGGUUCGCAUUCGGUUUACCUUCUAAAACCGGGUGUGACAUAGGUGGUAUCAAAGCCUUGCUGACUAUAGGACCGCUAACCUAGAGUAGAAUGGUCGUUCUAAGGAUUAUAGACCCCUAUUCUCACCUUGACUUGGUACCCCUUCAAAAGUUGGUCAUACCGAUCGAACCUAUGUUCUACUAUAUAUAUUAUACCUUGCUAAUUUUUUUGUUUAUUCUCAUUCCUUAUUUAUUUAUGGUUUACUUGCUAGUCAUAUUAGUUUUGUUCUCACUCUUAUGCUUAUGGUGUCUUUUGUAGAUGGCUCGUCUUAGACACACCGCACGGAAGUCUGUCAUCCCCUUCUUACCCUCUCGUCUCGCUGAGUGCCCGCUUCGCCGUCCAGUGACUGGUCAGUCUAGCCACUUGGAGAGGCUACACCACCGCCUACACGAGGAGCAAGAGCGUCGACGACAGGAGCAGGAACAACAGAGCUCUUCUUUCUCGCUCCAGCAGGAGAUGGAGUCUGUGAGAAGCUGCUCCCCUGUGCUCCCGCUGGAGGUGCCCCUGCACCACCAUUGAGCGCCCCAGCUGCUGGAGUAGCUGCUGGAAGAGACCCAGAUGACGGAGGCGGCGACGACAGCUCAAGCUUCAGCACCGACCUUUCAGCCGACCAGGAGAUGCAGGGAUGGGUUGCUCGACCCAUCACUCGCGACGCUGCUCACGGGUGUCACUUCCACGACGCGCUCGACACCCUGCUACGCCAGGCACUCGACCGACAUACUUGGUCCAUCGAGUAUCGUUGUGUGGUCUUCCAGCAUAGUCGCAGGGUUUACCCGGACCGUUGGGAGGCGACCUGCUUGGUGCGCUGUCCGGAGAACAGUCUCCGGGGUGCGGAGAUCUGCUCAGAGCACUAUUCCAUCUCUGAAUGAGACUCAGCCAAGGUGGCCAUGCAAGAUGCAGCACGGCGCGCGCUUUCGCACUACUGCUCAGUGCUCGGCGGGGUAGCCGAUGGUCUCAACCUGAAGUAUUACCUCUGUCGUCCAUCUGGCAGCAUAUGAGGCGUGAUUGUCUCACCUGUUAGCGAGGACAAUCCUAGGUUGAGCAGCACAGUCAACCUAGCCGCCGUGCUAAACACAGAGCUGGACCAUGCAUUAGACAAGCUGAGUAGGGCUCGUGCUGAGAUCGCCCAGCUGCGGGUUAAGUCUUAGCAUUAGCCUUACUGUUAGUUAGUCUUAGUUAGACAGGGUAGUUUGUUUAUCUUGUGCUUUCAUGUUUGUCAUGUUGAACUAUGUUGGAUUUGGAUCUUUGUAAUGACUGUCACUAGAGUGUGGGCAUCCCCUGCACCUUGGUUUACCUGUUAAAUGUUAAUGAAGUUAGUUAUCUAGCUGGGAAGCCUUUUUAUUCCACUUUCCUCUUUAUCUGAGAAGUUGUGUUUGCCUGUGUUGGAAAUCAGUGAAGAUGUUCAUCUGUUCAGUACUGUGGAAAGAUUCUAUACUCUUUUUUCUUAUGCUACAAGUUGCAAGAUCAGCUCUGAUGUGUGAUUGCAUUCUGCAGAUGUCAGAAAACAGGCGCAGAGGAGGAAGGCGUGCUCAGCAGGAGCAGGCAGCCCCGCAGGAUGAGGCACCCCGUCAGCAACUGCCACCACCACCCCCGAUGACCAUCGAGCAGAUGUUCUUGAUGCAGUCUCAGGCAGUUCAAGCCAUUGGUCAGACUCUGGCCGCCAUCCAGCAGCAGCAGCAGCCACCCACUCAGCCUCAGAUGCCCUCGAUGCCCAGAGACAAGCGUGCUGAAUUCAUGAGAGGUCACCCCCAGUGUUUGCUCACUCUUCUGACCCCAUGGAUGCUGAAGAUUGGUUGCGCACUGUGGAGCGGGAACUGCACACCGCCCAGUGCAACGACAGGGAGAAAGUUUUGUAUGGUCCCUGUCUGUUGAAAGGAGCAGCCCAGUCUUGGUGGGAGUCUUAUCUCACCACCCAUGCCAACCCCGACGCCAUCACCUGGGAAGAAUUCAGAGAUAGCUUCCGUCAGUACCAUGUUCCUGCAGGUCUGAUGACAGUGAAGAAGGAGGAGUUUCUGGCACUCAAGCAAAGGCCUAUGUCAGUUAGUGAGUACUGAGACAGGUUUCUGCAGCUGUCUCGCUAUGCACCUGAAGAUGUCAACACCAACGCCAAGAGGCAGUAUCGUUUCCUGAGAGGCUUGGUCGACCCUCUGCAGUAUCAGCUGAUGAAUCAUACCUUCCCCACAUUUCAGCACCUGAUCGACAGAGCGAUCAUGACAGAGAGGAAGCGCAAAGAGAUGGAGGAUCGCAAGUGUAGGACUAGUGGGCCUCAGCUUGGAAGCAGCAAUCGCUCUCGUUUCUCAGGCAACCCACCUCAGCAGUUCAAGCAGAACCAGCGCCCACCUCAGCAGCAGCAGUUCCAGAAGCAAUACCCUCAGCACCAGCAACAGAAUCGCCAGAACAAUCAGUCAGGAGGAGGUCAGUUCUAGAGGCAGAAUCAGCAGGCACCUCGUCUUCCCGCCCCAGCAACCAACCAGAACAGUCAAGCAACACUAGUUCAAGGCGGAAGCAAAGCAUGUUUCCACUGUGAAGAGCAAGGCCAUUGGAUGAUGCAAUGUCCGAAGAAGGCAGCCCAGCAGCAGUUAGACCCUAAUGCCCCAACAAAGCAGAAUGUGUCUCAGCCUGGAGCAGGCAACCGCUCUCAGCCACGCUACAAUCAUGGGAGGCUAAACUACUUGGAGGCUGAAGCAGUCCAGGAAACACCCGACAUGAUAGUAGGUAUGUUUCCAGUCGACUCCUAUAUUCAGAGGUGUUAUUUGAUACUGGAGCAACGCAUUCUUUUAUAACUGCAUUAUGAGUAGAAGCACAUAAUCUUCCAAUAAUUAACAUGUCAACACCCAUUCAAAUUGACUCAGUCGGUGGUAGGAUUCGAGCCGGUAGCAUUUGCUUGAAUGUAAGUGUGGAAAUAAGGGGGAUAGCGUUUCCCGCUAAUCUCAUAGUGAUGGGUACUCAGGGAAUAGAUGUCAUCCUAGGGAUGAAUUGGCUAGAUAAGUAUCAGGCAGUUAUCAGUUGCGAUAAGAGGACAAUCAAGUUGGUGUCCCCACUAGGAGAGGAAGUGGUGACUGAGUUAGUCCCGCCUGAGCCAAAGAAAGGAAGUUGUUAUCAGAUGGCUGUUGAUAGCUAAAAGGGAAAUAGGGUCAAACCUUUUCCAAUAAGAAUUUUGAUGGUUGAAUUGCCCAACACAAAUUAUUGGACUAACUAGUUUGCUCUAGAAAAUAUGUUCUACAGGUGUCAAAGGUUCACAACAAACCAAUACAAGUCAAAAGAAAGGGUUCAAACAAAGGGAGGAAAAGACAACCGAAGUGUGCCCUGGUCUGGCGCACCGGACUGUCCGGUUCGCCACCGGACAGUGUCAGGUGCACCAGGAAAUCCAACUCCGAACUUGCCACCUUCGAGAAUUCUGGAAGCCGCUCCGCUAUAAUUCACCGGACUGUCCGGUGUUGCACCGGACUGUCCGGUGUGCCAGCGGAACAACAGCUACUUCGCGCCAACGGUCGUCUGCGAAGGCAUUAAAUGUGCUAAAGUGCGCGCCAGAAGGCGCACCAAACAGUCUACAGGACCUGUCCGGUGCACCACCGGACUGUCCGGUGGACCCACCAGUCAUAGCUCCAACGAUCGAACCCUAACGGCCGGGUGACGUGGCUGGCGCACCGGACAGUGUCCGGUGGCACACCGGACUGUCCGGUGCGCCAUGCGACAGCAGCCUCCACCAACGGCUACUUUGGUGGUUGGGGCUAUAAAUACCCCCAACCACCCACCAUUCAUUACAUCCAAGUUUUCAGACUUCCUACACCUUACAAGAGCUAUAGCAUUCAAUACAAGACACACCAAAGAGAUCAAAUCCUCUCCCAAGUCCAAAGAUCAUUCCAAAUCUAUUAGUGACUAGUGUGAGAGUGACUUGUGUUCAUUUGAGCUCUUGCACUUGGAUUGCUUCUUUCUCUCAUUCUUUCUUGUGAUCAACUCAAUUGUAACCGAGGCAAGAGACACCAAUUGUGUGGUGGUCCUUGCGGGGACUUUGUGUCCCGUUUGAUUGAGAAGAGAAGCUCACUCGGUCUAAGUGACCAUUUGAGAGAGAGAAAGGGUUGAAAGAGACCCGGUCUUUGUGACCACCUCAACGGGGAGUAGAUUUGCAAGAACCGAACCUCAGUAAAACAAAUCACCGUGUCAUCCGCCUUAUUUGCUUGUGAUUUGUUUUCGCCCUCUCUUUCGAACUCGUUUAUAUUUCUAACGCUAACCCCCGCUUGUAGUUGUGCUUAAAGUUUGUAAAAUUCAGAUUCGCCCUAUUCACCCCCCCUCUAGGUGACUUUCAAUUGGUAUCAGAGCCCGGUGCUUCAUUAGAGCCUAACCGCUCGAAGUGAUGUUGGGAGAUCACGCCAAGAAGGAGAUGGUGACCGGCGACAAGCCCGCUACAAGCCACGGGAAGGCUCCAUCGGGAGAGUCCCGCAAUAAGGGGAAGGAGAAGGAAUCCCCUUCACACAAGUCGCAUCAGAGUGGAGAAAAGAAAAAGAAGAUGAGGAAGGUGGUCUACUACGAGACCGACUCGUCAUCGCCAUCCACCUCCGACUCCGACGCGUCGUCCAUAACUUCUAAGCGCCAUGAGCGCAAGAAGUUUAGUAAGAUUCCCCUACACUACCCUCGCAUUUCUAAACGUACUCCAUUACUUUCCGUUCCACUAGGCAAACCACCGGUUUUUGACGGUGAAGAUUAUAACAUGUGGAGUGACAAAAUGAGGCAUCACCUAACCUCACUCCACACUAGUAUUUGGAACGUUGUUGAGUUUGGUGUACAGGUACCAUCCGUAGGGGAUGAAGACUAUGAUUCGGACGAAGUUGCCCAAAUCGGCACUUCAACUCACAGGCCACCACAAUACUCCUCGCCUCUCUAAGUCGAGAGGAGUAUAACAAGGUGCAAGGAUUGAAGAGCACCAAGGAGAUUUGGGACGUCCUCAAAACAGCGCACGAAGGAGAUGAGGUGACCAAGAUCACCAAAAGGGAGACGAUCGAGGGGGAGCUCGGUCGAUUCAUGCUUCACCAAGGGGAGGAGCCACAAGCGAUGUACAACCGGCUCAAGACCUUGGUGAACCAAGUGCACAACCUCGGGAGCACCAAAUGGGAUGACCAUGAGAUGGUCAAGGUUAUUCUAAGAUCACUAGUUUUUCUUAAUCCUACUCAAGUACAAUUAAUUCAUGGUGAUCCUAGAUACAAACUAAUGUCUCCCAAGGAAGUGAUAGGUAAAUUUGUGAGCUUUGAACUAAUGAUCAAAGGCUCCAAAAAGAUCAUCGAGCAAGGCACAUCCUCCUCCGUACCCAAAGCACAACCCGUUGCAUUCAAAGCAACGGAGGAGAAGAAAGAAGGUAGAAUCCCCAUCGACGCCUCCAAGCUCGACAAUGAGGAGAUGGCGCUUAUCAUCAAGAGCUUCCGUCAAAUCCUCAAACAAAGGAAGGGGAAAGAUUACAAGCCCCGUUCCAAGAAAGUGUGCUACAAAUGUGGUAAGCCCGGUCAUUUCAUUGCUAAAUCUCCAAUUUCUAGUGAUAGUGACAUGGGCGACGACAAGAAGGGAAAGAGGAGAGAAAAGAAGAAGUAUUACAAGAAGAAGGGCGGCGAUGCCCAUGUUUGCCGGGAGUGGGACUCCGACGAGAGCCCCACCGACUCCUCCUCCGACGAGGACGCCGCCAACAUCGCCGUCAACAAAGGGCUCCUCUUCCCCAACGUCGGCCACAAGUGCCUCAUGGCAAAGGACGGUAAAGGAAGAAGGUAAAAUCAAAAUCCUCAACUAAAUAUGUAACAUCUAGCGAUGAGGCUAAUUCUAGUGAUAACGAGGAUGACUUGUUUACUCUUUUUGCCAACUUAAACAUGCAACAAAAAGAAAAAUUAAAUAAAUUAAUUAGUGCUAUUCAUGAUAAGGAUGAACUCUUGGAUAGCCAAGAGGACUUCCUAAUUAAAGAAAACAAAAAGCAUGUUAAAGUGAAAAAUGCUUAUGCUCUAGAAGUAGAAAAAUGUGAAAAAUUAACUAGUGAGCUAAACACUUGCCAUGAUAUUAUUUCCAACCUUAGAAAUGAGAAUGCCAAUUUAAUUGCUAAGGUUGGGAAGCUUGAUGUUUGUGAUGAUUCAAUUGUUAGUCUUAGAAAUGAUAAUGCCAAUUUUAUUGCUAAGAUUGACAAAUUGAAUGCUUCUCUUGCUAGCCUUAAGAAUGAAAAUGAAAAAUUAAUUGCUAAGGCUAGAGAAUUAGAUGUUUGCAAUAUUUCCAUUUCCAAUCAUAGAGAUGAAAAUGAUAUUUUGCAUGCUAAGAUUGUUGAAUUGAAUACUUGCAAACCCUCUACAUCUUCCGUUGAGCAUGUUACUAUUUGCACUAGAUGUAGAGAUAUUAAUGUUGAUGUUGUUCAUGAUCAUCUAGCUUUAAUUAAACAACAAAAUGAUCACAUAGCUCAACUUAGUGCCAAAAUUAAUGAGCAUGACUUAGAAAAUGAAAAAUUUAAAUUUGCUAGAAGCAUGCUCUAUAGUGGGAGACGCCCUGGAAUUAAGGAUGGCAUUGGCUUCCAAAAGGGAGACAAUGUCAAACUUUAUGCCCCGCCUAAAAGAUUGUCUAAUUUUGUUAAGGGCAAGGCUCCCAUGGUUCAGGAUAACGAGGGUUACAUCUUAUACCCUGCCGGUUAUCCCGAACACAAAAUUAGGAGAAUUCACUCUAGGAAGUCUCACUCUGGCCUUAAUCAUGCUUUUAUGUAUAAGAGUGAGGCAUCUAGUUCUAGGCAAUCAACCCAUGCUAAAUUGCCUAAGAAGAAAACUCCUAAAGCAUCAAAUGAUCAUAAUGUUUCAUUUAAAACUUUUGAUGCUUCUUAUGUGCUUACUAACAAAUCCGGCAAGGUAGUUGCCAAAUUUGUUGGGGGCAAACACAAGGGAUCAAAAACUUGUGUUUGGGUACCCAAAGUUCUUGUAUCUAAUGUCAAAGGACCCAAAACUGUUUGGGUACCUAAAAUCAAGAACUAAAUUUGUUUUGUAGGUUUAUGCAUCCAGGGGCUCAAGUUGGAUCAUCGACAGCGGGUGCACAAACCAUAUGACUAGGGAGAAAAGAAUGUUCUCCUCCUACGAGAAAAACCAAGAUCCCAAAGAGCGAUCACAUUCGGGGAUGGAAAUCAAGGUUUGGUCAAAGGAUUGGGUAAAAUUGCUAUUUCACCUGACCAUUCCAUUUCCAAUGUUUUUCUUGUAGAUUCUUUAGACUACAACUUGCUUUUUGUUUCCCAAUUAUGUAAAAUGGGUUACAACUGUCUUUUCAUGGAUACAUGUGUUACUGUCUUUAGAAGAAGUGAUGAUUCGGUAGCUUUUAAGGGAGUAUUAGAGGGUCAGCUAUACUUAGUUGAUUUCAAUAGAGCUGAACUCGAUACUUGCUUAAUUGCUAAGACUAACAUGGGUUGGCUCUAGCAUCGCCGACUAGCCCAUGUUGGGAUAAAAAUUCUUCACAAGCUUCUAAAGGGAGAGCACAUUUUGGGACUAACAAAUGUGCAUUUUGAGAAAGACAAGAUUUGUAGCGCAUGUCAAGCAGGGAAGCAAGUUGGUGUUCAUCAUCCACACAAAAACAUCAUGACGACUGACAGGCCACUGGAACUACUCAACAUGGAUUUAUUCGGCCCGAUAGCUUACAUAAGCAUCGGCGGGAGUAAGUACUAUCUUGUUAUUGUGGAUGAUUAUUCUCGCUUCACUUGGGUAUUCUUUUUACAGGAUAAAUCUCAAACCCAAUAGACCUUGAAAGGAUUCUUGAGACGGGCUCAAAAUGAGUUCGGCUUGAGGAUUAAGAAGAAAAGAAGCGACAAUGGGACGGAGUUCAAGAACUCACAAAUAGAAGGCUUUCUUGAGGAGGAGGGCAUCAAGCAUGAGUUCUCUUCUCCCUACACGCCACAACAAAAUGGUGUAGUGGAGAGGAAGAAUAGAACUCUAUUGGACAUGGCAAGGACCAUGCUUGAUGAGUACAAGACUUUGGAUCAGUUUUGGGCCGAGGCGGUAACAACCGCUUGCUACGCCAUCAACCGGUUGUAUCUACACCGAAUCCUCAAUAAGACAUCAUACGAACUCCUCACCGGUAAAAAGCCAAAUGUUUCAUAUUUUAGAGUCUUUGGUAGCAAAUGCUUUAUUCUUGUUAAAAGAGGUAGAAAAUCCAAAUUUGCUCCUAAGGCUGUAGAAGGCUUUUUACUAGGAUAUGAUUCAAACACAAGGGCAUAUAGAGUCUUUAACAAGUCCACUAGACUAGUUGAAGUUUCUUGUGACAUUGUGUUUGAUGAGACUAACGGCUCUCAAGUAGAGCAAGUUGAUCUUGAUGAAUUAGAUGAUGAAGAGGCUCCAUGCGUCGCGCUAAGGAACAUGUCCAUUGGGGAUGUGUGUCCAAAAGAAUCCGAAGAGCCCAUUUAAACACAAGAUCAACCAUCCUCCUCCAUGCAAGCAUCUCCACCAACUCAAGAUGAGGAUGAGGCUCAAGAUGAUGAAGGAGAUGUUGGGGACUUGUUCUCAAAUGCUAUGAGUUAAGAACAAGGCAACACAGAGAAUGUUAAACGAUAAAGUCCUUCGUCCUUUGAAGCAUUAUUUCCCUUAGGAUAUAACGAUCUUCGGACGAAGGUCAUGAAGGAUGAACCUUCAUCAUCACAGUAUAUAUUAAUGAAAGACGAAGCAUAUGAAACAUAAAAGAUAGUAUGAACAAUUAUAUAACAUUAUUCAUUUAACUUUAUUAUAUCAUCAUAGAGAAAUAAGAACAAUAUCAAAUUAUACAUGUACCUUCGGCUUGGAAGGAGAUGAAAAUACAAGUGUGACGCAAAAGCAAAUGCCAGGUCAGCGUAAAUAGUACGGGGAUACUGUUCACCUAUUUAUAGACACGGGACACAGCCCUUAUAAAAUUACAUUCAUGCCCUUUACAUUUGAUAAUAACUUUAUAGUAGUCUAUCGAGGUCUGAAUAGCCUUUUCAUCUUUAAGUCGGUUCCACUCUUUGCUGUUACACCGAAGCUUUCCUGCUCAACACCUUCGGCUCUGUAGCAAGCUUCGUAUUAUUCCAGUCUACUGCAAUGCCGAUUUUAGUCCGAGGGUACCUGUUCACACAUUGCACUACAGAAAUACUGUUAAAUCCUUGUUUUUGAGGACCUUCGGACUCCGAAGGUCCCCAACAGUAGCCCCUCGCAAUAUUAAUUUGUUUGAAAUAAUAAAUUUAGAUUGCGAUAUGGACGAAGGCUUUUACGCCGAAGGUCCGAAAAAACACCUUCCCUUUGCUAGAAUAGCAACAUUCAAUGACAAGUGGGGUCUUUCAAUUUUCAACGCACCGAGCGUAUAUAUACGGCCAUACCGCAAACUCAUUUUGCACGCUUUCUGGCCAACCACUCCCACUCACUCAAUUUUUAGCUCUUGUGCACUGUGUUUUUCUAAGCUUUUAGCUUUGAAGCUUCGGAUUUGAAAACAGUUUUUUAGUGCUUCCGAAGAUGUCUGAAGCUGCUAAGAAGGCUGCUGCUGAGAUGAAACUGAGUCUUGAUGAAGAGAAGAACUUAGGAUUUCUUAUAGCGAUGUCGAAGACCAACACAGAAAAAAUCACCAAUGAGAUUCUGGAAGGACUGUCUGAAGAUACUGGUGGCAGUGAAAGUUAUGAUGUAGACAGCGGUGGCGAAGACUCCGAAGAUCGCCCCUGGCGACCAAGUCAUUCAGUUUAUGGUAAAUCAACUAUCAAAGAGAAUCAUCUUGCUAAUAUGAGAGGAAGGUAUUUCCGGGAUUUGUCCGUUGUGAGGGCCGACGAAGGGGAGAAGACUUGUCCACAUCCUGAAGAGAAUGAAGUCGUAGUAUUCCGAAGCUUUUUGAAGGCUGGGCUGCGAUUGCCCCUGAGCAGCUUCGUCGUGGAAGUGCUGAAGAUUUUUGAAGUCUAUCUUCACCAACUUACCCCCGAGGCCAUCAUAAGGCUGAACAUCUUCGUAUGGGCCGUGCGAAGCCAAGGUCUGAAGCCUGAUGCAAAAAGUUUCUGCAAUAUGCACGAAUUAUCAUACGAGACAAUACCUUGGGGUAAGGAACAGUAUCACAAUAACUUUGGCUGCUACAGUUUUGUUUCUCGGUCUGGGUCAAGCUGUCCCGUGCCAACUUUUCGGAAGAGGUGGCCUAGCGGCUGGAUGACAGAAUGGUUUUAUGUAAAAAAUGAUCUGAAAGCACGGGAAGACAUCAAAGGUAUAAUCAUGCGACCUAUUUGGCAAAGCUUCGGCCUUCGGAGGCCGAAGGUUGAAAUGAAUGAAGCCGCCGAAGAGUGCCAAAGAGCCUUCGGCGUUGUCUGCUCUUUUAUAGGAACAAGGGACUUAGUACAAGAGCAUAUCGCCUUCAGGGUGUGGCCGCUUGCGGAGAAAUGGGAAAUGCCACAAGAAACCAUUAAAGAGGCCGACGAAGGUGGACUUAUCAGAUUUAAGUACACUUUUAAAUUUGGAGAUAAAUUUAUUGAGCCAGAUGAUGAAUGGUUGAAAAGCAUUGACAAUUUAAGUGAUGAGCUACUCGGGACCUACUCGAAGGCUGAAGAUAACGCAAUGUCAGCAGCCUUCGGAGGCCGAAAAAAGAAGAGACUGAAUCGGGUAUUUGAUGCCAUCGGGUUUGUCUACCCUGACUAUUGCUAUCCCAUUCGGAGGCAGAAGAGAAAAAACACAACCUCUGCAAAAAAAGAAGAAGCUGCAGCUGCUCCUAGCGAGCCAGAACCGAAAAGGAAAAAGUUAAAGGUUCUUACGCAUCGGCCGCGUUAUAUUGAACCAGCUUCGGUGCCCAAGUUUACCGGAAAAACAUCUUCGGCCACCGAAGCUGAAAAACCAACCGAGCCAGCCUUAUCGCCAGAGAUCGCAGAAACGGCCGAAGUGCCACCAAAGAUAGAAUCAGAACAAUCAAACAUUUUGUUGUCAGAAACAAAAGAGGAAACCGAAGCGCCGUCCACAGAAAAAAUUGAAGAGGUAAAAGAAGCAACUGAGGGCUCCAAAACAUCAGAAGUUUUGAGUCCUACAGCAAUCAUUGGGACAACAAAAAAUGAAAAAGUGCCAACCGCAACUCCGAAGAGAAAGAGAAUGGCUAAUGUGCUAGAUGUACUGGAAACGAUCAAAUCUUCGAGCACACCUCCGAAGAAGGCUGUUGUUACUCCUGAAACAACAGCUGAAAUUUCUGGUUCUACAGCUCCAGAGCAAGAAAUUGAAGCCGAAGCUGGGCCCUCAGAACCCGCAAAAACUUUGGAAAGUGAAGCAGAAAAAAUAACAAAGCCAACUUUUAAAGAAACUGGUGUUGUUACCCCCGAAGCAUCCCCCAAAAUUCGUGAUUAUAUUUUUCAUCAUGCUUCGGGGAAAAAAUUAUCAGAAAAAGAAGAACAAGAGGCCCAGCACUAUGCCCAAAAGUUGAAAUAUCCAAAGGGGGCGUUGAUAUUUAAUGGCAGUGGAGAAGAAGACUUCUUGUAUUGUCUCCCCGAUAGCAAGGAAAUUUCUGUCUGUCGGGAGAUGAGCAGAAGCUUCGGAUUCCCAACUUUAGAAGACGGACUUUCGGUAUUGUCGAAGAUCGAUCUGGCUGACAGCCUAGCUUACAACAGUUUAAAGGUGCGAGAAAUGGAAUUCUCGUGUUUUUUGUUGAGUUCAAAAAUUUUUUGUUUGUUUAAAACUAUUGACACAGACAUAUUCCUGUUUGCAGGGCCUGAUACUCAGCAAUGCCCUCAGGGCCCAGAAAGAUGCUGAGGACGAAGGAUGUACUAUAGCCCUGAGCAACCUUCGUUCCGAAGUGAUUGAACUGAGGAACGAAGGUCUCGAAAAAGACAAAAUAUUAUACUCAUUGAUAGAUAAAAUAAAGGAGAACGAAGCUGCUUUUAAAAGUCAAGCUGAAGCUCAGAAACGCGAAAUUGAAGACCUUCGGAAACAACUGGCCAGAGCCAAAGAAGAACGUAUACUUCAAGAAACAAAGCGUGAACUCAGCGAUCAAUGGGCAGAUCACCUAGAAGUGACUGUUGAAGAGCUUCGUUCAUCCAAAAAGAGAUGCUACAACAAAUCUAUAGAUUGUGUUAGAAAAUUAAAGGCUAGCUUCGCCAAGGUCGGCGCAUUCUCAAGUGAGGAAAACUUUUCGAGAGGCAAUCCCGAAGGUGUCAUUGAAUGGAUUGACCACGAAGCUGAAGCCUUCGAAGAAAUUUUAAAUAGUCGAGGAGAUAUAUGUGCCUUCUCUGGCGCCAUAGGGAUUGCCACCAUCUUAGAGAAGAAGGGCUGUGAACAUGUAAAAAUUCUAGCACAGUCCGAAGCUGCCUUGUCCUUUGAAGAUACAAGAGAUCCUACGGCCGAAGCUAGCAUAAUUGGCGGAAAGUUUUUUACCGAUAUCUGGGAUAAUGGUGGCCGAGAAAUGGCCGGAGAAAUUAUUCGAAGAAGUGAGAAGGGCAUUCACGAUGCUAGAGCAGUAGCUGAGGCUGCUGACAAGAGCAUAGAAGCCGAAGAUCAACUAGGUACUAAAUAAUGGUUUUUAUCGUGUUGUAAUCUUUAGGCUUUAAGAUCUGCUUGCGAUUUGUAAUAGCAAUGUAGCCAUGUCCUGCUUCAGAUCCGACUAAAGCGCCUUCGGACCCCCAGCCGAAGGGGGACGACGAAAUUAAAAAGAUGGCCGAAGAUAUUAUGGAUAAAGUCGUGAAUCGGCUCCUGAAUGAAGCUGCAGAAGUCGUUUUGAGAGAAGAUUAAGCAUUUUUGUAAAAAACUUCUGAAAUGUAAUAUAAUGUAACAUUUUGUAACCCUGAAUGUAAUAUAUCUAUUUUUGUUAUUCAAUUCUUUACGAUGCAUGAAACUUUACAUACAUACCGUUUUUGAGUCUUUGGCGAAAAAACACCUUCCCUUCUUUUCAUGCUUCGUGAAGAAGAAUUACCAUUUAUCACAACAAUAUCCGAAGUAUCAUGGAAAAGUGCUGAAGCUUCGUAGAAACAAUCUUCAAGGCUAUACUUCAGAAAUCAAUAUUGUUUCUCCUUAUGACUUGGCAUGAUUUGCCCCUUUUUCAAAGCGCUUUUCCGAAGAUUAAUGUCAUAUCUCUUUCUUAUGCCACAUGCAUUAUGAUGUAUGAUGCUUAUGUUAUGCAAGGAUGAUGUGAUGAUGUUAUGCUAUGUAAGGUGAUAUUCCGAAGAUACACGCAUAUUUGCGCAAUAAAACACAAUCUUUUUAUGAAUCAGCAUUGUCUUUUCGCUAUAAGCCUCCCUUAGGAGCUUCUUCGCCUUUUACUUCAGCGGAACCAGCGUUGACUUUUCGCUGUAAGCUCUGCAUUCCCAUAGGAACGUCUUUGGAGCUUCUUCGCCUUUUACUUAGGCGGUAUAAGCUCUGCAUUCCCUUAGGAACGUCUUUGGAGCUUCUUCGCCUUUUACUUAGGCGGUAUCAGCGUUGACUUUUCUCUGUAUGCUCUGCAUUCCUUUUGGAACGACUUUGGAGCAGAAAACUUACACUGCGCUCGCUUCGGAACGACUUUUUGUGACUUCGUCAAACUUACUCUGCGUUCCGUAGAACGACUUUUUGUUGUUUCGAAGAAUUUUCGACAGUCCGAAGGUCCUUUUUAUUAUCACAAGCCUGUGGAGAAAACAUAUUUUUCUUGUAGGAAUCAACGAAACUAAUUACAUGAAGCCUAAACGAUGUCCUUUAUUACAGAAAAUAAAACUGAAUGAAAAAGAUUGCUAUUAAGGUAGGAUAUUUGUCAAUAGAUGUGCUUUGAUUCUGGCACUGUGCUGUUGACCGUGCGAGCUUCGGACUGUUCUCUGAAGUCCCUUUGGUGCGGAGCAUAUUGGCUCCCUUCUGGCUGCUGGCCUUGUUGCAACGGAGGUGGAGGCGGAGGCUGUUGCCAGGAAGCUUGAGGCUGACUCGCCGAAGCAGCAGAGACUGCAGGAUGGUUGCCCACAUAUUCUGGGAUGUAGGGCGAAUGAUACGAAGCUGUGUGCAUGACCUGCUUCGGCUGGGCUUGUUGUGCUGCUGCUUCAGCUAUUUCCUUUUGCUUCUGUAUAGUAACAUGGCACGUCCUGGUAGUAUGGCCUUUGUUCUCACCGCAGAAUAAGCAAAAGAUUCUUCUCGGUUGAUCGCCAAAUCUUCCUCCGAAGCCCCUGGCGCCUCUGCCUCUUGGAGCUGGUGGCCGGAAGGAGCUUUGCUGUUGUCCAGAAGCCUGUGAGGAGUAUUGUGGCUUUUGCUGUUGGCUUCCUCUGUCAUCAUUUUGUAUAGAAUUGUGAAUUGAUCGCACAUGCCUCGGGUAAAACCUCCCUCCGAAGCCCCUGGUCAUUUCAGAAAACCUGAAAGCCUCCUCCCUUCUUUGGCGAAAAUCAUUGUCGGCCCGAAUGUAUUCAUCCAUUUUCUGGAGAAGCUUCUCCAAAGUUUGAGGAGGCCUCCUGGCGAAGUACUGAGCUGACGGACCUGGCCGAAGCCCCUUGAUCAUGGCCUCGAUGACAAUUUCAUUGGGCACCGUUGGUGCCUGUGCCCUCAGACGCAAGAACCUUCGGACAUAUGCCUGAAGGUAUUCUUCGUGGUCCUGAGUGCACUGGAACAGAGCCUGAGCAGUGACCGGCUUCGUCUGAAAUCCUUGAAAACUGGUUAACAACAAAUCCUUGAGCUUCUGCCAUGAAGUGAUCGUGCCUGGUCGAAGGGAGGAAUACCAGGUUUGAGCAACACUUCUGACAGCCAUAACGAAAGAUUUGGCCAUGACUGAAGCAUUGCCACCAUACGAAGAAACUGUUGCUUCGUAGCUCAUCAAAAACUGCUUCAGAUCUGAAUGGCCAUCGAAUACAGGGAGCUGAGGCGGCUUGUAGGACGGGGGCCAAGGUGUAGCCAGUCAUCUUCGUUGGGAAAACCCUCCUGAUGAAGAUCUUGAUGCUGAGGCCUUCGGUGUUGCUCGUCCUGAGCAAGAUGACGAACUUCUUCAGAGGCUUCGUCUAUCUGCCUUUGCAGUUCAGCUACCCUGGCCAUCUUUUCUUUCUUGCGUUGAACCUGUUGCUGAAGGAUUUCCAGAUUUUGAAUCUCCUGAUCUAGAUCAUCCUCCGGAGGUGUUGGACUGGUAGCCUUCCUCUUCUGGCUUCGUGCCUCUCUAAGAGAAAGGACGUCUUGAUUAGGGUCCAGCGGCUGCAGCGUGCCAGCCCCUGGUGCUGAAGCCUUCUUCGGCGGCAUGACGAAGGUGAUGCUUGUCGAAGAUGUUGAAAAGCUCAAGAAAUGGAAGUGAGUUCACCGGAGGUGGGCGCCAAUGUUGGGGACUUGUUCUCAAAUGCUAUGAGUUAAGAACAAGGCAACACAGAGAAUGUUAAACGAUAAAGUCCUUCGUCCUUUGAAGCAUUAUUUCCCUUAGGAUAUAACGAUCUUCGGACGAAGGUCAUGAAGGACGAACCUUCAUCAUCACAGUAUAUAUUAAUGAAAGACGAAGCAUAUGAAACAUAAAAGAUAGUAUGAACAAUUAUAUAACAUUAUUCAUUUAACUUUAUUAUAUCAUCAUAGAGAAAUAAGAACAAUAUCAAAUUAUACAUGUACCUUCGGCUUGGAAGGAGAUGAAAAUACAAGUGUGACGCAAAAGCAAAUGCCAGGUCAGCGUAAAUAGUACGGGGAUACUGUUCACCUAUUUAUAGACACGGGACACAACCCUUAUAAAAUUACAUUCAUGCCCUUUACAUUUGAUAAUAACUUUAUAGUAGUCUAUCGAGGUCUGAAUAGCCUUUUCAUCUUUAAGUCGGUUCCACUCUUUGCUGUUACACCGAAGCUUUCCUGCUCAACACCUUCGGCUCUGUAGCAAGCUUCGUAUUAUUCCAGUCUACUGCAAUGCCGAUUUUAGUCCGAGGGUACCUGUUCACACAUUGCACUACAGAAAUACUGUUAAAUCCUUGUUUUUGAGGACCUUCGGACUCCGAAGGUCCCCAACAGGAGAAGAUCAAGAAGAUGAGCCACCUCAAGAAGACGGUAAUGAUCAAGGGGGAGAUGCAAAUGAUCAAGACAAGGAGGAUGAACAAAAUCAAAGGCCUCCACACCCAAGAGUCCACCAAGCAAUCCAACGAGAUCACCCCGUGAACACCAUCCUAGGAUAUAUUCAUAAGGGGGUAACCACUCGAUCUCGUGUUGCUCAUUUCUGUGAACACUACUCUUUUGUUUCCUCUAUUGAGCCACACAGGGUAGAGGAAGCACUUCAAGAUUCAAAUUGGGUGCUGGCGAUGCAAGAGGAGCUCAACAACUUCAAGAGGAAUGAGGUAUGGCAUUUAGUUCCACGUCCUAACCAAAAUGUUGUAGGAACCAAGUGGGUCUUCCGCAACAAACAAGAUGAGCAUGGUGUGGUGACAAGGAACAAGGCACGACUUGUGGCCAAAGGGUAUUCACAAGUCGAAGGUUUGGAUUUCGGUGAAACUUAUGCACCCGUAGCUAGGCUUGAAUCAAUUCGAAUAUUACUUGCCUAUGCUACUCACCAUGACUUUAAGCUUUACCAAAUGGACGUGAAGAGUGCUUUCCUCAACGGACCUAUAAAGGAAGAGGUCUAUGUUGAGCAACCUCCCGGCUUUGAAGAUAGUGAGUAUCCUAACCAUGUUUACAAACUCUCUAAGGCGCUUUAUGGGCUCAAGCAAGCCCCGAGAGCAUGGUAUGAAUGCCUAAGAGACUUUCUUAUCACUAAUGGCUUCAAAGUCGAAAAGGCCGAUCCUACUUUAUUCACUAAGACCAUUGAGAAUGAUUUGUUUGUAUGCCAAAUCUAUGUUGAUGAUAUCAUAUUUGGGUCUACUAACAAAUCUAUUUGUGAAGAAUUUAGUAGGAUCAUGAUUCAAAAAUUCGAGAUGUCUAUGAUGGGGGAGUUGAAGUAUUUUCUAGGCUUUCAAGUGAAGCAACUCCAAGAGGGCACCUUCAUCAGCCAAACAAAGUAUAUUCAAGAUAUUCUCACCAAGUUUGGAAUGAAGGAUGCCAAGCCCAUCAAGACACCCAUGGGAACCAAUGGGCAUAUCGACCUCGACACGGGAGGUAAAUCCGUAGAUCAAAAGGUAUACCAGUCGAUGAUAGGUUCUUUACUCUAUUUAUGUGCAUCUCGACCGGACAUUAUGCUUUCUGUAUGCAUGUGUGCAAGGUUCCAAGUCGACCCUAAGGAAGUUCACCUUAGGGCCAUAAAGCGAAUCUUGAGAUAUUUAGUUCAAACACCUAAGUUUGGUCUUUGGUACCCCAAGGGAUCCUCAUUUGAUUUAUUAGGUUAUUUCGAUGUUGAUUGGGCAGGGUGUAAGAAUAAUAGGAAGAGCACAUCAGGGACUUGUCAGUUUCUGGGAAGAUCCCUGGUGUCUUGGGCUUCAAAGAAACAAAACUCAGUAGCUCUUUCUACCGCCGAAGCCGAGUACAUUACCGCAGGUCAUUGUUGUGCGCAAUUGCUUUGGAUGAGGCAAACCCUUAGGGACUAUGGCUACAAGUUUAGCAAAGUCCCUCUCCUAUGUGACAAUGAGAGUGCAAUCCACAUGGCGAAUAAUCUCGUUGAACACAGCCGCACUAAGCACAUAGCCAUUCGGUAUCACUUUUUGAGAGAUCACCAACAAAAGGGGGAUAUUGAGAUAGCCUACAUAAACACCAAAGAUCAAUAGGCCGAUAUCUUUACCAAGCCUUUAGAUGAACAAUCCUUUACCAAACUUAGGAAUGAGCUAAAUAUUCUUGAUUCUAGGAAUUUUGAUUGAUUCUUUGCACACAUAGCUCAUUUUUAUACCUUUGAUCAUAUCUCUUUCAUGCCUAUGACUAAUGUGUUUUUCAAAAGUGUCAUCUCAUGCUUAGUCACAGAUAUUGAAAGGGAAAUGGAGUAUUCGGCAAAGAAGGCGCUUCCACUCAACUCCAAUUAUAUUUGCCGGUAUUCCGCUUCGUUCUCCACUUUGGUAUAAUCUUCACUCAUAUUUUUGUGUUUGCCAAAGGAGGAGAAAGUUUGAAAGGGAUUAUAUUUCACUCACAAGUAUCCGUUUUUGGCGAUUCAUGCCAAAGGGGGAGAAAGUAUGAGCCCAAAGCAAAAGGACCGCACCACCACCAAAUUUAAAAAUGAAGUUUCAGAUUGAUAUCUUAUUGUGUUCAAAAAGGGGGAGAAAGUAAUAUCUUCAAAAAUUGAAAAACCCCCUUGAACACUAAGAGGAGAAUCUUAUUUAGGGGGAGUUUUGUUUUAGUCAAAGGAAAAGCAUUUGAGAUAGGGGGAGAAAAUUUCAAAUCUUGAACAUGCUUUCUUCAAUUUUACUCAUGUACCUUUGACUAUUUGCAAAAGGUUUUUAAAAUGAAUUUUUAUAAAGAAUUUGCAAAAUAAAACCCGUGGUGCAAAUGUGGUCCAAAAUUUUAAUAAAGAAUAAAACCAUCCAUGCACAUCUAUUGAGAUAAGUAUAUUGGUUUCAACUCUAAGCAACCUUUGCACUUACAUUAUGCAAACUAGUUCAAUUCUGCACUUUUAUAUUUGCUUUGGUUUGUGUUGGCAUCAAUCACCAAAAAGGGGGAGAUUGAAAGGGAAUAGGGUCAAACCUUUUCCAAUAAGAAUUUUGGUGGUUGAAUUGCCCAACACAAAUUAUUGGACUAACUAGUUUGCUCUAGAAAAUAUGUUCUACAGGUGCCAAAGGUUCACAACAAACCAAUACAAGUCAAAAGAAAGGGUUCAAACAAAGGGAGCAAAAGACAAUCGAAGUGUGCCCUGGUCUGGCGCACCGGACAGUGUCCGGUGCACCAGGAAAUCCAACUCCGAACUUGCUACCUUCGGGAAUUCUGGAAGCCACUCCGCUAUAAUUCACCGGACUGUCCGGUGUUGCACCGAACUGUCCGGUGUGCCAACGGAGCAACAGCUACUUCGCGCCAACGGUCGUCUGCGAAGGCAUUAAAUGUGCUACAGUGCGCGCCUGCGCACGCAGAAGUCAGAGCAGGCGCCAGAAGGCGCACCGGACAGUCUAUAGGACCUGUCCGGUGCACCACCGAACUGUCCGGUGGACCCACCAGUCAGAGCUCCAACGGUCGAACCCUAACGGCCGAGUGACGUGGCUGGCACACCGGACAGUGUCCGGUGCGCCAUGCGACAGCAGCCUCCACCAACGGCUACUUUGGUGGUUGGGGCUAUAAAUACCCCCAACCACCCACCAUUCAUUACAUCCAAGUUUUCAGACUUCCUACACCUUACAAGAGCUAUAGCAUUCAAUACAAGACACACCAAAGAGAUCAAAUCCUCUCCCAAGUCCAAAGAUCAUUCCAAAUCAAUUAGUGACUAGUGUGAGAGUGACUUAUGUUCAUUUGAGCUCUUGCGCUUGGAUUGCUUCUUUCUCUCAUUCUUUCUUGUGAUCAACUCAAUUGUAACCGAGGCAAGAGACACCAAUUGUGUGGUGGUCCUUGCAGGGACUUUGUGUCCCGUUUGAUUGAGAAGAGAAGCUCACUCGAUCUAAGUGACCGUUUGAGAGAGGGAAAGGGUUGAAAGAGACCCGGUCUUUGUGACCACCUCAACGGGGAGUAGGUUUGCAAGAACCGAACCUCGGUAAAACAAAUCACCAUGUCAUCUGCCUUAUUUGCUUGUGAUUUGUUUUCGCCCUCUCAUUCGGACUCGUUUAUAUUUCUAACGCUAACCCCCGCUUGUAGUUGUGCUUAAAGUUUGUAAAAUUCAGAUUCGCCCUAUUCACCCCCCUCUAGGCGACUUUCAAUAGCAGUGAAGCAGAUCCACUCGAGAUUAUCAAGGUUAUGUCCGAGUUCCCAGAUGUGUUCCCAAAGGACCUACCAGGUAUGCCACCUGAGCAAAAAGUUGAGUUUGCCAUAGAGCUUCUUCCUGGAACUGCCCCCAUCUUUAAGAGAGCUUAUAGAGUAUCUAGACCAGAGUUAGUUGAACUUAAGAAGCAGAUUGAUGAGCUGUCAGAGAAAGGUUACAUCCGGCCAAGCACCUCGCCUUGGGCCGCCCCUAUCCUGUUCGUGGAGAAGAAAGAUGGCAGUAGGAGGAUGUGUAUUGAUUAUCGAGCUUUGAAUGAGGUCACAAUCAAGAACAAGUACCCCUUGCUCAGAAUAGAAGAUCUGUUCGACCAGUUGAGAGGAGCCAACGUGUUUUCAAACAUAGAUCUGAGGUCAGGUUAUCACCAGUUCAGAGUUCGACCUUCAUACAUUCCGAAGACAGCAUUCAUUACCAAGUAUGGGUUGUACGAGUUCACUGUUAUGUCUUUUGGUCUAACAAAUGCACCAGCCUUCUUCAUGAAUCUGAUGAACAGUGUAUUCAUGGAUUAUCUUGACAAGUUUGUGGUGGUAUUUAUUGAUGAUGUUAUCAUAUAUUCUCGAAGCGAAGAAGAGCAUGCGGGUCAUUUGAGGAUAGUUUUGUAGAGAUUGCGAGAGCACCAACUGUAUGCAAAGUUGAGCAAGUGUGAGUUCUGGAUUGAUGAAGUCCUGUUCUUGGGUCACAUAACAAACAAAGAAGGAUUAGCUGUGGAUCCGAAGAAGGUGGCAGACAUUCUGAAUUGGAAAGCACCAACAGAUGCUCGAGGAAUCAAGAGCUUCAUUGGAAUGGAUGGAUAUUAUCGGCGAUUAUUGAAGGGUUUUCGAAGAUUGCGAAACCGAUGACAGCUUUGCUAGGCAACAAAGUUGAGUUCAAGUGGACCUAGAAAUGCCAAGAGGCCUUUGAAGCGCUGAAAGAGAAGUUGACUACAACACCUGUCUUAGUCUUGCCUGAUGUGCACAAGCCCUUAUCAGUGUAUUGCGAUGCUUGUUACACUGGUUUGGGAUGCGUGUUGAUGCAAGAGGGAAGAGUUGUGGCUUACUCAUCCCGACAGCUGAAGGUUCAUGAGAAGAAUUACCUAAUCCAUGACCUAGAGUUGGCAGCAGUGGUUCACGCACUGAAGACAUGGAGGCACUAUCUGUAUGGACAGAAAUGUGAUGUUUACACAGACCACAAGAGUCUGAAGUACAUAUUCACUCAGUCAGAGCUGAAUAUGAGGCAACGAAGAUGGUUAGAGUUGAUCAAAGACUAUGAAUUGGUGAUUCAUUACCAUCCAGGCAAAGCAAACGUAGUGGCAGAUGCUUUGAGCAGGAAGAGUCAAGUCAAUAUGAUGGUCGCUCAUCCAAUGCCUUAUGAGUUAGCGAAAGAGUUCGACAGGUUGAGCCUCGGAUUUCUAAACAAUAUGCGAGGAGUGACAGUUGAGUUGGAGCCAACCCUAGAGCGGGAAAUCAAAGAAGCACAGAAGAAUGAUGAGAAGAUCAGUGAAAUCCGGCAACUGAUUCUAGAAGGCAGAGGUAAAGAUUUCUGGGAGGAUGCAGAAGGCGUGAUAUGGUUCAAGGACCGCUUGUGUGUUCCCAAUGUCCAGUCUAUUCGGGAGUUGAUCCUUAAGGAAGCUCAUGAAACAUCUUAUUCUAUACACCCUGGAAGUGAGAAGAUGUAUCAGGAUCUAAAGAAGAAAUUUUGGUGGUACGGAAUGAAGAGGGAAAUCGCAGAGCAUGUGGCUAUGUGUGAUAGCUGUCGACGGAUCAAGGCAGAGCAUCAGACACUAGCUGGGUUGUUGCAACCGUUGUGAAUUCCUCAGUGGAAAUGGGAUGAAAUCGGUAUGGAUUUCAUAGUCGGAUUGCCUCGCACUCGAGCCGGCUAUGAUUCCAUUUGGGUAGUGGUGGAUCGCUUGACCAAGUCGGCCCACUUCAUACCUGUCAAGACCAACUACAGCAGUGCAGUAUUGGUAGAGUUGUACAUGUCCUGGAUCGUUUGUCUUCAUGGUGUGCCAAAGAAGAUAGUGUCAGACAGAGGAACGCAGUUCACCUCUCAUUUCUGGCAGCAGUUGCAUGAAGCCUUGGGUACACAUUUGAAUUUUAGUUUAGCUUACCAUCCGCAGACAGAUGGUCAGACCGAAAGAACUAAUCAAAUCCUCAAAGACAUGUUGAGAGCUUAUGCGUUGCAAGAUCAGUUUGGAUGGGACAAGAGGUUACCUUAUGCAGAGUUCUCCUAUAACAACAGUUACCAGGCCAGCUUGAAGAUGUCACCUUUUCAGGCACUUUAUGGAAGGAGUUGUAGAACUCCGUUGCAAUGGGAUCAGCAUGGAGAAAAGCAAGUGUUUGGGCCAGACAUUUUGCUUGAAGCUGAAGAGAACAUCAAAAUGGUUUGGGAGAACCUGAAGAUAGCGCAAUCAAGGCAGCGAAGUUAUGCAGACACAAGAAGAAGAGAGCUGAGUUUCGAAGUCGGAGAUUUUGUCUACUUGAAAGUAUCACCUAUCAGAGGAGUCAGAAGAUUCAGAGUCAAAGGCAAGCUAGCAACCCGCUACAUCGGUCCGUAUUAGAUUUUCGCAAGGCGUGGAGAAGUGGCCUAUCAGCUCAGCCUGCCAGAAAAUUUGUCUGCUGUGCAUAAUGUCUUUCAUGUGUCUCAGUUAAGGAAAUGUCUGCAUGUGCCAGAAGAGAAGUUGCCAGUGGAGGGUCUCGAAGUCCAAGAAGACUUGACCUAUAUUGAGAAGCCAACGCAAAUUAUUGAGACUGCAGACAGAGUCGCCCGAAGGAAGACUAUCAGAAUGUGCAAAGUCAGAUGGGGUCAUCACUCCGAAGAAGAGGCAACAUGGGAGCAUGAAGAUGAUUUGAUGGCUAAAUAUCCUGAGCUCUUUGCUAGCCAACCUUGAAUCUCGAGGGCGAGAUUCUUUUAAGGGGGAUAGGUUUGUAACGCCCCGAAUUUGAGAGUUAAAUUUUUCUUUCUCUAGCACUCACCAAAUUCGGGCGUUACCUUUCCUCUUUCUUUUUUCUUCUCGUUGUGCCUUGUUCUUCUUCAAAUAUUCUAGCGAGAUUUAGCUCGAGACCUCGUGUAAGUAAAACCCUAGAGUUAAAUCUUUUGGUUGUUGCACCAUGCCGGUCCAUGCAUUUAUUUUGGUGUGAAAGCUCGUGUAAGUAAAACCCUAGACCUCGUGUGAAAGCAUACAUUUGAAAAUAGAUCAAAGUGGGAAAAUUAGGAGAAGAAUAAAAAAGAAGGGGAAUUUCUCUCUCCCCCCUUUUGGGCUGGCUUCUAGCCGCGGCCCAACCGGCGCCCCUCCCCUCCCCGCCGUGGGCCCCGCGCGGCCCAGCCAGGCGCGCAGCCCCGCCGCCCCCUCCCCCGUGACCUGCGUGCGCGGCACUUGUGGGCGCAACCGCCGCCGUCGCCACCUCCCUGGUGGGGCCCACCCGUCAGCCGCCCCUCAAACCUCUCCCUCUCUCUCCCCUACCUUGCACACGUCCCUCUCUCUAUCUCUCCCUUGAUGCCGCUCGCCCUCGCCCCGCGCGGUAAGCCCCUCCCUCCUCUCUCCUCCCCCUUCCUUCCCUUCCUCGGCGUCCCAACCCGCCUUGGUGCAGCCCCGCCCGCGGUGCGGCUUCCCUCGCCCGUCUCGCGCUGCCCCGGCGCGGCCUCGCUGGGGCGUGGCCCGGCCUCGCCGUCACGCGCCCGCGCGGCUCCCCGCCCUCCCAGUGUUCCCCUCGCCCCAGCGUGGCUUUCCCCCGUCCGGCGUCCCGUCCCCACGGUGGCCCGCGCUCGCUCGCCCCUGCUCGCGGCACAGCGCGGCGUGCCCGCUGGCCUCGUCCCUGUCCCUCGGCGCGCCCGCGGUGCCCUCCCACGCGGCGGUCCGGCCUCGGCUCUGGCGCGGCCUCCCCCGCCCUGGCGCACGCCCCUGCUCGGCGCGGCUCGCCCGCCCAGCCCCUGCCCGACCCCUGCCCCUGCGCGCGCGCCCGUGCGCAGCGCGACCCCGGCGUGGCCCCUGCGUAGCGCGGCCCUGGCCCGGCGUGGCUCCAGCUCACGCGGCCGCGGUGCCCCUGCGUGGCGCGGCCCCUGCCCGUGGCUCGGCCUCGGCGUGCGCGCGCGUGCUCGCGUGGUCCGCGCGGUGCAUUGGUGCGGCUCGCCAUGCCCUCGGUGCGAUGCGUAGCGUCCUGUCUCGUUCGUGACGUGCCCGUCUACCCCUAGCCACCCGUCUACCCCCCCCCCCCCCUCGUGUAUUUUAUGCGCGUCGAUCGUGUUAUUUAUAUUAAUGAAAUGGAAACUCUACUCAAAAAUUGGUCACGUUAGUUAUCUCAUGUAGUUAAUCAUUGACUUUGUUUAAUGUCGACCAAUUGGAAAUAGUUAUAAAUCUAUUAGUGCAUGUGAUUAAUACUUGUUAGUAUAACUAGGUAGAACUAGAUGAAGUAAUUAUUAAUUAUACACCUAGCCAUAAUAUGCUUCGACUAUAGCUUUAACCACUGUGAGACUUUCCUUCUUCUCUUUCUAGCAGAUGCGAAUACAAAUCGUAUGUCAUAUUUUAUGCAUAUUUGACUUAUCUGCUCUCUUGUAUGGUGUACUGUUUAUUUCCUAAUUCAAAUGGAUGGAUGUAUGUUUGCUCUCGCAUAGAUAACGGUCUGGUUGAGGAAUCCGAAGAACUCGCAGGAGAAGCCCCCUGACAGCAGCUGGUUGGUGGAGGCAAGUGUCCCUUGACCCAUCUAUGUCCUAUACAAUUCUAUAAUUCACAUUCCGCAUUUACACAAUUUAUACCUAAGGAUUGACUAGCUUUUGUUAUCCAUGUCCUUGCUUACCUAUUUGGGUUGGAUUAUUAUGGUUUUGCUUUAUGCUAGUGCUUAACAUUAAUCAAUGAACAUGAUGAGAUUCAUCUAUGAUACGCUGUUUUCCUUCUUUUUUAUGAUGAUAUACUUGUGGCAUUUAAGGGGACUCGAGCGGUUUCUCAAGUGCCUCUCCGUAAGGACCUGUUUGUUGGAUGACCGCCUGGGAAAACAGUGGAACCAUGAGGGUGGAGUGGGACACCCUUAGCUUAAUAAUUAGAGGAACUGGGGUGUAGUUCGCUUAGCCGUCAUGCCGUUAAUGGGGCUCGGUGUAUGCGGCUCACUCUGCCAAGGUUGGUUCGCCCCUUGGGGAGGAGUGUGGUGCAUUUAGGAAACCUAACGGGCGGCUACAGCCCCGGGGAAUCUUUGUAAAGGCUACAUAGUGAUACCCUGCUGGGUCACCUUGGUAGUGAUCAAUGGAGAGUCAUGAUCUUUGGGCAGAAAGGGAAUCACGACUUUGUGGGUAAAGUGUCCAACCUCUGCAGAGUGUUAUGAAAACUGAUAUAUCAGUCGUGCUCACGGUUAUGAGCGGCCAACGGAGCUCCAUUGAUUAGUGAUACUUGAUCAGAGAUGUUCGGAUUACAGGUGGUGAUGAGAAUGAUGGUUUUGGUAUUGACUAUGGUAAUGGUAAGUGGUAUUCUUUCCGUUUGGAAAGGGUACUUUUGGGGUUAACAACUUGGGUUAAUACUAAAACCUAGCUCUCUCUACUAGUAAUAAUAAUCUGACCAACUAAAAGCAACCGCUUGACUUACCCCCAAAUAGAGCUAGUCCACUACAGCAAAACAGGACACUUGCUGAGUAUGUUGAUGUGUACUCACCCUUGCUCUACACAACAAACCCCCCCUUCCCCAGGUUGUCCGCGUUGCAACCACUGCUCAGAAGAAGAUGAAGCCGUGGAGGAAGAUUUCUAGGAGUUCCAAGAUUACGAUGAGUUCUAGGUGUGGGUUAGCGGCAACCCCUAGUCGGCUGCCUGUGAAGGCCGCGUGUAUCUACGUUUCGUUUUCGCACUUUGAUUAUUGUUAAAGACUAUGUGGAUGUCUCAGACAUAUGAUGUAAUCAACUAUUAUUCCCCUUUUAUGUUAUUAUUUGAGCACUGUGUGAUGAUGUCCAGUUAUGUAACUGCUGUGUACGUGAAUUGCUGAUCCUGGCACGUACAUGGUUCGCAUUCGGUUUACCUUCUAAAAUCAGGUGUGACAUUUAUCAAUUUCCUGACAUAUUUCAAACACCUCUUUAUGUGUCUGUCGAUUUCAUAUUAUCCUUAGAACUGUUUAUCUUGAUUAUCACAGUUUGAUUAUCGUAGUUCAUAGAAAUAGUCGGCACAUAUUUUUCAACCACUGGUAUAUCCAUAAGGAGUUCACAAUGCAACUCAGCCUCAACUGAAGCGGUAUCUAAUGCUGUGAGUUCUGCUUCCAUAGUCGACCUCGUUAAGAUUGUUUGCUUCUAAGGCUUCCAUAAAAUAGCGUCACCUCCAAGUGGAAACACAUAUCCACUUGUGGCAUAUAUCUCAUCAACAUCAGAUAUCCAAUUUGCAUCAUAAUAACCCUCCAGUACUAUUGGGUACCCGGUAUAAUGGAUGCCUAAACUCAUAGUACCUUUUAGGUAGCGUAAAACUCUCUCAAGAGCACACCAGUGAUUAUCUCUCGGAUUUGAAACAAACCGGCUAAGUUUGCUCACAGCAGACAAGAUGUCAGGCCCCAUAGCGCUAGCUAAGUACAUGAGUGAACCAAUUAUUUGGGAAUAUCUCAAUUGAUCCCUAGAUAUCCUUCAAUUUUUCUUCAAAAGCUUACUAGGAUUAUAAGGUGUUGGAGCAGGUUCACAUUCGCUAUAAGCAAAGUGACUCAAAACCUUUUCCACACAAUGGGAUUGCACAGAUGUGAUCCCACCAUUGCCUUCUCUCUGUAGCUUAAUGUUAAGAAUACCAUCAGCUUCUCCCAAAUCUUUCAUUUCAAAAAUUAUUAGAUUGAAAGUCUUUUGUCUAUUUAAUCACAUCAAGACUCGUCCCCAAGAUUAGAAUGUCAUCAACAUAUAGGCAUAGAAUUACUCCCCCGCCCCCACCAUACCGAUAGUAUACACAUUUGUUUGCUUCGUUCACAACAAAGCCAGCAGAUGUCAAAGUUCUAUCGAACUUUUCAUGACAUUGCUUAGGUGCUUGUUUUAGGCCAUAUAAAGAUUUCAAUAACUUACACAACAUGCCUUCUUGACCGUUUGCUACAAACCCAGCUGGCUGCUCUAUGUAGAUUUCCUCAUCUAGCUCUCCAUUUAGGAAUGUUGUCUUAACAUCCAUUUGAUGGACGAGAAGACCAUGGGAGGCAGCCAGAGAAAGUAGCACACAAAUUGUGGUCAAUCGAGCCACAAGUGAAUAAGUAUCAAAGAAAUCCUCACCUUCCUUCUAUGAAUAGCCUUUAAUUACAAGCCUUGCCUUGUACCUUUCAAUAGUACCAUCAGGCCUAAGCUUUUUCUUGAACACCCAUUUACUCCCAAUGGGCUUACAGCUAUAAGGACGCUCAACGACCUCCCAAGUUGCAUUAGACAUAAUUCUCACUCCUUAUUGCUUCCUUCCAAAAGUCAACACCAAGAGAGGAAUAUGCCUCUUCAAUGGUACUUGGGGUGUCAUCCACAAGAUAUACAAUGUAAUCAUAACCAAAAGGACUUUGCAAUCCUUGGUCUCUUACUCUUUCGAGUUGAUACAUUGUCAUCUUCCAUAGGAUUAUGUAUAUGGGAUUCCUCAGUGUGUUCUACCAGAAUAAAAUGCUCAUGGAGUAUCGUUGGUUCACCAUUAGACGUGUCAUGUGUAGCUUUCAUGGGAAAUUCGUCCUCAAAAAACAUAGCAUCUCUGGACUCCUUAAUAGUACCAACCAACAUGUCCGGUACUCUAGAGUUUAUAAUUAAGAACCUAUAUCCAAUGUUGUGGAAAGCAUACCCAAGGAAAACACAAUCAACGGUUUUUGGUCCUAAUUUGCGCUUCUGGUUAAUUGGCACAUUCACUUUGGCCAAACAACCCCACAUAUGAAAAUAGGAGAUAUUUAAUUUCCUCUUUUCCCAUUCCUCAAAUGGUGUGAUUUUUUAUUCUUUGUGGGAACUUUAUUCAGGACAUGACACUCUGUCAAGAUCACCUCACCCCACCAUUCCUUAGAUAGUCCCGAAGUCUCUAACAUGGCGUUAACCAAAUCAAUUAGAGUACGGUUCUUUCUCUCAGCAACGCCAAUGGAUUUGUGGUGAGUAUGACGGUGUCCUCUCAUGAAUAAUACCAUGUUCCACACAAAAAUCAGAAAAAUCACCUAAAAAUAUUCUCCACCACGAUCAGACCUUAACCGUUUAAUUUUCCUCUCGAGUUGAUUUUCAACUUCAGCUUUGUAGGUCUUAAAAUAAUGCAAAGCUUCGUCUUUUGAUUUUAAGAGAUACACAUAACAAAAUCUAGUAGAAUCAUCGAUAAAAAUAAUAAAAUAUUGUUUGCCUCCUUUAGUCAAUAUUCCAUUCAUCUCACAUAAAUUGGAAUGUAUUAAGUCUAGUGGUGCCAGAUUCCUCGCCUCCGCAGCUAUAUGAGGCUUACGAUGUUGCUUCGAUUGCACGCACACCUGGCACUUAAAACCUUUGACUAAAUCAGUUUUUGGGAUUAAAUUUAAAUUUGCUAACCGCACCACACAACCAAAAUUGAUGUGACAAAGUCGUGAAUGCCAAAUAUACAACUCGUUCGAAAUCACAUUGUUCACAAACUUAUUACAAACAUCAUGCAAAGAUAAGCGGAACAAGCCUCCACUAUCAUAGCAUUUUCUAGAAAAUGUCCCAUAUCUUGACAAUAUACAUUUAUUAGACUCAAACACAAGUUUAUAGCCAUCUCGACAUAGCAAUGAGCCACUAACAAGAUUCUUUUUGAUGGAGGGGACAUGCUGCACGUUCUUCAAUAGCACUGUCUUUCCCGAAGUAAACUUCAGAAUGAUUGUACCAACACCAAGAACACGCGCAUGUGAUUCGUUCCCCAUCAGCAAGGCUCUAGCCCCUUUGCACUGAUAAGAAGAAAACAAAGAAAUAUCAUCACACACAUGAGUGUUAGCACCAGUGUCAGCCCACCACACCAUACCCCGAUAAUCCUUCUGUGGUCUCGCUAACAAUCAUGUUUGUUGUUUUCGUCUCUUGAGCUGGUUUUUUCUCUUGUUUAAAUUUGUGGUCUAGACAAGCACUUGCCCAGUACUCCCGUAAAUAAAGCAACCAGCUCCUUUGUUCUUCCUUUUAAACGAGGCUGCCUGCUUAGGCUUCGUGGCAUUCUGUUGCUUGUUCUUCUUUUUAUUAUUAUGUGACGUAUUGGAGUUCUUCUUUUGUACCAUAUUGGCACUAGAAGUCUCAACUCUUUUUCCACGAGUGUCUUUUGCUCUCGCCCUCUCCACAGCAUCAAGAGAACCAAUAAGCUCAGUCACGCUAAACUCUUGUCUCUUAUUAGAGUGGUAGCAAAAUCUGUCCAAGAAGGUGGCAGCUUAGCGAUAAUACCGCCAGCCACGAACUUGUCAGACAAGACACAUGUGAAUUGUUCAAAUUCCUUAGCCGCCUGUAUUUCAUGAGCCUGUUCGACUACAGGACGGUUUUCCACCAUCUUAUAGUCAAACAGCUGCUCCAUGAUGUACAACUUGCUACCAGCAUCAGAAACACCGAACUUCUCAUCUAAUGCAUCCUAUAACUCUUUUGCAGAUGUGCACAUCAGAUUAGAGUCAACAUACUUGUUGGCAAGAGCAUCAAUCAUGGUGCCUCAAAACAGGUUAUCGGCAACGUCGAACAUUCUCUCCUCUUCAGGAGUGAACUAUUCAGGUUACCCUAUGCAGUGUGGUAGCAGUUCAUUGUAGUCAACCAUAGUAUCAUCUUACUACGCCAUCUUUUGUAAAAUGUCCCAUCAAAAGGAUCACUUGGUUUUAACACAGCAGCAAAACCACUAACAGAAAAAUGCCUAAUAUCAGGUUUUUGGAUUGUUAGAGAAGUAGGCAUUUUCAGUUUUAAUUUAAUCUAGAAAACCACAGUGAUGUAUGCGACGACGUGUAUGUACAUAUGUGUAUCACUACUCAUAUAAACAGUAAACAACAAUAAAUAUGCACAAAUACUAAAAUACUAAGAACAUAGUGUACUCCUCGGAGGGACCGAUGCUCAAGGCAUCAGUGGCUCCAUUCACACGAGACAUCUCGUAUGUAUGUUCGAUGUAGUCGUACGCUGUCGAUGCAGGCAGAUGUACACAGUGAAGUCCCUCGAACGGUGCUGAUGACGAGGAACUGGAUCAGCGUUGGUUGGGCGGACGGAGCGAGCAAUCGCGAGUAUGCUCCCCAAAAACCUGAUCACCCGCACACACGUGCAAGUGUAGCUCUACGGACAGCGAUUUCGAAGGCCUGCUCUCCCACACUCUCUGUGCUCGCAGAAGGUGGGACGGGAAUGGUUGUGUGCAACGCGUCAGAGAGUGUUCGUACGUACUACAACCAGAAGCAGCAUCACCUGCUCCAUAUAUGUACACGCAUAGAGGGAGGCGAACAGACAGUAACAGACGCCAUUAGCUAGAAACUGACGCCACCAGUGACGUCUGUUACUAGCUAACACCCAUUACAGCUCGUCUGUUACUAGCCAUAACACAGGAAACGACCAGUAACAGACUGUCAUCACUCCAGGAAAAAUGUGCAACAAUUAGGAAGGAAUAUUCGGACUAGGGUCCGAUCUACCACGGCCCGGCCAGCGGCACACGCGUGUGGCAGUCCUUCAUCUUUUUCCAGCUUCUCGAUAGAUGUACCAAUGGUCCACCUAUUUAAAUUGAUUGAAUUGUCCCUUGAACUUCUGGUAUGAUACUAAAAUAAUAGUAGUACACCGUAGCAUUAAAGUGGACCUUUAGCAUUGACUAUUAUUGAAUAUUAAUUUGGGUCAGGUCUACAUUAAUCCAAUAGGUUUAUCGUAAAAGAAACAAUUCAUUUGCAAGGGAAAUAAAACAUGAAAUGUUUGAUGAUACCUUCGAAAUAAAACAUGAAAACCCUGAUUUCCAAAAAAAUCUUAUAUCAGUGGUCCAUAUAUCUAUUUAAAAUUGAUGAUUAGACAUAGAAAUAUUUGACUUGUUGGAAAACUAAUAUGAUAUGUAAUAAAGAUAUAAAGAAACAGAGGAAGUAAUAUAUAAAAAGUUAACAGCAAUAUAUUAUUGGUCCGAUUAGAAACCUCUGUUAUUUAAACUUCACCAGCCGUAUUGAUGGAUCUUCUCCAUCAUACAUAUAUAUGAUGUAGAUCAGUUGGUGGUGGAAUUUCAUAUCAUAAAAAAUAAAUUUUUUUAUGAUAUGUUUUUGAGACACAUAAAAAAUAAAAUUUAAAGAGUAGAGAAGGUUUCCUGCGAGCAAACAAAAAGCAGGCCGGCCGUCCAGAUACAGGCUUUGUAACGUCUCGGGCCCUUUAUUGUUACCAAAGCGUUUCGUUCCACAUCACAAGCACCUAGCAGGUCCAGGCUCUAGUCUAGAGUUUUGCGUAAAGCAGCCGCUCCAGCUCCUUCAUAUUUGCGGCUUCCAUACACAUGAGCACGCGGACGCCGCCGCUGCCGCUGCCGACGCCGUUUGUUGGCCCGUCGUCAAUUAUGUACACAAAGCCGCCACGGAUGGACUCCGCCCGCGACAUCACCGCUGGCUUCCCCCAUCCGAAAUCCGUGUCGUACAUUGGCAUGCCCAGCCAGCUAAUAAGCAUCAGCUCCGUCUCUAGCAAGGUGCCCUUUACAGGCCGGCUGUCCAUCUCGGCCAUCUCACAGUAGUCGACCGCAGAACGCACGAGCUCGUCGUCCAUCCGAUCGAUGGUGUCUUUGAUGCGGCCGGCGACAGAUACCAAAGCCUCCGAAGCAAUGUCCUGAACCGCACCAGUGACGCCCAGCCUGAUCAACGCGUUGCCGAAGUAGCGGUUCGGGAGAGGCGGUCUCAUUCUGCCGCGGACGUUGGCUGGGAAGAUGAGGCGUGUUUCGGAAUCGGGUGGAAGCCGACGUGCAAUGAGAGUGCACUGCCAUACGAGGGCGCUCAUGGCGCAAAACGUGCUUGUGCCGCCACAGAGGCGCUUUAAGGAGGCGACCUGAUCCUUGGAAAUGGCAAAUACUUCAACGGCAAGGGGUCCUGAUCCUAACGGGUCGUCGGAGAAGGUGAGCUUUGGGUAGAACCUCGAGAGGGCGUCCGGGUGGACGGUAGGUGGGGACCGUGCACGGAGGAGUGUGCGGUCGUGGCACGGGAGCUCCACGGUCGCGCGGUCGCCAUACUUGCACAAGGCUGACCACGUCUGGAAGAAGUGGAACGCGCUUGAGGCAUCGCUGGCGGUGUGGUGGAGAGCCGUCCCUAGCACCACACCUCCGAACUUGAGGAAAGUCACCUGCAAGUGGACGACAUAUGAGCAUGAAUUAGACUAUCUCCACCAUAUCCCUAUUCCAUCCCCUAUUUCAAAUCUCACUUCAUAAACAUUAUCAAACAGUGUAAUCUAUAGUUCUGCAUUCUCUAUUUUACACGAUUCACUGAAUACAACUUUAUCACUAUCCAAGUAGAUCUAUCAGUACAUGCGCAUUGUACACAUACAUGCAAAUUGGCAUAUAUACAUGUUUGGGGUUGAUCUCAGGCUUAGUCAAAAAGACUAACCAAGUCUCGGUGGCCUAAGAGUAUCUCUAAUAAUUUCUAAAAUAUUUGUUCUAAUACAUGAGAAUUAGGAACUUCCUAAAACUUUAAUUGCUAAAAAAUCUCAAUACUCUAACAGCUCCUAAUAUUUUUCAAAAAAAUGAAUUUAUUAUUGGGUACCACGCGAAACCAAAAAAACGUGAGAACAUGAAACCUUCGUCAGGUUGGGAGCUCACUAGCAGACGAUUGAAGUGUUGUUUUUUCCUUUUUCUUUUUUCUAAAAAUAAGGAUUGAGACUAAGAGGGUGUUUGGUUUCACGGAUAGCUUUAUUCGGCAUCCCACAUAUUGUCUUACAAAUAAAACAGAGUGAUGACAGACGACAUCCUUCUAUGAUGCAAACCAAACAUCAACGGAGGAUCGGAUACAGGUUCGGAUAGGUACAGGAGCGACCAAACCUGCAAUCCGUAAAGUUUUGAAAGACUUUUGGAGAUGGUCUAGCAGCUCACGUUUCCUAAUCGAGUGAACACUCUUCCUAAUUAGUGGUCUGGUCCUAGGUCUAACUCAUCUGUGUAUAUUAUUGAGGGAGAGACCUCCCUGAAUACCGAUCAAAAUAGACACGAGAUGGACCGUGGACGUGUAGAGACUACGCCUGUUGCUGACCUUUUGCGUCGGUGUUCAUCUACACCUCCUCGCGUCAUGCCUCUCCCCAAAAAGCGAUCUACAACGACAAAUUCUGCUUCUAUAGUACGGUUGCUCGUCAUGCCGCGGGUCAUCACUUUAAUCAAAGGUAAAUAUCAUCAGACCUAGAUGUUCUAAUGGUUAAGGAUUAAGAGCAAGAUCCUACAAGAGAUCUAACAAUGAUAUCAGAGCUAAAGUUUUUUUUCUCUAACCCUAACUCUAAAAAGAAAUUUAUUUUAGUUCUCAUCAAAUCGAAAUAGGAAGAAAGCGAAGGAAAACUCUGAUUGAGAUUCAAGAAAGAAGGAUUUAUUCGAUCUCAAAACGAAGAAGAAAAAAAGAAAAGAAAUAGAGAAAUCCCUAAAUCACUAUGAGGGAGAAGAUGUGUCAUUGUGCAAGUGUGCAUGGAAAUUGGAAACGUCACGCAAGCAUGCAGUUGCUGCGCUCAGCGGGCCACGCGGCAUGCGCGACAAUGGUGCCGAUCGACCAUAGGCUCUCUUGUGUUUAGAGGGGCGCGGCCCCGCGUGGAGAUGGGCUCACAACGCAGUUGCACGAAGUGAAGUGGCAGCGACAGACCCUAGCUGCUAGAACACGUGCGCUCUGGCGACGACGGCGGAGCAGCGCACCCACUAUUGUGUGGAGGCACCCGCUCGGCGUGUGCGUGUUGGGGUUGGGGGAAGGAGAGAAAGCUUGGUGGCAUGCAUGGCUGACGACUAGCAAGCACACGUGUACUCAUGCCGCUGACACCUAUUCCCUGCCUCAUUUAUCUUAAGGUCAUGAAGUUAUAUACUAAGUCAAAAAUAUUUUCAACUUUAACCGUUAGUAACAAAAUAUUUAUAAAUAUUGAUUAAAUAAAAAUAAAACUAUUAGAUUAUUAUUAAAACAUCUACCACAAUAUAUAAUUCAUGUAAUUUAGAAAUAUUUAUUUUUAUAGAUAUUGUUGGUUAAAGUUUUAAAAUAUUAAUUUAGGACAAACCUUCAUGACCUUAGGAUAGUGAAUAGAGUGAGUAGUAGCAAGCAAGCACAUAUGUGUUAUAGCCACUGACGUCUAGCAAAGCAAGCACUAAUGUGCGUGUGCGGCGGCGGGAAAAGGAACAGUGCCAGCUUGGAAAGGGGAGAAGAAUCUAGGGUUUUCCAUCGACUCUGAGUUUUUUAUAAUAGUGACAAACCCUAAUGGACUAAAUUGGACCGUUUUUGGCCCAAAUAGUGAACAUUUUUAUUUUUUUGAAAACAAUUGCUAAUGUUUAUCUCUACUCAAGUUUCUUUGUUGUAUGCUUCCGCUAUUAAGUUAAAAUGGUGAUCAUGUGAUCACGUAAGUAAGCAUCGACUCUAAUUGGCAUAUUUGCUUGAGAUUUGAUAAGUUUUUCAUUAAGAUAGUAGACCAUGGCUAUAUACUGACCAACAUUGUUUAUAGUCAUGUGUCUAUGAUUGAAUCUCACAAGUAUCAAGUCAUGUUGUCUUAAGCAUUUAUGAUCAUGUUCAAGUGAUGUUUAAAGAUAAAGUGAUAUUCAUAAUGUCGACCUUCUAUAAGCAUAAGACAUAUCACAUUGACAUAUUCUAACCAAUGUUGUUUAUAUCAAGGUGUUUUUCAUAAAUGUUUGUGUAUAUUUAUUAAAUUCUUCAUUUUCUACUCAAUAGUGAUGUGAAGAAGAAUCAUUAAGUUUUACGUGGUGCUAAUACCAUGAAAGUCAUAUGAAUCAUUAAGUUUUGCAUGGUGCUAAUACCAAGGAAGUGAAAUAGAUCAUUAAGUUUUGCAUGGUGCUAAUACCAUGGAAGUGAAUUGCAUCAUUAAGUUUUACAUGAUACUAAUGCCAUGGAAAUCAUAUGGAUCAUUAAGCUUUUACAUGGUGCCAAUACCAUGGAAGUCAAUUGGUUGUGAUUCAUGCGAUAUUGAAGUUGCAAUAUCCCUACUAUUAUGUGACAGUAAGUUCCUUACUUGUACCAUAUAAGCAAAGUAAGUUUAUGCGUAGAAUGUACAUCAUGCUAGUAAGAAUGUGGGGAGAGAAAUCCUUAGAUCUAGGGGGAGUAAUCCCCUAAGUUCAAUUUAUACUGAAUUAAAUGAUUGUCAUUGAUUAAAAUGUCUUGAUUGACUUUAAAAGUAACAUGCACAUAAUAAAGUUUAGCAAAUGCUAAGUUCAUGUGAAUACUGAUAGUAUGUGACCUCAUGAAAAUAAAGUUUUCUGAGGUAAAGGCAUAGUAGUGUAAUAUCAAUCAUGAGAUUUAUCGAAAUAUGGAACUGUUGUUUUAGUUCACAUUUCGAGGGAGAGAUAAAUCCCAUUAAGAAGUUAUUUAGUUCAUAUUUCAACAGGGUAGAAAAGUCCCAUUAAGAAUUCCACUUCUCCUAUAAGAUUGAAAUUAAGAAAUUUGGGUAGAUGAUUCCCACGAAAUCAAGAAAUUUGGAUGGUUGAUUAUAAGAUGAUACCAUCUAUUUUUAAGAAGUUUUCCUGGAAGAGCCAAUACAGUGGGUUGUCAUGGGUCCCCAUAGAAUAUAGUGACUCUAAAGGGAAACAGUUGAGAACUUAAAGUUUUAGUUCCAUCCUUCUUGGAUGAGAAUUUUUCUUGCCUAGUUCAAAACAGUGAGCUGUUGUCCAUUCACAUUAAUUCAGUGACUCUAGAGGUGAGUAUUUAAAGAUUUUAAGUCAUCUUCUAAGACCUUAGGGUGAAUAUCGUGUUUUUCACACAUAAAACUCUUGUAUGGUGCCAUUUAGUAAAUGCUUGCAAUAUGCAUUUUACUGAGUAAGUGGUUGAUAUGAUUAUUAUGUUGACAAGUGACACAUAUAGUAAGUUAAUAAGCAUUGAUACAAGGUUCAUAAGUUUCCUUCAAUGAACAUUGAUGAUGUUUAUUAAGAUUUAUCAAAAAGGUCCAAAUAAUAGGGUUUUUUCCAAAAAUAAGGACAAAUAAGUUUAUGGCUGACAUAAUUGAUGUAUAACUUCAUCUUCUGGCUUUAAAGCAUUGAUACCGGGAAUUUGGGCAAUCUUGUUCCAGGAUUGGACCCCUGGAAACCAUGGAGUUCUAAGUUGCAUAUGAGAUGCAAAUGAUUGCAUGCUACUUGCAAAGAUGUUUCGGCAAGGUGAUUAUAAGAAACUACAAAUAAAUCAAUCUUUCUAGAAGGAGCCAUUUUAUGUGGGAUGACUCUGACUCUAUUUAGUUGCAUCAUCAUUAUUGAUUAGAAGUUGAAUUGUGGCAUGUCUUGAUGUGCAAGUUUUGCGAGUAAGAUUAUAAUAUCUUAAGAAUAAAAAAAUUUUGUUUUGGUACAAUGAACUCAUCCCGGGGUUCGUGAAGAGUGCAAUUUAUUCGAGUAACAUGUCUAGUGGUAUUGCCGCACCCAAGACAUUGUGAAAGAUUGAAAAUCCAGAAUCAAACAGAAAUGCAAUUGUAAGCUUUUGAUGCUCAAUACAUAAUUAUUAAGUAUUAAGAUGAAUGUAUAGAGUAUCAAAUAAGCUUCAAGUUUGCAUACUCAGAAAGUAAGAAUUAAGAUAUCUCAAGUUGUAUUGUUUCCACAAUAUGGCUUGCCUUAAGUUGCUAGAAUUAAGAUUAAAAGGAAGCUCGUUUUUUGGAACAAAUUGGGAUAUCAACUUAUGAUUAUGGAGAUAUGCUUGUCUUUUCGAAUUUAAAUGUGCACAUAAGAAGAUAUUAAGAAAGAUUGCACACCUGGACCAUGUAUAGGCCAACUUCUUGUAAGAUUAAGUAAUUAUGAUUUUUGAGAUGGAAUGGUGUAUUGUAGUCACUGGGUUCAAUAGUUCUUAAUGGUCUAUUGUAAUCCUUUGAUUUUGUGUGCUCUUUUAUUUAAGAGAUAUUUUAUAAGGUACCUAAAUGUUGUACUUGUAGAGUUUAAGUUAUCUGUCCUGAGAUAGAAUGAUUCAAUAUAUAUGUUAAAAUUUUAGUGGUGGGUAUUAAGUGUUGUAAUGCUUCAUUUUAGUGUAUUGUUUUAUCGAAAUUGGAUACUUGUAAGUUGACGUCUCUCGAUCAAGGAGGAGAAUGUUAGGAUUGAUUUCGGGCUUAGUCAAAAGACUGACCGAGUCUGCUUAAUGGGCUAAGAGCCCACGUGCCCUGAUCGGGGACACCUCCCUAGUUAGCGGCUUAGUCACAGGUCCAACCCUUUAUAUAUAUAUAUAUAUAUAUAUAUAUAUAUAUAUAUAUAUAUAUAUAUAUAUAUAUAUAUAUAUAUAUAUAUAUAUAUAUAUAUAUAUAUAUAUAUAUAUAUAUAUAUAUAUAUAUAUAUAUUAUUCUUUAUUUGUCGCGAUAUAGUUUAAAAAUAAACUAGUGAAGAAUAAAUAUUCGUAAUAUUACCUCCCUAAGUAGCGAGACGAGAGUCUCCAUGCAUCUAGAAAAACUACCGAUCAACAUAAACAUGGGGAUGGAUGUGAAGACCUACGCCUGCUGUCGGCGUUCGUCUACACCUUCUCGCUGUGCCUAUUCCCCAAGCAGAGCGAUCUACAACGACGACUGCACCUCUACAGUACGUACGGUUGCUUUCGUAUCUCUUCCCCAUGCAAGCACGGGUCGUUGCUUUAGCCAAACAUAAAUCUCAUCAGAUCCAGAAGUUGCGAUUAAUGGUUAAGAGCAAGAUCCUGCAAGGGAUCUAACAUUUAACAAUACCUAGUAUGUAGCUAGUAGUGGUGCUCGAUAUGAAACAAAGCAUGGAAAUAUCGAAUAAGCAAGAGGCGGAGACUGGAGACCUGUAUGGCCAAUAUGAUGGAUGCUGGCUCAAUGCAUGGAACAAACAGCCUCCUCAGCUCCGGCGACGGCCUGAAGUCGUCCUCGAUGUCACCAACACUGAGGUCAGCAUGAGCGACCACAAAGAGUGCGCCCUCGCCGGUGCAGGUGAUCUCUACCCUGCCAUCGUUGUUGACGCCGAGGCGGCCAGCGAGGGGGUAGAAGGCCACCAAGGUCUUGGCCAUAGCCUCCUUGAGCCUGGCCACGUCGAAGAAACCAUCGGCGGCGGCAACAUCGCUGGGGCUG